GUUUCGUUGUUGAUUGUGUAUGAAUGCAAGUUGUUUUCCUGGGGACUUGUUGUACACAAUCUGUUGCUUAGCCUUGGGCGGACAGGGGAAACUCCGUCCGUUCGGCAUCACGCACGCCGCCCUCGAAACGGACGAAAUUGGUACUGUUUUCGGGUAGUGCGGUCGGGGGCGUGACAAUAAUACACAUAAUGUCACUCGGGUUAAACCUUAUUUAACUAUACUCAUUUCAAUGCCAAUCAAGUCACUAUAGUCAAUGUCACCGUUAUUUACUAUGGUCAUAGUCUUUUCUCACAUUCACAUGCAUAUAGGGUUAUUCGUUUCCUUUGUUCACAUGGUUCUAUAUCACUCACAAUAAUCUUAAGCAGAUAAUUGAUGCAAUCAACAUAUACCAUUCAUUACCCUACAUGCAAGAAUGCUAUAAUACCAACAUGCUCAAAAGUAGUGACAUAGACAUAGAAAGAGACUCGGUGUUUUCGGAUAGCACCCCCCACCUUUGUGUGAUACUAGGAUGCCGUGGUUCUGUUUUCACGAUUUUUAGACACUUUCACUGCGAGUUGCGGCAAUUUAUACCAAUUCGGCUUCUUUUUCCAAUAUCUUCGCGCACGCUCGUUGUAUCGCCGAACCGAGCGCACCGAUGCGUUCGUUGACCUAUCAAUUAGGUUAGAAUGAGAUCAAUCCCAAGCUUCGACCUUAUUUUUACAAAACCCCAAAUUUGGGUCCCUAUACAACAUCAUCUUCUCCAUUUUAGGUCCUGAACAAGAAGAAAAUGGAGAAAAUCCACUAUAGAGAUCUCUAGAUGCUUCAACUAGAAGUAAAAACCCAAAAUCUAACUUAAAAUCACAAGAACUCACCUUUGGAGUCCAAAACUUUCCUUCAAAGCCUUGCUCUAGCUUGCUCUACACCUUGGAGAGCUUCUUCUCCAAGCUUACCCCUCCAAAAGCCCUCUUGGUCCAAGCCCUAGAGAGAAAGGGAGGGAGAGAGAGAGGAGAGAUUUUUAGAGAGAGAGAGAGGGAGAAGUUUUGUGCUGUGAGGGUUAGAAAUGAGCCCUAACACAAGCUCUCUCACAUACAUACACCUAUCUCAUGUUACUUUUGCAACAUAAGCCCCUCACAUUUUCAUUUUUGCAAACUGCCCUCAUUGGGCAAAUCUCGUGCUCGAGGACCGUCUCUCGAGCACGGGACCGGUUCCCGACAGCUACCCCGCAGCCUUCGCAGAAGAGGGCCGGUCUCCCCCCGAUGCAACCGGUCUCUCGGGACCGGUCUCUCACCCAGGGACCGGUUCCCAAGAGCUCGAUUUCUAGGACUUAGUCGAUUUUUCCCUCUGCUCGGCUGAUACGCUUUCGGGGACCGGUCUCUCCCCUCAGGGACCGGUCCCCGAGAGCCCAAAAUCUGGGACUUAGCCAGAUUUUGCAAUUUCACUCUCUCGGGUCCCUUUAACAUUAAUAUAGGUUUCAAUGCACUUUUAGUCUAUAGUAACUUAUUCCACUCCGCGUUCCGCACGUUUCGAUGGAACUCGGCAUGACUCACGGGGAAUUGCUAUGUUACAGCGCCGAUCUAGACGAAGAUCGCCUACACGGUGCCAUCGUUUCCCCGAAACUUGACAACUCGAUCAGUUCUCAACCCUCUAGGUCAAGUACAAAAUAAUUAACAUCGACUCAAAUCGGGCGAAAGUCACGCAAGGGCGUCUAUUCUUAUCACUCGGUUUCAUGUUGUGCGCGCCCAACACGAACACCCUCGGUUGAGAAUAAACCACACAUUGAAUCUACCUCUAACAUCCGUUUUAGAGGUUUACAACAUAACCCAAUCAGUUCAUCUUUCGCCACAAGUCACAAGCCCUUGUCUCUCACGAGCCUUAUUCUCUAUGGUUUACUAUCCUAGGGUCUCCUAGGUCCAUCUAAAUCAUUUCUAUUAUCCUCUUUAUGCUCUGAUACCACAUUAUCUGUCACGCCCCGAGACCCGCCUAUUUGGUCGGAUUUGGGCACGUCAACAGACCGCCGAACUGACAGGGUUUCCCCUGUACGUCCAAGGCGUCACAAUUCAUACAAUACACGAGGUUCCAACUAGGAACAGUAUUCAAGCAAGGAUUGCAUAAAGAAGUAUAAAAAAUAUAAAUACAACUAUGCUAUUACAAUCAUCCAUCCCAGGUUUUACAUAUUACAAUUUGAUUUACAUUUUCUUCUAAAUACAAUCAUCAUUAUUACAACAUUGUUUCUUCUUUUCUACACCCCUAGUUAGGCCAACUUGGGGUACUGUUAUCUCUGGUUUCAGUGGUUGUAACACACUUGACCUUUGCAAAUUGUGAGGUUCGAGUGUUUGCUCAGUGUGUCGAGUCUUUCCAGAUAUUCUGGAGGGUCGUUGACAAUGGUCCGACCUAUGGCUCGCAUUUCAAGAAUUGUGGUUUUUAAUGUAGCGCUGAGGUCACCAAAGUGGAGGACUUAGACUGCUCUCGGGUUGCACUCUGCAGGGAAGUAUACUGGUACACCUUGAUGGUUGUAUCGGAACAGGUUUUGUACCGGUACAUCUUGAUGGUUGUACCGGUACAAAAAUGGGAUGAACUGCCAACCCGAGGCUCGGGUUUGCUGUCUGGCAGGUGUUGUACCGGACUAUCGGUACACUUUUCCAUGUACCAGUACACAGUGCAGUGCGGGCUGUUUUUGUUGAGGGGUGUAUUUGCAAUUGUUGUAAACUCUUUAUAUAUCACCCCAGCCCCCUUGAGAGCUCUUUUGAGCCCUAACUAGUGGAGAACAAGGUGAGCACUCUCCCCCUUGAUUUCUUCUUCAUUUUUGAUGGGUUUUAGCUACUUUUGAUCUCCUCAUCUUUACUUUUUCUUACUUCUUGUUGGUUUCCACCGUGGGAGAAGCCUUGAGCUCGUGAUUGGAGCUUUGUGGAGGGAGGAUCUUCAAUCCUAGCUUACUUGGAGCCUUGUUUGGAGCUCUUGUGAGGUUAGUAAGCUUAAAUCUCCUCUUUGAUUCAUGUUUUGGUAGAUUUUACUAGAUGAAACCCUAGAUUUGGGAUUUAGGGUUUAUUUUGGAGAUUUUGGAUUUGUAGCUUCUAGAACCUAAUUGAUUGGUUUAGAACCUUCCUUUAGGUUGGUUUUGAAGGACUCUAACUUCCAUUUGGGAUUAGAGGAGGGUUUUCUACAUCUAAGGUGAGAUUUUUGCCCUUUUGCUUGGGUUGUUUAAUGUUCUCUCCCUAGGGAGUUCGUAACGUUCGUGUAACUCUCUUUUUAUUACCUUUAGGGUGCUAGGAGAGUAGUGGGCAACUUCGCUCGGCGAAACGAAGGGUUGCCAAAGUCAUGUUGGGUUUGACUUCAUGAAAUAGGGGAGAAAUAUCUCCUAUGUGUUUUAUACUUGUUGUUUCAUCGAAAUGCAUGCACAUUCAUGCUAGAUAGAAUUUUUAUGAAUUUUAGAAUACUUAAAAUGCAUGUGCUGUGUAUCAUGAAAAUUCAACUCUAUAUAGUAGAGCAUUAUAUGUAUUAUGCAUGCAUGUGAAAAGUAUUCUUUCUUGUAAGUUGGAAACAUGUCUUAUAUGAUGAAAAUGACUCAAAUUAUGUACUCCUGAACAUUAUACUCAUGCUUGGACUUAGUGGACAAAAGUGCCAUAAAGGGGUCACCCGACUUAGUAAACUGUGAAACUGCAAUAUAGAGACAUAGUGAUAGUCCAUUUGGACAUCGACUAUAUUCCAUGUUUUAGACAUGAUGACAUAGUGAUAGGCCAUUGAGACAUUUGCUACAUUCCAUGUUUUAGACAUGAUGACUUAGGACUUGAGAUGGACUUUUACGCUUGUUUGUCAUUGUGCUCAUUCGCACAUGCUUGUGAGGGUCGCUCCCCACAAGCCGGCACUCCGGAGAUAGCCAUCGCGACACAUCCUCGCCCGUGCGGGAUUGGGCGCCAAAAUAGGAUGCCAUGGGGGAGGCUCAUUCCUAGAGUGGGGAUGUUGACUACCACGGGGCCAUUAGCCACGGCGCAGGCCGGACUACCCACGGGUAGGUCCUACAUGAUCGGAACUGUAGUGACAUAAUAUGCCAACUGGACAUUAAUUAGAAUAGUAAACAAUGACAACUUACUAUUUACUCGUGGACAUCAUAGUUGUUACACUUACGCAUAUCUAUAUUACAGUAACAUUCUUACUUAUGCAAAUUCAUGCUAAGUAGAGAUAUCAUAUUGUAGUAAACUUUCAAGUUUAAUCGCUUAUUGUAAGGAUUGAGAUUUUGAUAGUGCGGCUAAACUCUCUGUUGACGAUGUUUCAGCGUGUAAUUUAAUUACAUAAGCACUCGUCAAGUUUUAGGAGAAAAUGAGCUAGAAUGGAGAAGUUACGCGAUCUUUAGUUUUCACUUAAGUGAAUAGUAACUCCGGUUUUCCGGAGAAGCCACGGAGUAGAGUUGGCUUUCGGCGUGUUUCGGACUCCAUUCAUAGCGAUCCAAUGGCUCGUUUCGACCGGUUCAGCUAUUCUGGAACCAAUGGCACUGACGAAUUUCAGAUUUGAUGCACGAUUUUCGAGAAAAAAGAGUUUUACCGAAAAGAGGAUUUUCGUUCCUUGCUAUUCUCGCAUUGUGAAACCCCUCGUGCUCCGUGCUUGUGACCUGGAGUUGGGUGAAGGAUGUUACAGGUCCCUACUAGCGGUAGGGAAGUCAAAUUUCAAAUGUGAAAUUUGGUUUAUUGGGUUUACACAUUGGUAUAUGUGUGAUAAAUGGAUUAGUUGGAGAGCAGACGAGUUCUGUUGCAAAUCGGCGACCAAAUCGGAUGAAACGAAAUUGUAGUUUCGAUGCCCCCGUCGUGCUGAAUGCGAUGGCACAGUCGGAUUGAAAAUCCGACCGACGGAUUUCCGGUAAUUGCAUAGUUUUCGCUAAGAGGUCGAAGGUGGCGAUUCAGAAACUUCGCAAAAGUCACCAUAUUUUAUGUACCGAAUCGUGCAGAAUCAGACGUGGAGGUGCGUACGUGCAAAAUACACGCGUGGGCAGGGACUUGGAUGAAAAUAUUCAGCUUUGGGGGACGUUUAUGCAAAAUGCCACUUGUAUAUAAGUUUGCAACUAGGGUUUCUUUGCAUGAAACCCUAGAUCCAGCCAACCUAGCUCCCCCAACUAACCCUAGCCAUCACCAGCAUCACCAUGCCCUAGUUGUGCGUGCACCCCGGCCGCCGGCAGGGUGCCCCGACCGCUGGAAAACUCGAUCCCGGCCACCUCUCCAUCUCUCUCUCUCAACCAAUCCACCACCCUCCUCGGCCUUGGAGCUCGGGAAGCCACCACCAGUGUAAGAUCUCCUUUCCUUGGCCGUGGCCCAACCUUCGGCAGCUCCCCCAUCGGUCCUCGCCGCCGUCGUGCGCCGCCGUCGCCGCCUUGGCAGGCUGCGGCCAAAUCUGGCUAAACCUGGCCGUGGAGCUUCAGCUCCAUCCUCGUGUUGUCGCUGCCGCCUUGAGACGGCCGAGCUGCCCUCCUCGGAGCCUCGGCGACCUCCGCCGCCGGCCCCUACUAUCCGCGCGUGUCGCCGGAGCCGCCCAUGCUCUUGGCGGCCAACCCAGACCCUCUGGGACCGAACUCAGCUCAGCUCGGGCCCCGCGCGCCGCCAUCACCUCUGGCUGGCCGCGCCGCCUUCCUGGGCCUUCGGCGACCGGUCGCCGCCGCCCCGUAGCCCCUCCGGCCGCCGCCUGGCUACCUCUGCACUGUGAGCCCAAGGUGGAGGCCGUGCGGGCUCGGGAUCUCCCUGCGCCGCCACUGCAAGCUCCCGACGCCGGCCGGCGUGAGCACCGGCUCCGCCUGGCCGGCCACACCCGUCAGCCGCCGGAUAUCCCGCCGCCGGAGCUCCUUGUUGGUCAGAAUGGGCCCGUGCUCCCCACGGGUUUGGUGGCUAGGGCAUCAGUGCCCGUCGCCGCCGCCGCCUUCCACCACUGGCUAACAUGCGCCUCGGCCCUCCUCCGCCGCCAGCAACCUCCUCUGGUCGGCCCGCCCGCCGUUCGGCCGCCGGCGACCGUCGUCGGGCUCCACUGCUCCGGUAAGCUUUUAAAAAAGCUGUAUGCACAUGGUUUGGAGGUUCCGGUCACCUUUUCGGUGAUCCGAAGGCACCCCGAUGAUAGAGGAAGUGAGCACGAUCAUCAUCCUUUUGUGCUGAACAUCAUACUCACCUCUGUUUAGGUCUGAGAUGCCCUGGUUAGCGAGUUCGACGCGAUUUAAGCGCUGUGCAUGCUGUUUCGCUGAUUUUCGCGUCGCUCGUGCGCGUGCCACAGUGGCCGGCAGUGCUCCGAAAGGUGAACACGGCCUCCGGCACACUGAGACCUAUUAGCGGGUGUCUCGGCUUGGUUGAAUGGCCUCCGGUUUUCGCUGUCGGACCAUAAAAGCCCGGAAUCACAUGAAAUAUCAUGAUUUCAUGGAAUCGGGAGGGCUUUUAUGCAAAUAGGGUUAUUGUAGCUGCUGUUGGCAGCAUGUGUGGGCAGUGGGUAACCUCUGGACUGAUUGUCCAAGGCCCCAGGCCUUUGCGGAGAUCGAAAAUUGAUUUUUCGGUGCGUUUUUCGGCAAAAUCCACGACGGAACGUGUUUUCGGUUCGAAAUUCUUCUGACGGUGCCUCGCGAGUAAUUGUACUGUCGCUAAGCCUUGUUAGCUAGUCACGCGCGUCGUUUUGGGGGUUCGAAAAUGACGGGUGAGCGACGGUGGGUUCCGAUAUCGAAUUUGACACUUCCGGGAAUCCGGAUCGGAACGAUUAUCUGUCAAUAAUCGUUUCGGAGUGAGUUAAUGUUUUUGCUACCAAGUCACACGUAAAUAUGCAUUUAGUGGCAGCGGGCGACUCGUAUCUUGAGUCGGUGAGUUCCGGGACAGUUUGUGGGUCCCGGCGGAGUCCCGGUACGGUUUUUGGGACUUCCGGCAUAUUACGAUAAUCGGUUUUGGGAAACCGAUUUUCGUAGGUUUAUUAGUGGGGACUGUGAUUUUAGUGUUCUUAGUUGUGGGUUAGAUACUAACCUGGUGGACCUUUCGUAGGUCCGGAUGAGGAUCUUCCACAGCCGGAAGACAGGCGCUACACUUGUACAGGUGGGUACUUCGAUCCGAAGUCGGUACAGUAGUGCACGCUCGUGAUGGUUUCUUACCCUUGUUUUUCUAUUGUUACUAUUGCAUAGUAUUUAUUGAGCCUUGCACCCAUGUUGUUUCCGUCAUAAUCUACUCAGUUGUUUCCAUGUUUAGGAGUAGAGUAGAUUUAUCUGCUUAUGACAUCUAUGACCUGGUUGGUCGGUUCCCGUACUUCACAUCCGUUGUUGUGAUAUAUGUGGUCAGUUGGAUUACUUAGUGACCUACGCGGCCAGUUUACCUGAGGGGUUGGAUUGUCGGCUAGUUGCCAAUGUUUUGUGACCUAGUCGGUCAGUUUAUUGCAUUUGCUGUUUUGACAUAUUCGGUCGAUUCUCUGCAUCCGUUUUUGUGAUAUCUGUGACCUGGUUGGUCAGUUCUCGUACUCCGUAUAUGUGACCUUAUUGGUCGGUUGGACUAUUUGGUCACCUAUACAGUCAGUAUACCUGGAGGGUUUGGAUUGUCGGCUAGUUGCCGAUCUUUGGUUAUGACCUUGACGGUCAGUUCGUUGCAUCUGGAUUAUACUUGCAUAUCUUCGUUAGGAUGUUGAGUGGUUCCAUCCUAUUUGACCUGAGCGGUCGGUACUUGUGUUUAUUACAGUUCGAUGACCUAAUGGUCAGUGUGCCCUGAGGGGCAGUGAUUGUCGGCUGGUUGCCGACGGUUGGCUAUUGAGCAUUUAACAUCGAUCGCCACUGCUCGUACGUAUUUCACGAACACCAGCGGUUUGGCCACCGCAAGAGGGUGUUCUUUUCCAGAAAAGUGGUUGGAGGAGCCAACCCGUGAGCCCGGGUGUAACGCACUGGACUUUUGCAAAUUGCGAGGUUUGAGUGAUUGGUUGCAUUCUGAGUUUUUUCCAGACUUUCUGGUGGGUCGUUGACAGUGUUCCGACCUAUGGCUCGUAUCCCGAGGAUUGAGGUUUGAAGCCUGGCACCAAAACCCGAAAAAUUGAAUUUUUGGUUAGCUCUCGGGUAGCCUUCAUUCGGCUGUGUACCGGUACAGGGUUGAUGGCUGUACCGGUACAGGAUUGAUAGUUGUACAGGUACGGGAUGGUGUACCGGUACACAAGCAGCUUCCCAGCCAACCCGAGGCUCGGGUUUGGCAUUUUCGUGGGAUGUGUAUCGGUACGUGGGCCCGUGUACCGGUACGCAGUGACAGAUUCUGAUUGGCCGAAACUGCAGGGGUGUUUUUGCAAUAUGGCAUCUCUAUAUGUAUCCCCACGCCCCUAGGGCUCUCCCUGAGCUUGGCAACUGCAAGGAGAAGGGUAAGGGAGCUCUCCACACUCUCCCAUUUCCUUUUCUUGAUUUUGGUUGGGUUUUUAUGAGAUCAACCCUCUUUUUGCUUGAUUAGAGACUUCUUCACCUUGGUUGAAGCUUGGAGCUUGGUUUUGGAGCAUUGUUGAGGGAAGAACUUUGAAGUUUGAGAACUUUGAGCUUGGAUUGAAGCUUCUAAGAGGUUAGUAGCCCAUUCUCUCCCUCUAGACUUGAGUUUUAUUGAUGGAUUUGAGAUGAAACCCUAGAAUGUGAUUUUAGGGUUGAUUUUGGGUAUUUUGAUUUUAGGGCCUUUUGAGCUAAAUUGAUUGGAUUAGAAUCUUCCAUUAGAUCGGUUUGGAAGGGUUCUAGCUCUCUUUUGGAGCUUAGGAAGAGAUUUUGCAUUAGAGGUGAGUUUUUCUCACCUAAGCUUGAGAAAGUUAAUGUUUGAUUUUGUGGUUGUUCGUAAGGUUUGUUUAACCUUUGUUCUCAUACCUCCAAGGUACUAGGAGGCUAGUGGACGUCCUCGUUGGAGCAAACGUAGGGUUGCGCGACGUUCGGUGGGUUUGGCCUAGCCUAUGAUAUGAGAAAUGCUCAUAUCCGGUGUUUUGUGCUUCGUAAAGUAGAAAUUCAUGCAUAUCCAUGAUAAAUGUAUUUAUUAUGAAUUUUAGAAUGCUUAACAUGCAUAUGUAAUGUAUAGUAAAUUUUGGACCUCUAUGUGGUGGAGUGCAUGCAUGUGAGACAUAGCAUUCUGGUUGAGAUUUGGAACCAUAAUUCCUAUCAUGAAAAUGAACAUUACUUUCAUACAUUUAACCUUUAUGCCCAAUUGUGACAUUAGGGACUUUGGAAGCCUAGAGAGGCUUGGGGAUUUAGACUAUUUCAGAAUUUGGGCCAAUGUCAUAAAGAGGCAUUGGGCCCCGGGCUAUAGUGAACAUUGGUAUUAAUGCCUUAAUUGGGACAUAGAAUAUGAGUUGGGCUUGAUUAGUUGUGAUGCUUAAGUGUCAUAAAGAGGCACUAAGCCAGUGGGUGUUGGGUUAUCACAUUAUGACAUAGAGCUAGACCGUUGGGUUACUAGUAGCUAUUGCCAUGUUUGAGACAUGAGGGUUGGAUACUUGAGCCUUUGACUACGCUUACUUGCCAUUUGUGCUUAUUCGCACAUGCUUGCGAAGGUCGCUCCCUACAAGCCGGCACUCCGGAGUUAGACUACGCGACUUAUGUUCGCUCGUGCGGUAUCGAGAAGCCUACGGGGUCGAGUGGGACAAACUCAUUCCAAGAGCAGGGAUGUUGGGCUACCACAGGCACUUAGGCGGCACAAGCUGGACUACCUUGGGUAGGUCCUUAAUUGGAAAUGGAAAUCGACAUGGUGUUGAAUCUGUUAUAAUCACUACUAGAUAGAGAAUAGUAGUGGGAUUACUUGGACUUGCUUCUAGCAUAGUUUUGAACACUUGAGUAUACAUAUAUACAUGUAGUAUGCUAGGAGAUGUUGCUUGUUGCAUUCAUAUAUACAUUGUUGCCAUGAUAACACAUGAUCUUCAUAAUCUCAUAAAGUAAACCGUGACAUUUACUUGUGGCCAUGUACGGACAUAUUGUUUGUGACAAGGUAAAGGUGCAUCAUAUUAAUGCCAUGUUUAAUUGCAAUAGUGUCUUUGCAUUUUAGUUAUGCUUUCAUAUAUGCAAUUUAUUCGUUAUUACUGCUCUCUUUUUAGACUUACCCUUUCUUUAGGGCCUAGUGGUGCAUUGAGUUGAGGUCAGUAAUUGCCCACUAGGAACUAUAAAUUAUAGUUCUCACGCCCUCUGUUUUAUGUUUUCUUUCAGAGCCUUCCACGCCAGGAGAGGCUAGGGACCGUGGGAAGGGCGUUGCUUCGAGCUAGCUCUUCAGCGAGUGACGAGUUGAUAGGUGGUCUACCUCUCGAUAUUUUUAUUUUGGAGAGGUUGAGAGUUGAUUCCAUGUGUAGAGACCAAGCUUUUGUGUACCUUUUUGGAGAUGAUAUUGUAUAACUUAUAUUUUCACUUUUAUUGUUUAGCUUUUUCCGUGUACCUUGUUAUAGAUUAUAGAUCUACUUGUGCUCUGAUAUCUCUAGUUGUAGAUUAUCUUUGGUUUUGCUUUCCGCUGUCGUUGUAGACGCCUUAUAUGUGCUGACAUAUGGCGGGUCUAGGCACGCUACCGGGAGGGCCCCUGCCGGUCCCGGGGAGUGACACCAGGUGCUUUAUGCGAGGGAUUUAUAUGCUUUCCGACCCGAGUGCUUUAUGCGAGGGUCAUGUACUUUCAGACCCGGGUGCUUUAUGCGAGGGUCAUGUACUUUCGGACCCGGGUGCUUUAUGCGAGGGUCAUAUACCUUUCGGAGCCGGGUGCUUUAUGGAAGGGUCACGUAUAGGUUGAGCAAUUGUGGCACAGGCCUGAGGUCUACGGACCGAUAGGCAAUUUUUAGAUUGGGUAUAUUUGGACUUAUCGUCUGGUUGACGCAUAUGACUAUAGUAGCGGUUGUUGCAUGCAUACUUACAGUUCUUUCUUUACAGUUGUCUUGCUACUAUAGUGGAUAUCCAUGUAUGCAUUCAGUUCUUCCUUACAGUAGCGGUAGUUGUUCUUAUACAUCUUGUUCAUGUAUUAUUGUUGCUAUUGUAUUUAGUAUAUAUCACGCCCCGAGCCCGCUACCAAUUUGGUCCGGUUCGGGCGGGUCGAACAGACGCCGGACGGACAGCACCUCCCCUGUCCACCCAAGGCUAAACAACGCGACUGUGUACAACAAGUGCCCAGGAAAACAAGUUGAAUACAUACACAAUCGAGCAACACAGCGAGAGCACAACCAGUGCUACACAAUCGAGAGUAAGCAUCACAAGUAAUAAACAAGUGAAUAAAAGAGAGAUACUAACUAUUACAACCAUUCAACUUUAAUAUAUUUGGUUAACUUUACAUUUUCCAAAACAUAAACAUAAAGUUUACAAUUUUUCAACUCAGCUCACCCUAUACAUCAUCUACUCUUAAGUACAUAAGGCAGCUCUAAUACAAAAGGAAAGUAAACUAUCAACACUAGGCCGCUAAGCCCUAGCCACGAUCCUCAGCUGACGCACUGGCACGCGGCCCUGCAACAAAGUGGGGUGAGAACUACGAAUAGUUCCCAAUGGGUUCGGCCGCCGACUCCGCUGAUCUCCCCACUAGGUCUAAGCAGGCAUAGGAAGACAACCAGAUAGAUAGGUAGAUAGCUAUAGAUGAAACAACAACUAUAACAAGUAAGUAGAAAUGCAAAUAUCCUACUAUACCUCAAUCCAAUGCUAUGAAUGCAUGCACUACAUAGUAUAAGGCUAGCUACCACGCUACUAUGUCCAACAACGAUGCCACUCUCUACGGGGAGGAUCCGCUCACUCGCCCGACUCACAAUCUAACCGUAGCUGAGGAACCGCUCACUCAAGGUGAGAAUCUACUCACUCACCCGACUCACAACACAAUCAUAGGUGAGGAACCGCUCACUCAAGGUGGGAAUCUAUUCACUCACCCAAAAUUGUCUGCGGGGCCCAAAAAGGCUCACCCCUCGGGACCUAAAAAGGCUAUCCCUAUCGUGUGACAACUCCGGAGUGCACGCUUGUGUGGAGCGACCACCCCAAGCUUUGAACGGACAUGUGAAUAUGAUCAAAUCCUCGACACUAAGGAUACCCUGCCACUAUAGACAACAUCACUUGGAAACUAGUUCAUCCCUAAGUUCAACAUGCAAUAGUGUUUCACCUACACUCUAGUUCAUCAUGCCACUCGUCAAGUUAUUUACUUAUCUAGAUGCCACUCGUUCUUUGGUUCUCGUUAACACAAGGUUAAGUUUGUCAUUUACUUUACCACUAUAGGGUUCCAGGUCACAAUUCCCCCAUUCUCACGCAUCCUAAGUCAAGUGCCAAACUCAUGUUGCUACACUACUAAGGAUCAUGCAAGAAUUAAUGGAAAUGCGACUAUUUAAUACCCUAUUAUGCAUAAUAGUUACACUAGUCCAAUGCCACUCGUUCUUUGUGUUCAACACUAACUAGAUGACACUCGUUCUUAUUUAAGUGUUCCCAAUCCACUACUUGUACAUAAUCACUAGGUUAUCAUUUACCUAGGUUCCAGUCCAUUGUGUAUCAUCUCAUUAUAGGGUUACUAAUCAACAUCUCUCAAUCCCAUGCACACUAGGCUCAAGUGUUAAGCAAACAACAUCACACUACCCCUAGCAUACAAGAACAUGUAUCAACUAAUCAUGCACCAUAUAAUGCAUCAUGCACAAUAUGCAAUUCGAUCAGCAAUAAUACUUAGACAUAGGGAGCAGUUCAACUGCUUCGGGAUGGUCACCACCCACCUUCUAUAGCGUUCCGAUUGCUCGUCGCCACUCACAAUCGGUCUCCCGCGGCGCACGCCGCUCGGCUCGACCCAAUCCACGCGCGUCCACCAAACGACCUCCAAUCGCGAUCCGAAAAUUAAAGGUCUUCGGUUUCUCGUUACGAUACUCGGAAUUUGAUCCCGCGAUUUACGGACGCCGCCUCGGCCCUCCAGGCGGAAACGAAUGUUGGAAGGUCCUUUUUUCCAAUAACUCCACGCUCGCUCGGCGAAUCAGCAAACCGACUGCGCCGAUGGAAUCGUAAGCUUAACAAUCACAUUUACAUAGGGUUAAUCGAGAUCAAACUCUAACUUUUCACAAAAACCCUCACGGAGCCCUAGCUCGCAACUACGGCGCAAACGUGCCGCAAUAACCCUAGAUUCAAGCAUGGAACAUCUACUAGACAUACUAGAGUUCCAACAAAACCAUUUCUAGAGUCUAAAAUCCAAACCUUAGAGAUAUAUCAUUAAAGGGUUUUGGAGCUUACCUCUAAAGCUUUCUCCAAGCUUGAAGAAGGAGAAGAAGAUGCCCUCCUUGUUCUAAGCUUCAACCUCCACCAAGCCUUCUCUCAUUUUCCACCUUGAAGAGAGAGAGAGAGAGCUCUAGAGAGAGAGAGAGAGAGAGAAGUUUAGGGUUUUGGCAAAUGAGAGAAUAAGAGAGAGGAGUAGCCCCCAAGCAACUCUUAUAAUGCAAAAUUACAGAAAAACCCCUCAACUCUCAACACAUCACACAGCCCAUUUCUGGGCAUUUUCGUGGUACGGGGUCCAGACCCUGAAGCUAGGGUUCGGACCCCGAGAGUUGGCAAACUCUGCAAAGUUGCAGACUGCAACUUCUCAGUUUUUUCGUAGCUACGGGGUCCGGACCCUGCCUGCAGCUAGGGUCCGGACCCCGAGAGUGGUAAAACCUGCAAAAUUGCAGAUUUGGCAACUCCAACUCUCCAAGGUCCUCCCCAAUACACUUUUCGCGAUUUCGUCGCAUUCGGACUUUCCGAAGCAUACCAAGUCGACGAUAAGUCAAUUUCAAACGAAGUUCAACUCUCGGAUUUCGAGAAUUCACUUCCUUACAUCCUCCCUGCCUUAAAAAGAGUUUCGUCCUCGAAACGAACUCAAUUCACUUCAAAUCCAACUCAAUGCAAUUCUAACUCACACCUCAACUUAACUUAUUGAGUAGUCGAGGGAUCCAAUGUGCUUUCACCAAAUCCACGUGGCUAUCCAAUACCCAAGUGUCUCCUAGAGACCACUUUGCUUUCUCCUCCAAUUGCCACGGCCAACACCAAUUUGUUCUCACAAAUAGUUCACACGAACACCCGUUCGUGAAUCCACACCUAAACUCGUCGAUAAAGCUACUCGCCUACCACCUGCGUCGAUUUCAUAGGUGAAUCAGAGGCCACCAACCCUACACAGGUCUACAGCUUAAUCUGUUUCAACAUAUGCACAUCUUUCGCUUACCAGCGUUGACUCAAUCACAACCGGGCGAAAUUCUCACUUGGAAAUUCGCUCACGCUCCAACCAGGAGCAACCAAGACCCCAAACCACGUAAAAUCUUCAAGUUGGAUCAUUACGCACUCGGUGUACCAUCAAUCUCGUACUCUAACACGUGGCAUUCCAUGCUUCCGGGUCUAAACUCGGACUACCACCAAAACCAAGAUCUCCGCCCUUCUCAAUUCGAGGUAAACAACGCACUAUCACAACUCGUGCAUACUAUGCCUUGGUCUCUACUAUGCUUAUAAAUAAUAGUAGCCAACGAUCACAAUUACAAGCGCAUGCCAUGCACCUACUUAACAUCAUGUAGAGGUACACACUUGCUUCUACUGAACCAUACCUGCCAUGACGUCGCGUGCCUCAAACUCGGCAGGUUCCUCAACUUGACAAAGUCGGUGGGGCUCCUCCAUAAUGGCCCAGAACUGCCGGAGCCGAUGCGACCGACGGGGCAUGCAAGGCCUUUCUCGGGCAAUCACGGGCUAUGUACCCCGCCUGGCCGCACUCAUAACAUCUCCCACGGCGAUGCUCACUGUAAUAUACCGAAAAUUCGAAAAAUAAAUAUCGAACUUUAGUCAAAUUGACCAAAGUGCGAGGACGGUACACUUCGAAAAGUCCGAAGGUGCUAAAAUGAUCGAAAGUGAGUUGUGGAAGGUUUUCGAGAGCUAAAGAAUCAAAUUCUGCAAAACUGCAGAUUUUCAGCUCUCGGGGACCGGUCCCUAAAGGGAGAGACCGGUCCCCGAACACGUAUGAAAUGAGACAGCCGAAAAAUCGGCUAAGUCCUGGAAGGAUAGCUCUCGGGAACCGGUCUCUGCCUGAGAGACCGGUCCCCCAGAGACCGGUCCCAUAAGGAGAGACCGGUUGCACUGCGCGCAGCAGCUCUGGCUGCGCAGGGUGGACGUUCGGGAACCGGUCCCUGCUCGGGGAGACCGGUCUCUGCCUGCGCGGAAUGCCCAGUUCGGGCAGUGUAUUAAAGUGAAAGUUGAGGGGUUUAUUUGCAUUUUGGCAACCCAUUGAGCUAUGUUAGGGGGGCUGAGGGGUUUUUCUCUCAUUUCUCACCCUAUCACACUCCCUUCUCUCCCUCUCUCUCUCUAGAAGACAAAGGAGAAGAAGAAGAAAGGAAGAAAAGAAGGAAAAGAAGGAGAAGAAAGUGAAGAAGAAGAUCAAGGAGCAAAGGAGCCUCAUCUUCUUCCUCUCUAGGGCAAGAAAGGAAAGCUUACAAGGUAAGCUUUGAUCUAUAUUGUAGAAAAACCCUAGAAUGAGUUUUGAAUAACCUAGAAAUGAGUUUUAAAGGGAUAUUUGAAGAGUUUUGAAGCUUUCUUUUGCUUCUUUAGAGAUCAAGUCCAUGGUUGAGCUCAAGGUGAGCUUCAACCCACCUCUAAUGGUGAAAUCCAAACUAGGGUUUGGAGUGAGUUAAGAAUGGUUCUUAUGGACUAAUUAGAGUGUAAUGAAGCUACUUUUGCUUCUCUUUGAGAUCAAACCCUAGGUUUGAUACAUGUGUUGGAGCUAGGGCACCAAAUUGGGGCUUUUGCUCAUGAGGAUUGCUAAGUGCAAUUGACCCUCUAAAAACCUAAUUGGGGGUAUUUCCGACGCGUUGGUGCGCUCGGAAUAGCAUUUCGAAAAGUGUAUGAAAGGUUAUGGGCAAAAUGGCCUGAUAAGGGUUCGUUUUGCCGCAGGUAAAGAACGAGGCAUCUAAAAAUCCUAAGAAAAUCAUCGGAGCACCUAAAGAGACCUACAAGGUGGGUGGUGCUUUUCAAACUCAUUGAAAUUCUCUCUAUGCCUAAUGUGUCAUUCUUUGAGCAUACGUUCUAUAUAUUGCUGCAUGCAUUUUAGGGUAAAGUAAUGAUGAAAUGUGAUGAUUGCAUGAUUGUGAGCACAACUUGCAUAAUGAGAUGGUUGAGAACCUAAUAAUGUAAAAACCCUAGAUGUAUGCAUGAGAGUUAAUGUGAGCACCCAAAGUGAGCAAAAGAACAGAGUGACACAAUGACAUAGAUCGAGUGGCAUCCGAUAAAGCUAAUGUGAAAUGACACUAGAGUUAGUGUGAUGUAAAGGACUAAAGUGAUGUAAAGAACACUAGAGCUAGUGUAUAGUCAAGAUUGAACUAUAAUCCUUUGAGUUAAGGAUAUGAUCAUACUUGCUGUUGAGUUCCGUGCUCGAGGGUGGUCGCUCCCCCUCGGGCGAUGCGCUCCGGAGUUAUGCAUCCGAGUUGGAGUAGACCCGUAAGGACGGUCCUAGCUGGUGAGUACCUGCGAUGAUGGACUUAACGUGAGGCAAGUUAAUGUGGCGAAACCCCUGGGUUAGCCUUAAUGAUUAAAGAGCAAAGAACAAAGAAUAAAGAACAAAGAGUAAAGUGAAAAGAACUAAAGAACAUGCAUAAUCUGCAUCUAUUAAUGUUGAGCAUACUCCUUGCUUUUGUUCAGGCAUAUUAGCAUCAUGUUAUAGAUUGGUUACCGUAUUUCAGCUUAUCCUUUCUAUUAUGCCUGAGUUAGUCCUAGUGGGAAAGUUGGUGAUGUUGAGGCCGAACCCACUGGGAACUUUGUUGUAGUUCUCACCCCACUAUUUCCACAGAGCCGGGACCGAGCGAGCCGGCGAGCGACCGCGGUAAAGGUAUCGCGCCUUAGUCAGAGGCCACCAAUGUUGGGUUACAUUUUGUAGCAAACACCCUUUUAUCAUCUUUUGUACUUGAUGAUUAGCGAUGUAAAGAAAAGAAUGUAAAGCUCCUUUGAGGUAAAUGUGAUGUAAGAAAGAAAUGAUGAAAUUAUGUAAGAACAGCAAAGAAUCUUAAAUAUAAGAAAUGGAUGCAAUGUAUAUAAUCUGAAAUGAAUCAUAUUACUUGUGAAUGUUUAGUUUUCCUUUCUUUCACUUAUGGCUAUUGCUUACCCUCGUGUAAGCCGUUUGUGUAUGUUUCCGCUAGUGCACUUCUUAUUGAAAUUGUACAUGUGAUGAGCCUUGGGCGGAUAGGGAAAACUCUGUCCGUUCGGCGUCUGUUUGACGUGCUCGGGUCGGGCCAAAUUGGCAUCGGUCCCGGGGCGUGACACUCACAGUGCGUCACUCGGUGGCCUCGACCACAGAAGAUCCGCCUUUCCACUUCACGGCCCUCGGACCGCUCUCGCAGGUACUUCGGGGGCUUCAUGGAACCCGAUUGACCUCCAGAGCCACCGCCCUGCCGCUUCAUUCCCUUGUCCUUCUCGAAUGCCUCGCGCUCUUCUCACUCGCAAGCAUUCCCGUGCUCAACCCACAAGGCACGGUCCAACACUUCCGCAAAGGUGCGAAACUUAAAAGCAUGCACCAUUCGGAAUACUCCAGGCCAAAGUCCCUGCACGAAGCACUCCGCCCGAUCUUGCUCGGUCCUCGCCAUGUCCGGGACACAAUUUAGGAGAUGAGUGAACUCCCGCUCAUAAUCCCAAACCGUGCGAUCGCCCUGCUUGAGCUUCCGUAAGUCCUCUCGCAUCUUCCGUUUCUCACUGUCCGGAAAGUACUCCGCAAAUAUCAACCUUCGAAACUCCUCCCAAUCGAUCGUGGGAAGGUCCGAGAUCGAUCCUGCUUCACUCUCCGCCACCACACUCUGGCCCGCUUAUCAAAACAAUGCGCGGCCAAAGGCACCUUAUCACGCUCCGUGGUGUAGAUGUCCUCGAACAGGGUUUCCAUUGCGGCCAACCAUUUCUCUACUGUCCAAGGAUCAACCACUUCACCGUCGAAUGUAGGAGGGUGGAACUUCAUGAACCUCGUGAGAGCCGUGUAACCACGCUCUCGCUCUGCCUCCUCAAUCGCCACAUCGAGUGAAACAGAACCCGACGCCGCAGGAGGAACACUCGCCGGCGGGGGUUGCGCCGCCACUGGCGCCACCGGAACACCCUCACCCUCAGCCGCAUUAGGAGCGCGAGCCGAGGGCGCGGGCAGGUCACGACCUCCAGCCACCAUCGCAGCCACCGCCGCCAUUUGUCGCUCCACUAACUCCUGGAGCCGCCCAAACUGACAAGCUUGUGUGGUCAUCUGCGCCCGUAACUCCUGCAUCUCACUAGGCCUAGCUGACCCUGGCACCUCGGGAGGUCCAGCCUGCUCUGGCACCUCAGGAGGCGGUGCCGGAACCGAUCUACGCACGUAGCGUCUCGGGGACAUUAGCUCCUGAAAUGCAACAAACCGGUUAAUUACUUAACCCAUUAACGUUAUCGCAAUUAUGAGACGAAAUAACUCAACAACACAAAUCAAGCGGAAGUUCGGAAGCGUGCUUAUCCUCGACUCUCGGCGUCGUGUUGUCGGCCGCAAACACAACCACCUUGAGCCAAGGACUAGUACCACUUGAAUCCAUCUCUAGCAACUACUAGAGUCUCCACAUCAACGUCGACCCAAUCGAUCAACUUCCGCCACCGUCAUAGGUUCACGUCGCACUCACGCACCUAUAUCCUUAAGGCUCACCAUCCUAAGGUCUCCUAGGUCGGUCCUAGACUCUCUCUUUGCUUGCUCUUAACUCCCUCUGAUACCACUUUAUCUGUCACGCCCCGAGCCCACUACCAAUUUGGUCCGGUUCAAGCGCGUCGAACAGACGCCGGACGGACAGCACCUCCCAUGUCCACCCAAGGCUAAACAACGCGACUGUGUACAACAAGUGCCCAGGAAAACAACUUGAAUACAUACAUAAUCGAGCAACACAGCGAGAGCACAACCAGUGCUACGCAAUCGAGAGCAGGCAUCACAAGUAAUAAACAAGUGAAUAAAAGAGAGAUACUAACUAUUACAAACAUUCAACUUUAAUACAUUUGAUUAACUUUACAUUUUUCCAAAACAUAAACAUAAAGUUUACAAUUCUUCAACUCAUCUCACCCUAUACAUCAUCUACUCUCAAGUACAUAGGGCAACUCUAAUACAAAAGGAAAGUAAACUAUCAACACUAGGGCGCUAAGCCCUAACAACGAUCCUCAGCUGGCGCACUCGCACUCGGCCCUGCAACAAAGUGGGGUGAGAACUACGAAUAGUUCCUAGUGGGUUCGGCCGCCGACUCCGCCGAUCUCCCCACUGUCUAAGCAGGCAUAGGAAGACAAUGAGAUAGAUAGGUAGAUAGCUAUAGAUGAAACAGCAACUAUAACAAGUAAGUAGAAAUGCAAAUAUCCUACUAUGCCUCAAUCCAAUGCUAUGAAUGCAUGCACUACAUAGUAUAAGGCUAGCUACCACGCUACUAUGUCCAACAACGAUGCCAGUCUCUACGGGGAGGAUCCGCUCACUCGCCCGACUCACGAUCUACUCUCUACGGUGAGGAUCCGCUCACUCGCCCGACUCACAAUCUAACCGUAGCUGAGGAACCGCUCACUCAAGGUGAGAAUCUACUCACUAACCCAACUCACAACACAAUCAUAAGUGAGGAACCGCUCACUCAAGGUGAGAAUCUACUCACUCACCCAACUCACAACAUAAUCAUAGGUGAGGAACCGCUCACUCAAGGUGAGAAUCUACUCACUUACCCGAAACUGUCUGCGGGGCCCAAAAAGGCUCACCCCUCGGGACCCAAAAAGGCUAUCCCUAUCGUGUGACAACUCCGGAGUGCACGCUUGUGUGGAGCGACCACCCCAAGCUUUGAACGGACAUGUGAAUAUGAUCAAAUUCUCGACACUGAGGAUACCCUGCCACUAUAGACAACAUCACUUGGGAACUAGUUCAUCCCUAAGUUCAACAUGCAAUAGUGUUUCACCUACACUCUAGUUCAUCAUGCCACUUGUCAAGUUAUUUAAUUAUCUAGAUACCACUCGUUCUUUGGUUCUCGUUAACACAAGGUUAAGUUUGUCAUUUACUUUACCACUAUAGGGUUCCAGGUCACAAUUCCCCCAUUCUCAUGCAUCCUAAGUCAAGUGCCAAACUCAUGUUGCUACACUACUAAGGAUCAUGCAAGAAUAAUGGAAAUGUGACUAUUUAAUAUCCUAUUAUGCAUAAUAGUUACACUAGUCCAAUGCCACUCGUUCUUUGUGUUCAACACUAACUAGAUGACAUUCGUUCUUAUUUAAGUGUUCCCAAUCCACUACUUGUACAUAAUCACUAGGUUAUCAUUUACCUAGGUUCCAGUUCAUUAUGUAUCAUCUCAUUGUAGGGUUACUAAUCAACAUCUCUCAAUCCCAUGCACACUAGGCUCAAGUGUUAAGCAAACAACAUCACACUACCCGUAGCAUACAAGAACAUGUAUCAACUAAUAAUGCACCCUAUAAUGAAUCAUGCAUAAUAUGCAAUUCGAUCAACAAUAAUACUUAGACAUAGUGAGCAGUUCAACUGCUUCGGGAUGGUCACCACCCACCUUCUAUGGCUUUCCGAUUGCUCGUCGCCAUUCGCAAUCGGUCUCCCGCGGCGCACGCCGCUCGGCUCGACCCAAUCCACGCGGGUCCACCGAACGACCUCUGAUCCGCGAUCCGAAAAUUAAAGGUCUUCGGUUUCUCGUUACGAUACUCGGAAUCCGAUCCCGCGAUUUACGGACGCCGCCUCGGCCCUCCAGGCAGAAACAAAUGUUGGAAGGUCCUUUUUUCCAAAAACUCCGCACUCGCUCGGCGAAUCAGCAAACCGACUGCGCCGAUGGAAUCGUAGGCCUAAUAAUCACAUUUACAUAGGGUUAAUCGAGAUCAAACCCUAACUUUUCACAAAAACCCUCACGGAGCCCUAGCUCGCAACUACGGCGCAAACGUGCCGCAAUAACCCUAGAUUCAAGCAUGGAACAUCUACUAGACAUACUAGAGUUCCAACAAAACCAUUUCUAGAGUCUAAAAUCUAAACCCUAGAGAUAUACCUUUAAAGGGUUUUGGAGCUUACCUCCAAAGUUUUCUCCAAGCUUGAAGAAGAAGGAGAAGAAGAUGCCCUCCUUGUUCUGAGCUUCAACCUCCACCAAGCCUUCUCUCCUUUUUCACCUUGAAGAGAAAGAGAGAGAGAGCUCUAGAGAGAGAGAAAGAGAGAGGUUUAGGGUUUUGGCAAAUGAGAGAAUAAGAGAGAGGAGUAGCCCCCAAGCAACUCUUAUAAUGCAAAAUUGCAGAAAAAUCCCUCAACUCUCAACACAUCACAUAGCCCAUUUCUGGGCAUUUUCGUGGUACGGGGUCCAGACUCUGAAGCUAGGGUCCGGACCCCGAGAGUUGGCAAACUCUGCAAAGUUGCACACUGCAACUUCUUAGGUUUUUCGCAGCUACGGGGUCUGGACCCUGCAACUAGGGUCCGGACCCCGAGAGUGGUAAAACCUGCAAAAUUGCAGAUUUUGCAACUCCAACUCUCCAAGGUCCUCCCCAAUGCACUUUUCGCGAUUUCGCCGCAUUCGGACUUUCCGAAGCAUACCAAGUCGACGAUAAGUUGAUUCUAAACGAAGUUCAACUCUCGAAUUUCGAGAAUUCACUUCCUUACAGUAUACCUGCUCAUGACCUUGUUUGUUUAUCUCUUCCUGAUCCGGUGAGUACUCCUCACUUUCGUCGGCUUGCAGUACCCACUGGGAUGGGAGACAUGUUUACAUAUUCUCACCUCCCCCACCAUUUUUCAGGUAUUGCGGGCGGUGAGAGUUGAGACGAGACGUGAGAUACGUUCGUUGCGGUCGAUAGAGCUUCCGACCCAGGUUAUUCAGUUUAUCUUCUACCCUUACUAUUUUAUUAAUUUAGCUUAGACAGUUGUAUGGUUCAGUAUUUUUAUUACAUGUGAAUAUGUGAGUUUUCAUGAAUGUAAUAAAAGGAUUUGUGGAUUUUGGUGAAAUGGAAAAAUAAUUUUCUACCCCUCGUGGUAGUGUUUUAAAGAAAAAAGGAUUUCCGUGUGGGAAACAGAUUUGAAAAAGGUAUUCUUGUGGUUUUCAUAAACUAGUAUUUCAAAAUGAGUUUCCGGGUAGGAAACAUUUCAACUAAUAGUUGUGGAUUUAUGUUUCAGACUAUGAAUGUAAACCUGUGGUGAAUGGUGUAUGAACUUAUGAAUGUAUAGAUGUUUGUAUGUUCAGUGGUAGUGGUUGUAUCCUGGUCAUGUACUUGUACUUGUGCGACGCCGUGCAAAUACAAGGGAGACUCUGUCCGUGUGAACAAUGGACUCCCUGUAUUUGUGGCGGGUCUGGCAUAUCCUAGGGUCAGGUUUUCAAAAUNCAGGGGUCAGGUUUUCAAAAAAAAAAAAAAAAAUCGCUGUAUUUAAACUAUAAAGAGACCCCGGGGCGUGACAGAUUAAAAUGGUGUCAGAGCCAAGUUACAACCACGGCACCAUUCACAGGUUAUUUUGAUAAAAUAAAUAAAAACUGAACCAUUUGUUAGGUUGACCCAUAGGAAGACCUACGGUUUAUAGGCACGUGAGUGCGGGCUUUGGGCUUGAGUCCCGAUGUGCAUUCGAGAUUGGUAAACUCGAAGUGCACGGUUAUUUCCAUAUGUACGGUUUUCGCACAAGCUCGUGUCGUAGUCGGGAGUAGUGGCGGUGUACAUAUACGGACAUCGAGUGGCGGGGUGAGGUUCCCCAGGUGUAGCCACUCCUGUCAGGUCGGGCCUUGAAGGGCCAGUGAUUUUCGGGCUUAGAUGAGUGUCUUGACUGCCGAUGCCCGGGCCACUCUUCCUACUUUGGACACGAGAGCUACUGCGAGUGUCUCUACGGAGACAGCACUAAGACCUGUUACGGUCGCGACUUCUGUGGGGCUACUAGGGUGUAGUCCAGGGUGUGGCUAGUAGCUGUCUAGACGACUGCAACAUUGGUGUUGCUUUCACAGAUCUUGGGUAAGGUUGUGAUGCCUAUCCCUCAUUCUUGUUUGCUGAUGGAAUCAGCGGUUUGGGUCUUUGACCUUUAACUAGUUCAUACGUCAAACUGACGCGUACUAGAAUCGGUUAGACACAGUUUUGGUGUCAGGUCUCUGUUGAUACAUACAUUGUAUGCGGUUAUCCUUAACACCUAAACUGGUGUGUCAUGGGAUAGUAGAUGGUUUGGUAGGAUCCGUCUUGACUCGAGUUACUCCAAGGUAUUGUCGGAGUUCUCGGCGCUUCGAGUAUAGCUCGGUUGUGGUGCGGAAAUCGGUUAGAGAAACCAUUUCCUAUAGCCUCGGCUUGUGUUGUUCGGGGCUUAGUGUCGCUAGCAGCUUUCAGAUGUUUUAAGCUACGGGACUCCUGGUGAGUUGGUUCAGGGUCGAUCUGUUUUUGAAUGUCGGCUUGCAAAGUCGAUGUUUCGACGAUUUUUGUUGUGAACUUUUGGUUCAGUGAGGAAGUAUCAGGUGGCUUGAUACUUCGAUGUGUCAUGCUUCCAACUCGUUGUUGGUAGUGGAUCUUCGGAUAUUUCGCUUUUCUUUUGAUAAGUACAUUGGCUGUAGACAAUGUACUGUCGAAAGUUAGGACGAAAUACCCUCUUCCCGUUUGGGACUCAUGGAUUGGGUCGGUAUUUUUCUCUAAAUUGUCUUGGGAAAUCUUGAGUGACCACAUAGUGAGCCUUGGAUUAUUCCCUAGCAAGUUUUGCGUAGUUGAUUUAUCGUCACUGCUUAUGGUUUUGACUCUGGUUGAGUCUAGGUGCUCGUUAGUUCUUUAGUUGUGCUUCCCACAGCUAAAAGAUUUGUUUGGUUAGUAGUCUCGGUCUGUUUGCCAGGAGGUUCAGAAUCACAGUUGUUGAGUGACUUAAGCCCGGUUGUUGGUUUUGAUUGUCACCGUAUGUGAUAGCGUGUAAGGUUUGCGACUCAGCUUAUCGUGCAAACCUUGGAGUGGUAUGCUUGUACGGUUAUUUUGUGACAGGUGGGCCUAGGUCUCAAUGAGACAGGUAUUUGGGAGUUGCUGGGAACAUCGAUCGCUAGGGUCCUUUGUAGGACGGCAGCGACAGGGUCUCGUAGAGACAGGUGUUGGGCAUCACCGAUGGUUAGUAUCACAUAUUGCGAUUGGCGACCCUGUGCACCAAGUAAUGGGCUUGCAUGGGACAUAUGUUGGUUGGAUUGAAAUAUUGAGCGAACAAAUUGUCCAGCUCAAUUGGUAUUGUCAGCCUUGGACCUUUUGGUCUGGUGGAAAGUGAGGCCUUGGACCUAGGACUGUAGAAUGCUGCAGGUGACUUUCCGUUGAUGGAGGUUGACUUUGGCAGUUGUGUGGUAACUGGUCAGAGACCGUGGUUUCCAAGGUGAGUGAUUUGACUCAGGUUUGAGGUCAACGAUGCGCCUUCGCUCGAGGUGAGCUUGUUAAUGUUGUUUUCUAGUCAGCACGUGUCGUUUUGACCUACGAAACUUUUCCGGACUUGUGGGGCUGUUCUGCGACUUUUCUACAUGAACUAUAGACGUAGUCGAGUCGGUCACUGCUACGCGGACCAAGGUUGAGUAGACCUAGAAUUUCUGAGUGUUGAAAUGUUAUCUCAGAAACGGCAAAUUGGGAUCGAACAAUCCUAGUCGCGGGACUGUCUUUGUCCGCAGGUUAUAGGAUGGUGUUGAUCCUGGUGGGUUGUGGUCCGUAGAUUUUGGGUUGGUACAUUACCCUCGUCUUGUCCGAGUAGGACCGUAUCCUAUCCUUCCCUUUCUCAGAGGUUGAUCUGUCCAAAUACAAGGAUUUGUGACUGACCAGUACAUUGGUGGAGCAAUGUCUGAUUGCGAUUUCAGUGGGUAUGUGGCCAAGUUUCGGGGACAAAACUUCUUUUAAGGGGGACAUAAUGUAAGGACUAAGAUUUUGACAGUGCAGCUAAACUCUCUGUUGAUGAUGUUUCUAUGUGUAAUUUAAUUACAUAAACACUCGUCAAGUUUUAGGAGAAAAUGAGCUAGAAUGGAGAAGUUACGUGAUCUUUAGUUUUCACUUAAGUGAAUAGUAACUCCGGUUUUUCGGAGAAGCCACGGAGUAGAGUUGGCUUUUGGCGCAUCGUUCAUAGCGAUCCAAUAGCUCGUUUCGACCGGUUCAGCUAUUCUAGAACCAAUGGCACUGACGGAUUUCAAAUCUGAUGCACGAUUUUCGAGAAAAAAGAGUUUUACCGAAAAGAGGGCUUUCGUUCCUUGCUAUUCUCGCAUUGUGAAACCCCUCGUGCUCUGUGCUUGUGACCUGGAGUUGGGUGAAGGACGUUUCGGGUCCCUACUAGCGGUAAGGAAGUCAAAUUUCAAAUGCGAAGUUUGGUUUAUUGGGUUUACACAUUAGUAUAUGUGUGAUAUAUAGAUUAGUUGGAGAGCGGACGAGUUCUGUUGCAAAUCGGCGACCAAAUCGGAUGAAACGAAAUUGUAGUUUCGAUGCCCCCGUCGUGCUAAAUGCGAUGGCACAGUCGGAUUGAAAAUCCGACGGACGGAUUUCCGGUAAUUGCAUAGUUUUCGCUAAGAGGUCGAAGGUGGCGAUUCGGAAACUUUGCAAAAGUCAUCAUAUUUUACGUACCAAAUCGCGCGAGAUCGGACGUGGAGGUGCGUACGUGCAAAAUACACGCGUGGGCAGGGACUUGGAUGAAAAUAUUCAGCUUUGGGGGACGUUUAUGCAAAAUGCCACUUGUAUAUAAGUUUGCAACUAGGGUUUCUUUGCAUGAAACCCUAGAUCCAGCCGACCUAGCUCCCCCAACUAACCCUAGCCAUCACCAGCAUCACCAUGCCCUAGCUGUGCGUGCACCCCGGUCGCCGGCAAGUGCCCCGGCCGCCGAAAAACUCGAUCCCGGCAACCUCUCCAUCUCUCUCUCUCAACCAAUCCACCACCCUCCUCGGCCUUGGAGCUCGGGAAGCCACCACCAGUGUAAGAUCUCAUUCCCUUGACCGUGGCCCAACCUCCGGUAGCUCCCCCGUCGGUCCCCACCGUCGUCGUGCGCCGCCGUCGCCGCCCUGGCAGGCUGCGGCCAGAUCUAGCUAAACCUGGCCAUGGAGCUUCAGCUCUAUCCUCGUGCUGUCGCUGCCGCCUUGAGACGGCCGAGUUGCCCCACCCGGAGCCUCGGCGACCUCCGCCGCCGGCCCGUACCGUCCGCGCGUGUCGCCGAGCCGCCCAUGCUCUCGGCGGCCAACCCAGACCCGGCUGGGACCGAGCUCAGCUUGGCUCGGGGCCCGCGCGCUGCCAUCACCUCUGGCUGACUGUGCCGCCUUCCUGGGCCUCCGGCGACCCGUCGCCGCCGCCCCGUAGCCCCUCCGGCUGCCGCCUGGCUACCUCUGCACUGUGAGCCCAAGGUGGAGGCCGUGCGGGCUCGGGAUCUCCCUGCGCCGCCACCGCCGGCUCCCGACGCCGGCCGGCGUGAGCACCGGCUCACAAAAGGUAAGCACCCUGCUCUUGCAGUCAAUCGUCAUGUAGUACUUCGAGAGCCAAUCCAUGCCCAAUAUGACAUCAUACUCUUUCAGCUUCUUGAGCACCAACAUGCGAAUCGGCAUUAUCCAAUCGCCUAUUUGUACUGGGCACGUUAAACACUCCUUGCGGAUCAGAAAAUCACGCCCAGGGCCAGACACACGCCAAGUGCUCUUACUAAAUUGAAACUCGAUACCAUGCAUUUGUGCAAAUGGCCUGCUUAUGAAUGAAUGCGUAGCACCUGUAUCAAACAUAGCUCGGGAGCGAACUCCGUUAAUUAAAACCAUACCUGCCACCACAUGGCGCUCCUCAGGCUCGGCAGGUUCCUCCACUUGAAUUUGAGCGGCGAACACCCGCCUGCUCGGUGCCGAUCGUGUCACCUUAGGUUGACGCGGCGCCAUCGUGUGUCCCGCUGACACCGCCGUCGGUGGAGCUCCCACAUAAUGAGCUGGAAUCACCGGCGCUAAUGCAAUGGAUGGAGCAAGCGAGGCUCUACCUCCUGGGCAAUCACGUAUGAAGUGCCCCGGUUGCCCGCACUUGAAGCACUUGCCUUGGCGCUGAUAACAACGCGACGAUUGGUGGUUUCCGCCGCAAAUGACACACCGCCGCGCUCCACGGCCCUUGUACUGAGUCCGCGGAUACUUCGGGGGCUUUUUAGAACUCGUCGGACCCCCCGAACCGCCGCCUUGCUGUUUCUUGCCCUUAUCCUUGGACUCAGCUAAAAGCUCACGCUCCUCGCGCACAUGGGCAUCUUCGUGCUCUGCCCACAGCGCCGGAUCAAACACCUCCGCAAAGGUCGUGAGCUUGAAUAUCUGCACGACCUUGUAAAUUCCUGGCCGAAGUCCCCUCAAGAACCAGUCGGCUCUGUCCCUAUCAUCUUUCACCAUAUCCGGGACAUAGUCAAUGAUGUGGGAAAACUAUUGCUCAUAGUAGCCACAGUGCGGUCCCCCUGUCGUAAUUUGCGGAACUUCUCUUGCAGCUUCCGCUUCUGAGUAUCGGGGAAGUAGUUGGCGAACAUCGCCCUCUUGAACUCUUCCCACACCAUCGGUGGAAGUUCCGAAGGCCUAUCUCGCUUCACUCUCUUCCACCACACUUUCGCUGUCUUCUCCAAACAGUGUAUGGCGAGGUACACCUUGUCCUUCUCCGAGGUGGACAGGUCCUCGAAGAGCGUCUCCAUCGAGUCGACCCACGACUUGACCAUCGCCGGCACUACCUUCUUUCCCUCGAAGAUAGGCGGAUGAAACUUGUUGAACUUGAUCAGAGCCGCCAACGCGCGCUCCUUCUCCGCUUCCUCAGCCGUCGCAUCGGGUGUCACCGAACCCGACGCCGCAGGAGGAACGACCAUCGGCGGGGGAUGUGCCGCCACCGGAAUCGCCGCUAUACCCUCACCCUCAGCAGCUUCGGGCUCACGCGCCGAGGGUGCGAGUGGAACACGACCGUCCGUCGCCAUCGCAGUCGUCGCUGCUAAUUGCCGUUCCAUCAACUCUCGGAGCUGCCCAAAUUGACCCGCAAGUGCGGUCACUUGCGCCCGAAGCUCCUGCAUCUCGUUCGGCCCGGCCUAUGCAGGCACCACAGGAGGCUCUGGGGCUCGUGCAGGUUCAACUUGCUCGGGCACCUCGGGAGGCGGUGCCGGAGCCGAUCUGCCUGUGUAGUGUCUCUUCGGGGCCAUUAGCUCCUGAAACGCAAGUACUUGGUUAAUCAUCUUAACCCAUUUACUUCGUCGCAACUACGACUCAAAAUGAUCCAACAACGAAAUCGGGCGGAAGCACACAAGUGUACUCGUUCUAGGCUCUCGGCAUCAUGUCGUCGGCCGCCGACACAACCACCUCAAGUCAAGAACUAAUACAACUUGAAUUCAUCUCUAACAACUACUAGAGACAUAUCGCCAACUUCGACCCAAUCGAAUCACUUCCGCCACCGUUAUUGGUUCACGUUCCACUCACGCACUUAUAACCUUAAGGUUCACCGUCCUAGGGUCUCCUAGGUCAAUCCUAGACUUUUUCUCUUUACUUGCUCUUAUUGCUCUGAUACCAUUUAUAUCUGUCACGCCCCGGGACCGCUACCAAUUUGGCACGGCUCGAGCGCGUCGAACAGACGCCGAACAGACAGCACCUCCCCCGUCCGCCCUAGGCCAACAACCCGAUCAUGCACAAGAAUUUGCCCAGGAAAUAGAAAUUCAUACAUACACGAUCACAAGGGCACAAAUAGUGCCAACAUACAAGAGCAAGAAUCCACAAGCAUACACAAGUAAAAUAAAGAGAGAUAUAACUAGCUAUUACAUCCAUUUGCAUUCAAUUACAUUUUAAGGCUCUUUUACAUCACUCCCAAAAUGAAUACAUAAUCCUUUCAAAUACAUAAGUGGCUCUCCCAAAAUAAAAAGCAUCUAGAUACAUAAGGGUACUAUAAUGCAAAAGGGAAGCUACUCUACUACUGCUCGGGCGUUAUGCCCUUACUGCGGUCCUCGCCCGGCGCGCUCAUACUAGGCCCUGCAACAAAGUGGGGUGAGAACUAUUGUCCAUAGUUCCCAAUGGGUUCAGCCGCCGACUCCGCCGAUCUCCCCACUAGGUCCGAGUGGGCAAAAGCAGAUAGAUAGAUAGUUAUGAAAAACUGUAAAUGCAAUAGUAGGAAAACUAUGCUACUAUGCCCAAUCAUAUGUCGUAUAUGCAUGCAUCAUAUAGUAAAAGGUUUACUAACAUGCUACUAUGUCCACUAUUCAUGUCCAAUAAGCAAAUGUUCAAGUAACAAUACUAUUCUCACGUUCAACCAAUCCUUGGCGAUCCACUUGGGUUCGCCCACGACUCACCUCAAACCUCGUAUGGUAAGGAGACACACCUCGCUCUCAAACCCAAGGCCGCCUACGCGACAUCAACUCUGCCCCUCUCGCACCAAACUCUGAAGUGCACGAAGACCUGGGUGGUGCGACCACCACAAGUAUGAACAGACUAUGAAUAUGAUCAAUCCUCUCAACUCGAGGAUACCCUAUCAACUCUAGGGUUACAAGUCACUCGGGAAUCCACCUAUCCCAAAGUCCAAUUAUGAAUGUUUGGCUACAUUAUGUUCUUGUCCAACGAGUCAUUUACUAGGGAAUCCACCUAUCCCUAAGUUCACAUACCACUAGUGUCAUUUACACUAAGUUAUAUGCCACUCGUUCUUGUUUGUUUAACAGUCAAUGCCACUCAAUAUGUCUUUAACAAUCAUCGAGUUCAUCUCCUCUCUCAGCACUAUAGAAUUCAAUGUUAAGACCCAAUCCUCAUCUAACCAUCAUCAUGCAUUCAACUCAUACAUCGAUAUCAUUAGCAAGCAUAAGGAAAGGAAUAACAUGCAAUUCUACAAUGCUACAUGCAAGAGAUGCAAAUCAUGAAGUACUAAGACAUAGAGAGAAACCCGGUUGCUUCGGGAUGACACCACCUACCUUUCAACGAUGUCAGGGGCUAAGAACACUAUUCGGCACUUGCUUUAACACCGCUUCGACCUCCUAGGUGGAAACGAAGCUUGAUCGGUCUUGUUUUGCCAAUAACUUUUCACCGACUCGACGAAUGCUCAAUCCGUCUUCGCCCACGCGUUUAGACACCUAUCAAUUAGGUUUAGAUGCCCUCAAUUGAGAUCAAACCACUCUAUUUAGGAAAACCCCAAUUUGGGUGCCCUAGGUUUGCACUAUAGCAAAACCCACCAACAAAACUCUAGAUUCUAGCAUCAAGCAACUACUAAGCAUGCUAGGAGUCCAUUUGACCCAUUCACUGUCACGCCCCGGGACCCAGCAUAGGCCCGCCCGAUGCAUGCCCAGACCCGCCAUAUGCCUACACAUAUAAGACGUCUACAAUAAUAGAAAUAUAAAAGCAAGUAAAGUAGAACAUCUAUAAAUAUCAGAGCAACUAGCAGCUAAAGACUAACAACAAGUAGGAGAAAGGAAACUGAACACUAAGGCAUAAUGUAAACUAAUACAUCAUAGAUCUCAAGAUACAAAAGUAGUAUGGUCACUAUAACAAGGUACAAAACUCUCACAACCUCUCCAAAUGAAAAACAAAAAAGAGGUGGACCACCAAUCGUCAAAUCCCUCGAUAGCUAGCUCGAGGCGAAACCUUUCCCGCGAUCCCGAGCCCCUCCCGAAGUGGAAGGCUCUGAAAUAAAACAUAAAACAGGGGGCGUGAGAACUAUAAUUUAUAGUUCCCAGUGGGCAAUUACUGACCUUAGCCAAAUGCGCCACUAGGCCCAAAUCAUGAGCAAAUAUAGACAAUGAAAUAAUAACUGCAGAAAUAAAAGCAUAUAAUAAAUGCUAUACUACUGUGCCACAAGUAAACAUGAUAUGAACAUGAAGUACAUCUACUCUAUCAUGAUCCAAUAUGCCAAAAUAUAUCUAGUAUGCUAAAAAUGCAAUACUAUUAAGUAUACUACAUAUCCAAGCGUCCAAUACAUAUCUAGUAUGCACUAUUAUGGUGACCAAGUAUAUUCUAUGUCCCAAUGUCCACUGAAUCUAACUACGAUAUACUAUCAAGUAGUGAUUAUAACAUAUACGACUCCGUGUCGAUUUCCAUGUCCGAAUUAAGGACCUACACAAGGUAGUUGUCACGCCUCGAGACCCAGCAGAAGCCCGCCCGGCGUGUGUCCAGACCCGCCAUAUGUCUGAAACAUAUAAGGCGUAUAAAACAAAACGAUAAAUGAAGCAGUAAAAAGAGAGCAUCUGGGAGUAUCAGAGCAAGUAUAUCUAGAUGCUACAAUAGAGAAAAAGAACCAUAAAACUAAAAUCCACUAGAUGAAAACGUAAAGUAGUACAAGAAGAAUCCGAAACAAGUGCCAUAAGUAAAUACAUAGGUGGUCUCUAUACAUGGAUACAAAACCUCUCUCUCUCUCUCAACAACAACAAAAAGAGAGAAAACCACCUAAGCAACAGUAAAUCCUUGCUAUCUAGCUAGCGAUCCCCUUACCGCGAUCCUGUGCCUCCGCCGGUACAGAAGGCUCUAAAAAGAAAAUAUAGAAACAGGGGCGUGAGAACUAUUAAAUAAUAGUUCCCAGUGGGCAAUUACUGACUUCAGUGAAAGCACUACUGGGCCCAAAAGAGCUAAACAGGUAAGUAACAAUAAAAGCAAUAGAAUCGAUAUGUAAGUAAACAUGUAAACUUACUACAACAUGAUAUCUCUACUUAGUAUGAAUUUGCACAAGUAAUAAAAGACUAUUCUAACAUGAAUGUACCAAAGUAUCACUAGCAUAAUGUCCAUAAGCUAAAUAGUAAAAUAUCUUGUUUACUAUUCUAGUCAAUAUCCAGUCGGUAUGCUAAGUCAUCAAUGAUCCAAUCCUGUAAGACCUACCCGUAGGUAGUCCGGCCUGCGUCGUGUCUAAUGGCCCCGUGGUAGUCAACAUCCCCAUUCUAGGAAUGAGCCUUCCCCACGGCAUCCCAUUUCGGCGCCCAAUCCCGCACGAGCGAGCAUAUGUCGCGAUGGCUAUCUCCAGAGUGCCAGUUUGUAGGGAGCGACCCUCACAAGCAUGUGCGAAUAAGCACAAUGGCAAGCAAGCGAAAGAUUUGUCUCAAGUACCAAGUCCUCAUGUCUAAAACAUGGAAUAUACGUCGAAUGUCUCAAAGGCCUAUCUCUAUGUCAUCAUGUCUCUAACAUGGAAUAUAGCAGAUGUUCAAUGGCCUAUCACUAUAUCUCUAAGUUGCAGUUUCACAGUUUACUAUGUCAAGUGCCUCUUUAUGGCAUUUUUGUCCACUAAGUCCACACAUGAGUUUAUUGUUUACAAUGUAUGAUUUGAGUAAUUUCUAACAUAAGAGACAUGUUUCCAAGUCGCUAAUACGAACACUCCUCAUAUGCAUGCAAAAAUGCCCAGAAUGCCCUACUAUAUAGAGUGAAAUUUUCAUGAUACAUAAGGCAUGCAUUUUAAGUGUUCUAAAAUUCACAUAAAUCUCAUUUAACAUGAAUAUGCAAUCAAAUUGACGUUACGACAAGUAUAGAAUACUUAGAGGCCAUUUCACCCCGAUUUCAUGAAGUCAAACCCACCGAAGUUACCGAAACCCUUCAUAAGCUCCGAUGAAGGUGUCCACCACUCUCCUAGUACCCUAAAGGUAUAGAAAAGAUAGUUAAACGAACCUUACGAACGCUCAAGUGAUCGAUCAUUAACCAUCUCAAGCUAAGGUGGAGAAACUCACCUCAAGCGAAGAAAUCCUCUCUCAAGCUCCAAAUAUGAGCUAGAGUUCUUCAAAUCCAACCUAAAUAAAGGUUCUAAACCCAUCAAUUAUGUUUCAAAGCCCUCAAAUCGAAAAUCUCCAAAAUAAACCCUAAUUCCACAAUCUAGGGUUUCAUCUAGCAAAAUCUAGAAAAAACUUGUAUUAAAUAGGGAAUACAAGCUACCAAUCUCAAGAGAAGCUCCAAUCCAAGCUCUAAACCAAGUAGGGUUGAAGCUUGAUUGUCACGCCCCAAUCCCCGCCAAUUUGGUCGGGUUCGGGUCACGUCAACAGACGCCGAACGGACAGAGCCUCCCCUGUCCGCCCAAGGCUCCAACAUCGCGUAUAAAUAAGCAAUUUAACAAGAGAAUUGCAUAAAUAAUACAAGGCUUGCUCGAGGGCAAGCAACGACGGAAGCGAAAGCUCUAAGCUAGUUAUACAACACACAUGAUAUUUGAUUUCUUUUAAACCAAAUUCAAGUAAUAAAACUAUUACAAUCCAUUCAACCAUCAUAUCUUUUUACAUUUAGUCAUCCACCAAAAAAAACACAUGAUUGUUUACACUUUUCAUUUCUAAAUCAACAAAAUAAAGUUGAUACAUGUAUAACAAAAGGGAAUGACUACAAAAUGCAUAAAGUCCCCGGUGGCCGCUACCUACGGCGCCAAACCCUUGCCUCGGUCCUCCGCCGCCCCGCUCGUGCUAGGACCUGUAGGGUUAGUGGUGUGAGAACUACAACGAAGUUCCCAGUGGGCUCGGCAUCCGACCUCGCCGACUUACCCACUAGGUCUAUCCAGGCAUAAGUAUUUCAAAGGAAGGAAAGUAACCAUUACUAAUGCAACUAAUACUAUGCCUGCAAGAAAAAUUCAGUAGAUAUACAAUUUCAAUGCGAAAAUGGAAAUGCAUGCAUGCUCCAAUCAUAAACAAAUUUUGGCUCUUACCCAAUCUUACCGGUUAACUCUGUUAACCCCAAAAACUCACAACCCAAAAUCCCUUAAUAACGGGGGACUCGAACCUCCCUAGGGACCGUCAACUGGUGGGACUUUACCACGCCCAGUGGUGACCAACUCCGGAGCGCACCGCUCGAGGGGGAGCGACCUCCCUCAAGCCACGACGAUAGGUGAGUAUCGAUCUAAUCCUCAACUUGAGGACUCAUAGCCAUUAGUCACAAUGCCAAUAUCACAAUAGGUCUCUACCUAUUUAUUCUUGCCACUCUCCAGGCUUUAUCUUCGACCAUGACAUUACGGGUCAAACUAUAUUCAACGGUCAUCUCUCAAUGCAAUUCUUGUUUCUAUGUCAAUGACACCCUUGUUUACUAAUUGUCCAAGUCCAUUCUUACGUUCACACAUCUCGAGGGUCCAAUCACACAUGUCCGUUUUGGUUCUAUCAUUCUCUAUGUUCAACUACGUUAGAAGCAUAUAGAUGAAGUCAAACCAAGUUCCACAAGUAGCUACCCUACUAUGCAUGAAUGGGUAUAUAUAUAUAUAUAUGCUCAAGAAUAAAGAAAACAGACAUAGAGGGGAAUCCAACGAUUCCGGCGUGCACCCCCCACCUCUAUGAGUCGUGUGGGUGAAGAAUAUUAAGGCCCCCGCACUUUACGAAAGCCGAUUUCGCGCCCUAUAAUCAAAUAGUGCCAUAUUAGGCCUUUUUGUACAUGAACUAUACUCUAAUAUUCUCGAAAUAUUAAACGAAGUUGUUCAACGUGUUGUGGGCACACCCAAUUGGGUUUCUACAGGGUCAAUUUGUCCCCGAAAAAUCCUAGGGCGAAAACCCCAAAUUCAAGCCCUAAUGUUGCCAUUUAGGGUUUCCCCAUGAAUCGAUCCCAACCCUAAGCAAAGAAUAGCUUAGGAUCAUCUAAGAAGCAUCCUAGUAAGGUUUCUAGACCUUUGGUACCAACCCUAGGGCUCCAAACAUCAUCUCCAAGGAUUCACCAUGAGAGCACCUUGAGCUCUCAUGGGUUCCAUGGUGUUCAUGGCUCAAAAGAGCUUCUAAAACCUCUAAGGAGCACAAAGCUCCAAAUCUCUUAACCAAAAUCCAAACCCUAGAGGAAAACCUUACAAAACUUACCUCUAGUCCAAGCCCCACCAAGAUUCUCCUUGUUGGAGAGCUCCUAGAACCUCCAAAGCCUCCAAAUCCUCCUCCUCUUCUCUUCUUCUUCUUCUUCUCCAAGUCCUAGUGCAUGGGUUCUAGAGAGAGAAAGAGAGGAAAAUGGGUGAGAGGGUGGAAAUGGCUGUGGGAGAGAGGGGAUGGGCCAUAUAUAGUGUUGUAACAAUUGCACAUAAGCCCCUCCACUUGUUUCCCAUCAAUCUGCCCAGACUGGGCAAUUUUCGCCUUCGGGGAUCGGUCUCCCCGACCAGGGACCGGUUCCCGAACGGGGGUUUUCCAGGACUUAGCCAAAUUUUCGAGUUUUUCGGCUGUUGCGCAGCGAGGGACCGGUCUGCCCGUCAGGGACCGGUCUCCCGAGGACCGGUCUCACCACCAGGGACCGGAUGCCUCAGGAUUUCCUGGCAGGCUACGCGUACGGGGACCGGUUUCUCCUUCAGGGACCGGUCCCCGAGAGCUCAAAAUCUGGGACUUAGCCAGAUUUCCAGAUUCGCUCUCCGGGUCCCUUUUUGCUCCAUUUAUGAACUCCAAUGCACUUAGGGUCCACUGUGACUCGUUCAAUUCCGCGUUCCACUCGUUUUGACGGAACUCGGCACGACUUACGAGGGACGUGGUAUGUUACAUUGAUCCUCUACAAAGCUCCAACCGCAAGCUCUAAGCCACCAAUGUGUGAUGAAAGGAAGAAGAUGAUGCUCCAAGUCCUCCAAGUAAGCUUCUCUCCUCUCCUUCUUCUUCUCCUUCUCUUUCUCUCUCUAGUGUGGGUGUGAGGGAGAGAAAUGAGAGUGAGAAUAAGAGAGAGAACCAUAUAAGCCAUCCUAAGUAACAAAAUCUACUUAGGUCCCUCAACAAUCAACACUGUGCACAGCCCGGACUGGGCAGUUUUCGGACUGAGGGACCGGUCUCCCCGACCUGGGACCGGUCUCUCAGCCUGCCCCGAAAAUCCAACGUUCGGGAACUGGCCUCCCCCCGCCUGGGACCGAUCUCUCCCCGUGUAGUCACGCUCGGGGACCGGUCUCAGCCGCCAGGGACCGGUUGCCUCGUAGGCUACCGCAACACUGUUCUGAGGGGACCGGUCUCUCCUAUCAGGGACCGGUCCCCAAGAGUGAAAACUCUCAAGACAAAGCCAAAACUCCAGGAAUUGAACUUUUAGGUCGGAAUACCAUCUACGACCUUCCACCAAGUGUGAAAAAGUUCGGAAUCCAUAUCAAACACUCGAACCUCGCAAUUUGCAAAGGUCCAGUGUGCUACAUUCACCCCUCCUAAAAAGGAGUUUCGUCCGCAAAACUCAAAAGGAAACACAUACCUCAAAGCUCCAUCUGAAAAAGAUGGGGAUAGCGCUCCCGCAGUGUGCUCUCUAGCUCCCACGUGGCCUCCCGCUCCCCGUGGUUGCUCCAAAGAACCUUUACAUAGGGAAUAUCCCGAUUACGCAGUUUCCGCACCUUGCGAGCCAAAAUCCUCACUGGUUGCUCCUCAAAGUUCAAGUCGUCCCGCAACUCCACAGGUGUAGCAUCCAACACAUGAGUCGGGUCGAAGACAGACUUCCGAAGGACCGAUACAUGAAAGACGUUGUGCACGCCCGAUAGGUUCGGUGGUAGAGCAAGUCGAUACGCUACCGGACCUACACGCUCCAAAAUCUCAUACGGUCCAAUGAAACGGGGGCUCAACUUAACCCGAAUCCCGAAUCUCUUCAUCCCUCUAGUCGGCGAGACCUUAAAGAAAACAUGGACUCCAACAUGGAACUCCAAGUCUCGCCGCCGUCGGUCGGCGUAGCUCCUCUGUCUACUCUGUGCCGUCAAAAGUCGCUGCCGAGCAAUUCGAACCUUGUCCUCUGCUUCCAGGAGCACAUCAAGGCCCAAAGCUAAUCUCUCGCCAACUUCACUCCAAUGAAGUGGCGAUCUACACUUCCGUCCAUAAAGUGCUUCGAACGGCGCCUUCUUGAUGCUUGCUUGAUAACUGUUGUUAUAAGCAAACUCUGCCAUCGGUAGAUAAUGCGACCAUCCUCCCUGGAAGUCAAUCACACAUACUCAGAGCAUAUCCUCUAAAGUCUGAAUGGUGCGCUCCGACUGUCCGUCACUCUGAGGGUGGAAAGCAGUGCUGAAGUCCAGUCGGGUGCCCAAGGCGUCCUGCAGACUCCUCCAAAAGUGAGACACAAACCGGGCGUCUCUAUCCGAUACAAUCGAAGUAAGCACUCCAUGAAGUCGCACAAUCUCAUCAAGGUACACUUGUGCGAGCUUCUCUCCGGUCCAAGUAGUAUGAAUAGGUAUGAAGUACGCCGACUUCGUCAACCUAUCCACGAUCACCCAAAUAGCAUCAUGCCCGGCCUGAGAGCGGGGCAAUCCAGUCACGAUAUCCAUGGUGAUCUUCUCCCACUUCCACACUCGAAUAGGCAAACUCUGAAGCUUUCCCGCGGGUAAAAGGUGCUCAGCUUUCACUUGUUGGCAAGUUAGACAUCGAGCUACAAACUCGCCAACGUCCUUCUUCAUCCCAGGCCACCAAUAAAGCAACUUCAAGUCCUUAUACAUCUUAGUGCCUUCCGGAUGUAUAGCAUACGGUGCCCGGUGUGCUUCUUGAAGAAUAUCCUAUUUAAUUCCCGAAUCCGCCGGUACACAAAUCCGUCCACGGAAACGCAUCAAUCCUUGGUCAUCCACAAGGAAAUCACCGGUGCAACCAUUAACCAUUUUAUCUCGAACCUUUUGCAACUCCACAUUGGAAGCAUGCUUCUCUUUAAUUCUACCCAAGAGUAUAGGUUGCACUACCAAGGUCAUCAAUCUCAAAGGCGUGUCAGGAGUCACCACCUUCAACUCCAAUCGCUUCAUCUGCUCGAUCAACUGCAGUUGAGUAACAACAUGCAUCGCUAAGUUUUUCGUUGAUUUCCUACUUAGCGCAUCCGCCACCACGUUAGCCUUACCCGGGUGGUAUAGGAUCGUCAGCUCAUAAUCCUUGAGCAGCUCCAGCCAUCUGCGCUAUCUCAAGUUCAACUCCUUUUGAGUGAACAAGUACUUCAAGCUCUUGUGAUCCGUGUACACUUCACACCGCUCGCCAUAAAGAUAGUGGAGCCAUAACUUCAAUGCGAAGACUACGGCCGCCAACUCCAAAUCGUGAGUAGGGUAAUUCUUUUCAUAUUCCUUCAGUUGGCGAGAAGCAAACGCGAUCACCUUGCCGUCCUGCAUCAAAACACAGCCCAAUCCGUUAAGAGAUGCAUCACUGUAAACCACAUACCCUGCUUCAGCAACUGGCAGGCUUAAGAUAGGGGCGGUCGUCGGUCGUUGCUUCAGCUCUUGGAAGCUUCUCUCACACGCAUCAUUCCAAAUGAACUUGACACCUUUAUGCGUGAGCCUCGUGAGGGGAGUAGAUAGCUUAGCGAACCCCUCAACAAAUCUCCGGUAGUACCCGGCCAAUCCAAGGAAGCUCCGUAUCUCCGUGACGCUCGUCUGUCUCGGCCAAUCCUUGAUUGCUUCAAUCUUCUUAGGAUCCACAGCUAUACCCGAUCCUGAAAUCAAAUGUCCAAGAAAAGCUACCUCUCGAAGCCAAAAUCACACUUUUUCAGCUUGGCAUAAAGCUCCCUUUUCCGAAGUACUUGGAGUACAAAUCUCAAAUAUUCCUCAUGAUCUGCAUCACUUCGAGAAUAAACCAAAAUGUCCUCGACGAACACCACGACGAACCUAUCUAGAUAAGGCUUAAAAACAUGGUUCAUUAGAUCCAUAAAAGCUGCCGGGGCAUUAGUAAGCCCAAACGGCAUAACUGUGAACUCAUAGUGUCCAUACCGUAUUCUAAAAGCCGUCUUUGAUACAUCCUCGGGUUUGAUCUUUAAUUGGUGGUAUCCCGACUGCAAGUCGAUCUUGGAAUGCACACACGAUCCUUGAAGCUGAUCAAACAAGUCGUCGAUCCGCGGCAACGGAUACUUACUCUUGAUCGUGACUUUAUUAAGUUCACGAUAGUCCACACAUAGGCGAAGUGAUCCGUCUUUCUUCUUGACGAACAGAACUGGCGCUCCCCACGGUGAGACGCACGGUCGAAUGAAGCCCUUGUCCAACAGAUCCUGUAGCUGUGCCCUCAGCUCCUUUAGCUCCACCGGUGCCAUCCUAUAGGGUGCCUUCGAUAUUGGAGUAGUCCCAGAGACGAAAUCUACCACAAAUUCGAUCUCCCUAUCGGGUGGCAUACCCAGUAGCUCAGCUGGAAACACGUCCUGCAACUCCCGUACCACCGGGAUAUCCUCAAUCCUGGGGGUGUCAUCCUCGCCCCUCAACACAACGCUAGCCAAGUAGGCUACACAUCCUCGACUGAUCAGCUGCCUAGCUCGAGACGAGCUGAUCGACAUCGCAAAAAGAGAACUCCAGCAUCCUCUAAACACAACCUCAGUCUGCCCCGGUUCUCUAAAAGUAACCGUGUGAUUCUUACAAUCAAUCGUGGCAUAAUACUUGGUUAGCCAAUCCAUACCCAAGACCACAUCGAAGUCCCCUAGCUUGCAGUUCUAGCAAAUCCACGGGCAUGAUCCAAUCUCCUACCCGAACAGGGCAACUAGGGCAAUACUCUCUAAUAUCCAAAGAGUGGUCGGGGACAACCACACAUCCCGGAUGCAACAAAAAAACCAAAGGAAUGCCAUGCAACUUGGCAAACAGCCGAUCUAUAAAUGAAUGCGAUGCACCGGUAUCAAAUAAAGCAGAACUCUAAUGCCAUCAAGUAAAAUGAUACCUGCAACCACAUCCUUGGCUGCUGCCGCCUCCUCGGUCUGAGCGACAUACAUACGCCCACUCGGGGCCUGUCGAGAACCCUCGCUCUAACGCUGGACGGGUGGCCGCCCAGGCUGGUACUGUGUCGACGGAGUCCCGUGGCUAGCGGCUGGUAGAGCCGGUGCCGAUGCAGAUGACUGUGCCGUUGACGAACCCCUCGAGCACUCGGUCCGGAAGUGGCCCUCCUGGCCACACUGGAAACACCUCCCUCCCCGCUGCGGGCACUGCGGUGGAAUGUGGGGACCACCACAGAUCAUGCACUGGGGAGGUCGGCGUCGGUCAAAACCUCCACGGUGGGUCGCCGAGCCACGCCCACGCUGCUGGCUCCUGGGAUGCUUCGGCGGCCUCCUAGAGUGUGUCUGGCUCGCACCCUCAGCCGCAGGCCUCUUGGCCUUACCCUUGUCCAUAGCCUCUCGCCGCUCCUGGACGUCUGCCGCACCGCUCUCCCGGUAGGUUUGGAGGUUAGAGGAUUGCACAAACCAGAAAAUCAACGGUCGCAACCCUUGCUCGAAGAUGUGGGCCUUGUCGUCGUCGUCCCGUACGAGAAAAGGCACGCAGUGUAGAAGCCAAGAAAACUCUCGCUCGUACUCGGCUACUGUCCUGUCUCCCUGGCGCAUGUUGCGCAAGUCCUGCUCCAUCUUCCUCUUGACGCUGGUCGGGAAGUAAUGUGCCAAAAAAAGCUCCUUGAACCUCUUCCAAGUAAUAGCCGCCAAAUCAGUGCUGGGGUUCUCCUGGAAAUCCAACCACCAGCGGUAGGCCUCGCCGUCCAAAUGGUGUGUGGCGAGCCAAACUCGAUCUCUCUCCUCCACGAAGGUGUCGCGAAAGAGCUUCUCCAUAUGCAUCAACCACUUCUCCACGAUCCAGUGGUCGACCUUCUCGCCGUCGAAGAUCCGGGGACUACACCUCCUAAACUCGUUGAGGCGCUCCAUCAGUCGGUCCCGCUCCACUCCUUCGACCAACAUAGAAAAAACAACUCCAAUCGGGGGCGCCUGAACAGGUGGCGCGCCAAAGCCUCCUCCUGAGGCGCGGCCACGAGCGCCGCACACGACGAACUGGGCGCGGGGGACGGCACUCUCUGCACGACGUCCACAACUGGUGCUGGCGGUGUAGGGCCCUCGGUCUCCCUGGAAGCUGCCGCUUGCUGCAGAAGAAGGUCCUCCAGGCGCUUCAUCCGCGCCUCCUGCCGGCGCGCCGCCUCAGUCUGCUGUCGUGCCGCCUCCACCUGCUGAGUCACUAGGUCGGUGGGGGCCGCAAGCUGGCUCCUCAACUCCUAGACCUCGCCAGAUCCGGAGGUAGCGGAGGUCUCGACCUCCCCAAGAUGUGCCGCAUUAUCCGCUCCGGCAGAUUGGGAGCGAGUGAUCGACAUCUCACUACAACAUCAUAAAAGCGUAAGUUAGUAACCCAUGCUAUCGUACCACGCUCAAGCAGAUAAUACCUCAAAUCAUGCGAAAGUAAUGAAGUGUUCUUCACUACUAACUCCCGAUGUUACGUUAUCGGCCGCCAACGUAACCCUCCGCGAGUUAGGAGCUAUACACUUCAAUUUAACUCCACUUUCUAGAGUUAUCAAGAUACCCAAUCAUGAUACUUUCGCUUACAAGUCAAAUAGACCUCGUCUCUCACGAGCCUUUUUCUAUAGCCCAACCGGCCUAAGGUUUGCUAGGUCCACUAAGACUCAAUCCUAGGCUCUGAUACCAAACUAAUCUGUCACGCCCCGGGACCCAGCGGAAGCUCGCCCGGCGCGUGUCCAGACCCGCCAUAUGUCUAAAACAUAUAAAGCGUCUAAAACAAAACGAGAAAUGAAGCAGUAAAAAGAGAGCAUCUAGGAGUAUCAGAGCAAGUAUAUCUAGAUGUUACAAUAGAGAAAAAGAACCAUAAAACUAAAAUCCACUAGAUGAAAACGUAAAGUAGUAUAAGAAGAAUCCGAAACAAGUGCUAUAAGUAAAUAUAUAGGUGGUCUCUAUACAUGGAUACAAAACCUCUCUCUCUCUCUCAACAACAACAAAAAGAGAGAAAACCACCUAAGCAACAGUAAAUCCUCGCUAUCUAACUAGCGAUCCCCUUGCCGCGAUCCCGUGCCUCCGCCGGUACAGAGGGCUCUAAAAAGGAAACAUAGAAACAUGGGCGUGAGAACUAUUAAAUAAUAGUUCCCAAUGGGCAAUUACUGACUUCAGUGAAAGAACCACUAGGCCCAAAAGAGUUAAACAGGUAAGUAAUAAUAAAAGCAAUAGAAUCGAUAUGUAAGUAAACAUGUAAACUUACUACAACAUGAUAUCUCUACUUAGCAUGAAUUUGCAUAAGUAAUAAAAGACUAUUCUAACAUAAAUGUACCAAAGUAUCACUAGCAUGAUGUCCACAAGCUAAAUAGUAAAAUGUCUUGUUUACUAUUCUAGUCAAUGUCCAGUCGGUAUGCUAAGUCAUCAAUGAUCCAAUCCUGUAGGACCUACCCGUGGGUAGUCUGACCUGCGCCGUGCCUAAUGGCCCCGUGGUAGUCAACAUCCCCACUCUAGGAAUGAGCCUCCCCCACGGCAUCCCAUUUCGUCGCCUAAUUCCGCACGAGCGAGCAUAUGUCGCGAUGGCUAUCUCCGGAGUGCCGGCUUGUAAGGAGCAACCCUCACAAGCAUGUGCGAAUGAGCACAAUGGCAAGCAAGCGAAAGAUCUGUCUCAAGUACCAAGUCCUCAUGUCUAAAAUAUGGAAUAUACGUCGAAUGUCUCAAAGGCCUAUCUCUAUGCCAUCAUGUCUCUAACAUGGAAUAUAGCAGAUGUUCAAUGGCCUAUCACUAUGUCUCUAUGUUGCAGUUUCACAGUUUACUAUGUCAAGUGCCUCCUUAUGGCAUUUUUGUCCACUAAGUCCACACAUGAGUUUAUUGUUUACAAUGCAUGAUUUGAGUAAUUUCUAACAUAAGAGACAUGUUUCCAAGUCGCUAACACGAACACUCCUCAUAUGCAUGCAAAAAUGCCCAGAAUGCCCUACUAUAUAGAGUGAAAUUUUCAUGAUAUAUAAGGUAUGCAUUUUAAGUGUUCUAAAAUUCACAUAAAUCUCAUUUAAUAUGAAUAUGCAAUCAAAUUGACGUUACGACAAGUAUAAAAUACUUAGGGGCCAUUUCGCCCCAAUUUCAAGAAGUCAAACCCACCGAAGUUACCGAAACCCUUCGUAAGCUCCGACGAAGGUGUCCACCACUCUCCUAGUACCCUAAAGGUAUAAAAAAGAGAGUUAAACGAACCUUACGAACACCCAAGUGAUCGAUCAUUAACCAUCUCAAGCUACGGUGGAGAAACUCACCUCAAGCGAAGAAAUCCUCUCUCAAGCUCCAAAUGGGAGUUAGAGUUCUUCAAAUCUAACCUAAAUAAAGGUUCUAAACCCAUUAAUUAGGUUUCAAAGCCCUCAAAUCAAAAAUCCCCAAAAUAAACCAUCAUUCCACAAUCUAGGGUUUCAUCUAGCAAAAUCUAGAAAAAACUUGUAUUAAAUAGGGAAUACAAGCUACCAACCUCAAGAGAAGCUCCAAUCCAAGCUCUAAACCAAAUAGGGUUGAAGUUUGAUCCUCUACAAAGCUCCAACCGCAAGCUCUAAGCCACCAAUGUGUGAUGAGAGGAAGAAGAUGAUGCUCCAAGGCCUCCAAGUAAGCUCCUCUCCUCUCCCUCUUUUUCUUCUCCUUCUCCUUCUCUUUCUUUCUCUAGUGUGGGUGUGAGGGAGAGAAAUGAGAGUAAGAGUAAGAGAGAGAACCAUAUAAGCCAUCCCAUGUAACAAAAUCCACUUAGGUCCCUCAACAAUCAACACUGUGUACAGCCCAGACUGGGCAGUUUUCGGACUGAGGGACUGGUCUCCCGACCUAGGACCGAUCUCUCAGCCUGCCCCAAAAAUCCAAUGUUCGGAAACCGGUCUCUCCCCACAUGGGACCGGUCUCUCCCCGCGUAGUCGCGCACGAGGACUGGUCUCAGCCGCCAGGGACCGGUUGCCUCGCAGGCUGCCGCAACACUGUUUGGAGGGGACCGGUCUCUCCUAUCAGGGACCGGUCCCCGAGAGUGAAAACUCUCAGGACAAAGCCAAAACUCCAGGAAUCAAACUUUUAGGUCGGAAUACCAUCUACGACCUUCCACCAAGUGUGGAAAAGUUCGGAAUCCAUAUCAAGCACUCGAACCUCACAAUUUGCAAAGGUCCAGUGUGCCACAGUAGUCCAGCUUGUGCCGCCUAGCUACCUGUAGUAGCCCAUCAUUCCAUGCUAGGAAUGAAUCUGUCCCACACGACCCUACAGGCGUCUCGCCGCCUAGCUGCUCGUGGUAGCUCAUCAUCCUGCGCUAGAAUGAGGCUGUCCCACGCGACCCUACAGGCGUUUCAAACCCGCACGCGCGAACCGUGUCGCAAAAGGCCAAAUCCGGAGUGCCGGCUUGUAGGGAGCGACCCUCACAAGCUUGUGCGAAUGAGCACAAAUGGCAAGCAAGCAAAGUCAUCGUCUCAACGAUCCGGUCAUCAUGGCUCUACCAUGGAAAUGAUCGCUAGCAACUCAUAGGUCUAGUCCAAUGUCCCAAGUGAAGGAUUAACCAUUCAAUAAUUCCAAUGCCCUUUUGUGACCUUAGAUUUACUAAGUCCAUACAUAUUUCAAGCCUAAUGCCUCUUUGUGACAUUAGCUUACUAUUAACGUACGUGUCCCGAGCUCAACGCCGCUUUAUGGCAUUAGCUCAUAUAUGCAUACACUCUAGCCUAUGUCACUUAAUGACAAAAUGUCCAACAACGCCAAGCAUGCGUUCUAAGUCCAAGAGUGUAACCUACAUGUCAUAUGCACUAUAUGCAACAUGAUCUCAAUCACAUGUAAGAAUGCUAACCACAUGCAAGGUUCCAAUCCUGAACAGUUCUCUACUACAUAGAGGUCCAAUGUACUUUAUACAUAACAUGCACAUAUUAAGCAUUCUAAAAUUCUCAAAUAUUCUAUCUAGUAAGAAUAUGCAUGCAUUACCACUUUACGAAAAGUAAAAACCAACAUAGGGAUGAUUUAUCCCAUUUUUUGGUGAGGCCAAACCCACCACAACUCUUGCGCUCCUUCGUUUGCUCCGACGAAGGUGUCCACUAGUCUCCUAGCACCCUAAAGAUGUAGGAACAAGAGUUAAACGAACCUUACGAACAACCAUAAGGUUGAUCAUUAACCAUCUCAAGCUAAGGUGGAGAAAAACUCACUGAAUGCGAAGGAAGCUCUCUCGAUCUCCAAGUGGGAGUUAGAGUCCUUCCAAACCAACCUAAACAAGGGUUCUAACCCAUCAAUUAGGUCCCAAAGCCCCCAAAAUAAAAAUCCCCAAAAUAAGCCCUAAAUCCCAAAAUCUAGGGUUUCAUUUAGUAAAACCUACCGAAACAUGCUCCAAGGAGUAGAUUAAGCAUACUAACCUCCUUGGUAGCUCCAAACCAAGCUCAAAAUGCUCUAAGGUUGAAGAUUGAUCCUCUAUCAAGCUCCUAGCCCAAGCUCCAAGCCUCCAAUGGUGAAGAAAGAGAGAAAGGGUUGAAGCUCCAAGCUCCCUCAAGCAAGCUCCUCCUCUCCUCCUUCUCCUUCCUCUUCUUCUUCUUCUCUUUCAAGAGGGUGUGAGAGAGUGAGAAGUGAGGGAAAGAGAGAGAGGAAAUGGCCUAUAAGCCCUCCCAAGUAACAAUAUCCACAUAGGUCCCCCAACAAUCUAACUAGUGCACAGCCCUGGACUAGGCAAUUUUCGCCGAGAGGGACUGGUCUCUCCCAGCUGGGACCGGUCCCUCGUGACCCUCCCGCAAAACCAGCUCUCGGGAACCGGUCUCUCCCUGCAUGGGACCGGUCUUUCCCCGGGAAAAUGCGCUUGGGGACCGGUCUUAUCCGCCAGGGACCGGUUGCCUCAAGCUUGGCCGCGACACUAUUCCGAGGGGACCGGUCUCUCCCACCAUGGACCGGUCUCCGAGAGUAAAACUCUCAAGACUAGUCAAAAUCUAGAAUUCGAACUUUUUAGGUCGGAAUACAUUCUACGACCCUCCACAAAGCGUGGAAAAGCUCAGAACUCAAGUCAAACACUCUAACCUUGCAAUUGGCACAGGUCCAGUGUGUUACAUUCUCCCCUCCUAAAAAGGAGUUUUGUCCGCGAAACUGCGGGACAACCACAACCAACACAUCCAAAGAGGAUGGAAGAAACGCUCUAACAGCGUACAAGUCAGACCACGUAGGUCUCAAGCAUGCCGGAUUGCUCCACGGCAAAACUCAACAAGAUCCUGCGAUCCCAAGACUUGGCAUAACUCAAGUCAAACUUCUACCGAAGUUCCGCCUCUAAUCCGUGCUUGAUCACAAGUCUUUCAGUCGGUUCUCACGAAACCAAGUGUUUCUGAAAGCUGAAUUCCAAUUCUCACCUUUUUCGUCCAAGUCGAGGGUAAAGCCUUGCUCUGCUUCAAACACUCUAGGAUAUAGGAUUCCAUCCAAAUACCCAUGAAGGGUGGAUUCAAUGGUAUUGUCCAAAGCAAGCGUCAGGGGGUUAAAUCCAUUACUCAUCUAUCAAAACUCCAUCGGAGUGCUCAUCUGAUCAUCACUCACCAAGGAGAGGUGAUGCAACAUCCACUCAUCGGCCCAUAUUCCAACGAUGAUCCUUCAAAUCCAAGGUUAAGUAUGGUGUACCCCUUCCAUCUCGUUGCUAUUUGCAAUGUCCAUCCAUCCGUCCAAUCUUGCUUGGCACGAACGGUUCUAAACCAACAUCCAAGAUAGCCAACCUUCCAAUAGUAACAGGAACCGACAAAUCGUCCAACUCGCUCACCAAAGGUGGUCACUUGAUUCCUCAAUCGGCACGGCACUACGAUGCCUGCACAUCAAUCUCAAACUCACCACUCGGGAGUACCCUCAAAUCCUCUACCAUACAUGGUAAGGGACCAAAGCUCAGGAGCUUUGUCAUCCCACUAAGAUCAUUAUCUUAGUCUCAACUCAAGUCCAAGUAACUCUUCGCAAGCCUAAGCCAAAGGCUUAACUUCGAUAGAAUGUCUCAUACCUUAACCGUUCAGUUGCUCUAGAAGAAUCAUUCAAAAUUCUCAUCCUCAAUGCUUUCCUUAGCAUCCAUCGGAUGCUCCAGGUGUUCAAAGUCACCGAGCUCAUCUCAAGUGAUAGAGAGGGAUCAAUCUGCAAUUCAAUAAUAGCACUCUAUCAAUGUCAUCCUAAUGUGACCAUCAACCAGAUAUCAAUCCAAGCAACUCUCUUACGCAGUUUCCAUUCCCAAGAUUUUGAUUCCAGGUGCAAAAACCGGACAAGGAAAAAUAGCAACUUGGUAUCUUUCCCUCUCGAGUUCCCAACCACUCGAUCCAACAGUGAGAGUUUUACACAUCGAUCAUGUCAAUAUGCCCUGUAGUCGGUCCUCGCAAUCCUUCUUCGGAAUACUCUCAGCUAUCCGCGAUCGGUUUCACAAAUCCAUCCAGGGGGUUUGGAAUUAUCAUUCCACAAGUCCCUAACACUGGUGGAGUACCACAGGCUCAGGAAACAUCACAAUAAUUCUCGUGAUGUUCCAACCAAGCACCAACAUCUGUUUGAGGUACAACCUCAAACUUCAACACAGCAGUAGUACUCAGAUUGCAAUCAAUCCGAUCGAGCACACUGACGCCACAAGGCCAAUUGAAGGACCAAUCGGGCCUCAACAACUAUCCAAACACUCAAUCGUGGUUCAAUUUAGACCACGAUAGUCGGCACACAGUCGAAACAACCUAUCCGGUCCCACAUCAAGUGAGGGUGCUUCUCCACGAAGCUAAACACUAGGUACCAGAACCUCUCCGCCUACCGAGCUCAUGAUUUGUGACUCAGACGGGAAAACAACGACCACUCAAAAGACAUCCUCUAUUACAAGGAUUCUCAAUCAACAGAUGCUAACGGCCAGCUAGGCCCCAAAUCCUUCUAAAUUACCCGAUUUUAGGUAAGGGGACGGCAAUCGCAAUCCAUGGAACUAAAUCCUCAAAUCGCGCUAUUUCAUGCUCAAAAUUCUCAAAGCGAGUCAAGUCAGCUCGCAGUCCAAGGGUACUAGGUACCCACAAAACUCCACACCAAGUAAGGCCAAUCCAUUUGUCGGCGCACGAAACCAUCUCACAUGGUAGGGUGUUCGAAACGACACACCGGAUCAAUCGAUCAUCCUACAUGCGUCGAAAGAAAUUCAACGCUAACAAAUCCUUGGGUUGGGUCACUAGACACUCGGUGUGUCCGCAAUCUCACGAUCCAACACUUGGCUUUCCACGCUCGGUCUACGGUCCUGACCAAAACUCCGCCCUACCCGUAGGUACCGGGCCGCUGUCGCACACAGCUGACUGCACAUGCCCAACGGGCCCAGGCUCCACAGUCCCCAAAUGGUCCAGGCACGGUCAUCCCCAAGCACCAUCUGGCAAACAGCCGAUCAAGGGAUGCAAACAAUGCACUCAUCGUGAGAUCUACCAAUAUAGCCAAACAUGCUACCCCCAAACCCGAAUCUCGACCGCCUAGCUCGAGAGGAGCUAGUCAAUUUCGCAAACAGCAAACUAACGGGAUGCCAUGCAACUCGGCAAUUAGCCGAUCAGAGUAUGGAUGCAAUGCACCGGCAAGAAACAAUGCACAACACGAAUGCUACAAAAGAAACUGAUACCUGUAGUCAUAAACUCGGCUGCUGCCGCCUCCUCAGUUUGGGCUGCAUACAUGCGCCCGCUCGGGGCCUGUCGUGACCACUCCAUCUGUCUCUGGACAGGUGGCCUCCCGGCCUGGUAGUGAGCAGAAGGCGUCCCUUGGCUGGGACCCGGUAAGGCUGGUGCCAAUGCAGAAGAUGGCGCUGGUACUGAAUCCCUCGGGCAGUCCGACUGAAAGUGACCCUCCUGGCCACACGAAUAGCACCUGCCCCGACCCUGUGAGCACUGCCGUGGGUAAUGGCGACCACCGCAGAUCACGCAGCUCAGAGUCUGGUGACGCUCAGAUCCUCCACGCUGUGCUGAUGAGUCACGUCCUCGCAACUGGCUCCGGCUCCUCGGGUGUCUCGGCGGCCUCCUAGAGUACUCCUUGCUCACACCCUCAGCCGCAGGCCUUUUGCCCUUCCUUUAUCCAAGCCCUCACGGCGUUCCUGCAGAUCCGCCGUGCCGCUCUCCACAAUGAGCGCACGGUUUACCACAUCUCGGUAAGUCUGGAGGUUGGAGGACUGCACCAAACAAAAGAUCGACGGCCGAAGUCCUCGCUCAAAGAUACGAGCUUUAUUCUCGACGUCCCGCACAACAAAGGGCACAUAGUGUAGAAGCCGAGAGAACUCUCUCUCGUACUCGGCCACGGUCCGAUCCCCCUGGCGCAUCUCGCGCAGAUCCUGCUCCAUCUUCCUCUUAACACUAACGGGGAAGUAGUGCUCCAAUAAGAGUUUCUUGAACCUCUUCCAAGAAAUUGCUGCUAGGUCGGUGUUGCGAUUAUCCUGUAUACCCAACCACCAGCUAUAGACCUCGCCGUCCAAAUGGUGAGUGGCGAGCCAAACUCUGUCUCUCUCCUUCACGAAGGUGUCGCGGAAUAACUUCUCCAUGUGCAUCAAUCACUUCUCAACGAUCCAGUGGUCGGCUUUCUCUCCAUCAAAGAUUCUGGGAUUGCACCUCCUGAGCACGUUGAGGUGAUCCAUGAGUCACUGUCGCUCCACUCCCCCAACUAUCACGGGAAAAAACCGCCGCUGCCACAGGCACCUGAGCUGGGGGUGCCGCAAAUACCUCCUCCCGAGGUGCUACCACAGGUGCCGUCCGCGAAGUGUCGAGUGCAGGGGACGACCCCCUAGGUGCAACCACCUCUACCGGCGCGGGUGGUACAGGGACCUGAGCCUCCCUGGCAGCCGUCUGCUGCAGUAGAAGAUCCUUUAGGCGCUUCAUUCGUGCCUCCUGCCGGCGCGCCGCAUCUGCCUGCUGCCGAGCCGCCGCCACCUGCUGCGUCACCAAGUCUGUGAGGGCCGAAAACUAGCUCCUCAACUCAUGGACCUCGCCGGAUCCGGAGGUAGCGGAUGUCUCCGCCUCCUCAAAGGUUGCCGCAUUGUCCGCUCCAACAGACUUAGAGUGUGUAGUCGACAUCGACACUGCAACAUCAUAAAAGCGCAAAUUAAUAAAACCCACGUAUCACAACCCAGCUAAAAUACUAAUACCCAAAUCAUGCGAAAGUAAGGAAGUGUCUUAUACUACUAACUCCCGAUGUUACGUUGUCGGCCGCCAACGUAACCCUCCGCGAAGUUAGAAGCUAUACACUUCGAUUCAACUCCAACUUUUUGGAGUUAUUAAAGAAACCCAAUCAUGAUACUUUCGCUUACAGAUCAAAUAGACCUCGUCUCUCACGAGUCGAAUUCCUAUAGUCCAACCGGCCAAAGAUUUACUAGGUCCACUAAGACUCAACCCUAGGCUCUGAUACUAAAUUAAUCUGUCACGCCCCGGGACCCGGCAUAGGCCCGCCCGCUGCGUGCCCAGACCCGCCAUAUGCCUACACAUAUAAGGCGUCUACAACAAUAGAAAAAUAAAAGCAAGGAAAGUAGAACAUCUAUAAAUAUCAGAGCAACUAGCAGCUAAAGACUAACAACAAGUAGGAGAAAGGAAAUUGAACACUAAGGCAUAAUGUAAACUAAUACAUCAUAGAUCUCAAGAUACAAAAGUAGGGUGGUCACUAUAACAAGGUACAAAACUCUCACAACCUCUCCAAAUGAAAAACAAAAGAGAGGUGGACUACCUAUCGUCAAAUCCCUCGAUAGCUAGCUCGAGGCGAAACCUUUCCCGCGAUCCCGAGCCCCUCCCGAAGUGGAAGGCUCUGAAAUAAAACAUAAAACAGUGGGCGUGAGAACUAUAAUUUAUAGUUCCAAGUGGGCAAUUACUGACCUUAGCCAAAUGCGCCACUAGGCCCAAAUCAUGAGCAGAUAUGACAAUGAAAUAAUAACUGCGAAAAUAAAAGCAUAUAAUUAAUGCUAUACUACUGUGUCACAAGUAAACAUGAUAUGAACAUGGAGUACAUCUACUCUAUCAUGAUCCAAUAUGCCAAAACAUGUCUAGUAUGCUAAAAAUGCAAUAUUAUUAAGUAUAUUACAUAUCCAAGCGUCCAAUACAUAUCUAGUAUACACUAUUAUGGCGACCAAGUAUACUCUAUGUCCCAAUGUCCACUGAAUCCAACUACGAUAUACUAUCAAGUAGUGAUUAUAACAUAUACGACUCUGUGUCGAUUUCCAUGUCCCAAUUAAGAACCUACACAAGGUAGUCCAGCUUGUGCCGCCUAGCUGCAUGUGGUAGCCCAUCAUUCUAUGCUAGGAAUGAGUCUGUCCCACACGACCCUACAGGCGUCUCGCCGCCUAGCUGCCUGUGGUAGCUUAUCAUCCCGCGCUAGAAUAAGGCUGUCCCACGCGACCCUACAGGCGUCUCAAACCCGCACGCGCGAACCGUGUCGCAAAAGGCCAACUCCGGAGUGCCGGCUUGUAGGGAGCGACCCUCACAAGCUUGUGCGAAUGAGCACAAAUGGCAAGCAAGCAAAGUCAUCGUCUCAACGAUCCGGUCAUCAUGGCUCUACCAUGGAAAUGAUCGCUAGGAACUCAUAGGUCUAGUCCAAUGUCCCAAGUGAAGGUUUAACCGUUCAAUAAUUCCAAUGCCCUUUUGUGACCUUAGAUUUACUAAGUCCAUACAUAUUCCAAGCCUAAUGCCUCUCUAUGACAUUAGCUUACUAUUAACAUACGUGUCCCGAGCUCAAUGCCGCUUUAUGGCAUUAGCUCACAUAUGCACUAUAUGCAACAUGAUCUCAAUCACAUGUAAGAAUGCUAACCAUAUGCAAGGUUUCAAUCCUGAAUAGUUCUCUACUACAUAGGGGUCCAAUGUACUUUAUACAUAACAUGUACAUAUUAAGCAUUCUAAAAUUCUCAAAUAUUCUAUCUAGUAAGAAUAUACAUGCAUUUCCACUUUACGAAAAGUAAAAACCAACAUAGGGAUGAUUUAUCCCAUUUUUUGGUGAGGCCAAACCCACCACAACUCUUGCGCUCCUUCGUUUGCUCCGACGAAGGUGUCCACUAGUCUCCUAGCACCCUAAAGAUAUAGGAACAAGAGUUAAACGAACCUUACGAACAACCAUAAGGUUGAUCAUUAACCAUCUCAAGCUAAGGUGGAGAAAAACUCACCGAAUGCGAAGUAAGCUCUCUCGAUCUCCAAGUGGGAGUUAGAGUCCUUCCAAACCAACUUAAACAAGGAUUCUAAACCCAUCAAUUAGGUCCCAAAGCCCCCAAAACAAAAAUUCCCAAAAUAAGCCCUAAAUCCCAAAAUCUAGGGUUUCAUUUGGUAAAACCUACUGAAACAUGCUCCAAGGAGUAGAUUAAGCAUACUAACCUCCUUGGUAGCUCCAAACCAAGCUCAAAAUGCUCUAGAGUUGAAGAUUGAUCCUCUAUCAAGCUCCUAGCCCAAGCUCCAAUCCUCCAAUGGUAAAGAAAGAGAGAAAGGGUUGAAGCUCCAAGCUCCCUCAAGCAAGCUCCUCCUCUCCUCCUCCUUCCUCCUCUUCUUCUUCUCUUUCAAGAGGGUGUGAAAGAGUGAGAAGUGAGGGAAAGAAAGAGAGGAAAUGGCCUGUAAGCCCUCCGAAGUAACAAUAUCCACAUAGGUCCCCCAACAAUCCAACCAGUGCACAGCCCUGGACUGGGCAAUUUUCGCCUAGAGGGACCGGUCUCUCCCAGCUGGGACCGGUCCCUCGGGACCCUCCCGCAAAACCAGCUCUCGGGAACCGGUCUCUCCCCGUAUGGGACCGGUCUCUCCCCGUGAAAACGCGCUGGGGGACCGGUCUCAUCCGCCAGGGACCAGUUGCCUCAAGCCUGGCCGCGACACUGUUCCGAGGGGAUCGGUCUCUCUCACCAGGGACCGGUCCUCAAGAGUAAAACUCUCAGGACUAGCCAAAAUCCAGAAUUCGAACUUUUUAGGUUGGAAUACAUUCUACGACCCUCCACAAAGCGUGGAAAAGCUCGGAACUUAAGUCAAACACUCGAACCUUGCAAUUUGCACAGGUCCAGUGUGUUACAUUCACAAAGCUAGAAAUCCAAGCCCUAGGUUCCUACCAUUGUUGAGCUCAAAAGCUUACCUCUAAGCUAGCUCCAAUGGUGUGAGGAGGAAGAGGAAGAGGACCGAGGCCUUCUCCUAGCUUGCUCCACCUUCUUCUCCUUCUUUUUCUUCCUCUCCUUCUUCUCCUUCUUCUUUGCUUCAAGAGAGGAGAAAGAGCUUAGAGAGAGAGAGAAGUGUGUGUGUUUGGGGUGGGAAUGAGAGAGAAGAGAAGGCCCAACCCCUCUAUACCCCUCAACUAAUGGCAUAGUUGCAGCCAAACCCCUCCACUUUGCACUCUGUGCACUGCCUGGACUGGGCAGUUUUCGCGCCCAAGGACCGGUCUGUCCCUUAAGGGACCGGUCCCCGAGAGCAGUCCAUGCGGGCAAAGGGCUCUGCCCAAUUUCCUACGUGCACGGGGACCGUUCUUCCCCUCCAGGGACCGGUCCCCGCGAGCAACACUCUCAGGACAGCCGAUUUUCCACUUCUCUUCACUGGCUGUGCGUACAGGGACCGGUCCUCGACUGAGUGACCGGACCUUCAGGGACCGGUCCUCGCCCGAGAGACUGGACCAACCCCGAGAGCAAAUAUCGCGCGCAGAGUUCUCUGUCUCAUUUUCAGCUUACGGGGACCGGUCUCUCCCGCCAGGGACCGGUCCCCGAGAGCAGAAUUUGCCAAGUGCAGAUUUCGCACUGUUUGCUCUCGUGGAUCCAACUCCAAUGCACUUUUUGUGUUUUGGACACCUUCGGCUUUUCCGAAGCCUACCCACUCGACAAGUAGUCGAUUUUGAGGGAAGUCUAACUCUCAGAUUUCGAGAAUUCACUUCCUUACAUUCUCCCCUCCUAAAAAAGAGCUUCAUCCUCGAAACUAAUCCAAUUCUCAACUCAAACUUAAACUCAAAUGCUUGAAGUACUAAUCUCAAAUGCUCCCGAAGGACUUAAAGUACUAAUCUCAAAUGCUCGGCAUGCUCCUCGUCAUUGCGAGAAUAGACCAAUAUGUCGUCUAUGAAAACCACAACAAUCGGUCUAGAAACUCCUUGAAGACACGGUUCAUCAAAUCCAUGAACGCCGCCGGGGCAUUCGUAAGUCCAAAAGGCAUGACCGUGAAUUCAUAGUGCCCAUACCGCAUGCGGAACGCGGUCUUCUGAACAUCUUCCAGCUUAAUCUUCAAUUGGUGAUAGCCGGACUGCAAGUCUAUCUUUGAGUACACACACGACCCCUGCAACUGGUCGAACAAGUCGUCGAUUUGGGGAAGUGGGUACUUAUUCUUAAUCGUGGCUCUGUUCAACUCACGAUAAUCCACACAGAGUCGGAACGAUCCGACCUUCUUCCGCACAAACAACACCGGGGCUCCCCACGGCGACACGCUUUGCCGGAUAAAUUGCUUGUCGAGGAGGUCUUGUAAUUGAUUCCUCAACUCCUUUAGUUCCGCCGGCGCCAUUCUAUACGGAGCCUUCGAGAUCGGCGCGGUACUAGGAAUCAAGUCUAUGAUGAACUCGAUCUUCCAAUCCGGCGGUAUCCUCGACAACUCCGAGGGAAAUACAUCUAGGAACUCCCGUACUACCGACAACUCCUCCAAGGUCGGAGCCAUUCGGUCCACCUCCACAACGGUUGCUAAGUAGGCUGUGCACCCGCCGUUAACCAACUUCCUCGCUCUCGUCGUCGACACCGUCGCGACGAAGCACGAGCUUCGACAAGCCCAAUACGUGAACUCCUCUUGUCCGGGCUCACGAAAGGUAUGUUACGGAUUUUAUGUUGGCAUAUUUCGUGAAGUUAGUCGGAGUCUUGAAUGUUUGAAGAAAAAGAGAUGAAGAUCGAAGACUCGAAGACUCAAAACAUGAAUGCACAAUGCUCGGUAAGUUUAAAUACCAUUGAUGAUGAUUUAUAAAUGUUUAAAAGUAUUUGGAAGACUUAGAUUGUAUUAAAAUGCUAAAUCUGAACAUUUUAGUGUUCUAGGACCGGUCCCUGAGAUGAGAGACCGGUCCCCGAGGGUCCUCUAUGCGUGGAAAGUUGAGGCAACCGGUCUCUGAAAAGUAAGACCGGUUCUAUAGCGAGAGACCGGUCUCUGGAAUGAGAGACCGGUUCCCUAAGCCUGUGUUUUCAGGCACGCAACGAGGGACCGGUCUCCCACUCGAGGGACCGGUCUCCUAAAGACCGGUCUCCUCGAGAAGACCGGUCCCUGAGGACGACGUCAGUUUUUAAAAUUGGAUUUUUGCAAUCCUAGUCUGUUUCUAAGUCUUCUAAACCUAUAAAUAAGAUGUAGGGGUGUUUCUAAAACAGAACAGAGGAUAAAAUAUCUUUUUGAAAUCCUAGAAACUUGUUGGGUGCAUUCUUUCUUCUCUCGAACAACAAGUUUCUAUCAGAUCAAUUCGUGUAACUCAAAAUUUCUCGUUCUUUAUAGGGAAUUGAUCCGGCUAUUGCUUAGAAAUAUCUUCUACGGUUUUUUAAUGAUUGUCUAAGCAAUAAAUCAUCAUCAAUCUUGGUAUUCUUGCUCCGGACGGAGUGUGCUCGUGGAUUCGAGUGGAUGUCGUGGAUUCGGCGUGAUCAAGGCUUCGUGGAUUCGAAGUGUGGACGUUUCGUGGAUUCGGGACGUGGCGUUCGUGGAUUCGAACGUGGGGCGUGGACAACCCGUUGUUGUGCGCGAGAUCCGGAGAAGAUAAAAGAGAGGUUUGAGUCCGUGGAAUCGGUAAAUCACCUUGUAAUCUUUUAUUCUUAGUGGAUUGUUAUCGCGUGUUGGUCCCGUGGUUUUUUACUCCUAGUUGGAGUUUUCCACGUAAAUCUCGGUGUGAUUUUUAUUUUUCCGCAUUUACUGUUAUCGCAUUGAGAUUUGUGGUUUUCGGCUUUUACACCUAUUCACCCCCCUCUAGGUGUUAGAUACAAUCUAGAUAGAUCCCUGGGCUACCCCAAAACUUACAAGGUAAGCACCUUGCUCUUGCAGUCAAUCGUCACGUAGUACUUCGAGAGCCAAUCCAUGCCCAAUAUGACAUCGUACUCUUUCAGCUUCUUGAGCACCAACAUGCGAAUCGGCAUUAUCCAAUCGCCUAUUUGUACUGGGCACGCUAAACACUCCUUGCGGAUCAGAAAAUCCCGCCCAGGGCCAGACACACACUAAGUGCUCUUACUAAAUUGAAACUCAAUACCAUGCAUUUGUGCAAAUGGCUUACUUAUGAAUGAAUGCGUGGCACCUGUAUCAAACAUAGCUCGGGAGCGAACUCCGUUAAUUAAAACAAUACCUACCACCACAUGGCGCUCCUCGGGCUCGGCAGGUUCCUCCACUUGAGUUUGAGCGGUGAACACCCACCCGCUCGGUGCCGAUCAUGUCACCUCAGGUUGACGCGGCGCCAUCGCGCGUCCCGCUGACACCGCCGUCGGUGGAGCUCCCCCAUAAUGAGCUGGAAUCACCGGCGCCGAUGCAAUGGAUGGAGCAGGUGAGGCUCCACCUCCCGGGCAAUCACGUAUGAAGUGCCCCGGUUGCCCGCACUUGAAGCACUUGCCUUGGCGCUGAUCACAACGCGACGGUUGGUGGUCUCCGCCGCAAAUGACACACCGCCGCGCUCCACGGCCCUUGUACUGAGUCCGCGGAUACUUCGGGGGCUUUUUGGAACUCGUCGGACCCCCCGAACCGCCGCCUUGUCGUUUCUUGCCCUUAUCCUUGGACUCGGCUAAAAGCACACGCUCCUCGCACACACGGGCAUCUCCGUGCUCUGCCCACAGCGCCCGAUCAAAUACCUCCGCAAAGGUCGUGAGCUUGAAUAUCUGCACGGCCUUGUAAAUUCCCGGCUGAAGUCCCCUUAAGAACCAGUCGGCUCUGUCCCUAUCAUCCUUCACCACAUCCGAGACACAGUCAAUGAUGUGGGAAAACUCUUGCUCAUAGUCCGCCACAGUGCGGUCCCCCUAUCGUAACUUGCGGAAGUUCUCUUGCAGCUUCCGCUUCUGAGUAUCGGGGAAGUAGUUGGCAAACAUCACCCUCUUGAACUAUUCCCACAGCAUCGGUGGAAGUUCCGAAGGCCUAUCUCGCUUCACUCUCUUCCACCACACUUUCGUCGUCUUAUCCAAACAGUGUGUGGCGAGGUACACCUUGUCCCUCUCCGAGGUGGACAGGUCCUCGAAGAGCGUCUCCAUCGAGUCGACCCACGACUCGACCAUCGCCGGCUCUACCUUCUCUCCCUCGAAGAUAGGCGGAUGAAACUUGUUGAACUUGAUUACAGCCGCCAACGCGCGCUCCUUCUCCGCUUCCUCGGCCGUCGCAUCGGGUGUCGCCGAACCUGACGCCGCAGGAGGAACGACCAUCGGCGGGGGAUGUGCCGCCACCGGAAUCGCCGCUAUACCCUCACCCUCAGCCGCUUCGAGCUCACGCGCCGAGGGUGCUGGUGGAACAUGACCGUCCAUCGCCAUCGCAAUCGUCGCUGCUAAUUGCCGCUCCAUCAACUCUCGAAGCAGCUCGAAUUGACCCGCAAGUGCGGUCACUUGCGCCUGCAACUCCUGCAUCUCGUUCGGCCCGGCCUGUGCAGGCACCACAGGAGGCUCUGGGGCUCAUGCAGGUUCAACUUGCUCGAGCAAAGGUCAAACCCACCGAUACUCAAAAAUAAGACUUUCUCAUUCUUUGUGAGGUCAAACCCACCGAAACUUCGCUAAAACUCCUUCAUUUUGUCGAACGGAGUUGCCCACAAUUCUUCUAGCACCCUAAAGGUUAUAAGAGAAGAGAUACAAGAACGUUAUGAACAACCCUAAGCUCAAUCAUUAAGCAAAUCUAGCAAAACUCACCCUGGUGAGAGAGACCGGUCCCCCCGGAACAGUGCUGCGGCAGGACUUGAGGCAACCGGUCCCUAGAGGGCGAGACCGGUCCCCGAGUACGUUUUUGCGGGGAGAGACCGGUCCCGUGCGGGGAGAGACCGGUUCCCGAACGUUGGAUUUUCGGGGCAAGCUGAGAGACCGGUCCCAGGUCGGGAAGAUCGGUCCCUCAGUCCGAAAACUGCCCAGACCCGGGCAGUGCGCAGGUUGGAUUUUUGAGGGACUUAAGUGGAUUUUGUUCCUUCAAAGGGCCUUAGGGCCAUUUCCUCUCCCUUUCACCCUCAUUUCUCUCCCUCACAUUCUCUAUACACUCUCUAGAAAGAGAAGAAGAAGGAGAAGAAGGAGUUGAAGGAGAGCAAGCUUAGAGGCCUUGGAGCAUCUUCCUCUCCCUCAUUUCUCACCUUUGGAGGCUUAGAGCUUGUGGUUGGAGCUUGGUAGUGGAUCAAUCUUCAACCCUAGAGAAUUUUGAGCUUGGUUUGGAGCAUUCUAGAGGUAAAUGGCUAGUUUUCUUCCUCUAGAUCCUAGUUUUGAAGCUUUAAACUAGAUGAAACCCUAGAUUUUGGGAUUUAGGGUUUAAUUUGGGGAUUUUCGAUUUGAGGGCUUUGAAACCUAAUUGAUGGGUUUAGAACCUUUAUUUAGGUUGGAUUUGAAGAACUCUAACUCUCAUUUGGAGCUUGAGAGAGGAUUUCUUCACUUGAGGUGAGUUUUCCUCACCUUAGCCUAUGUUGCUUAUUGAUUGAGCUCAAGGUUGAUCGUAAGGUUCGUUUAACCCUUGUUCCUACAUCUUUAGGGUGCUAGGAGACUAGUAGACACCUUCGUUGGAGCAAACGAAGGAGCGCAAGAGUUGUGGUGGGUUUGGCUUCAUGAAAACGGGGCGAAAUGGCCCCCAUGCUUUCUAUACUCGUCGUAACGUCAUUUUAAAUGCAAAUCUAUGCUAAAUGGAAUUUAUGUGAAUUUUAGAACACUUAAAAUACAUGUGUUAUGUCACGCCACGGGACCGAUACCAAUUUGGGCCGGCCCGAGCACGUCAAACAAACGCCGAACGGACAGAGUUUUUCCUGUCCGCCCAAGGCUCAUCACAUGUACAAUUUCAAACAAGAAGUGCACUAGCGGAAACAUAGACAAACGGCUUACACGAGAGUAAACAAUAGCCAUGAGUGAGAGAAAUGAACUAAACAUCUACACAAGUACUAUGAUUCUCUUUUGAUCACAUACAUUGCAUUUAACCUCAUAUUCAUAAUUCUUUACAUCACUUGCAUCAUUUCUUUUUACAUCACAUUGUCUCAAAAUAAACAUUACAUUCUUUUUCUUUUACAUCUCAAUUCAUCAAAUACAAAAAAUGAAGUAAGGGAAUGCUACUACAAAAUGUAAACCCAACUCUGGUGGCCUCUGACUAAGGUGCGAUAUCUUUACCACGGUCGCACGCCGGUUCGCUCGGUCCCGGCUCUGUGGAAAUAGUGGGGUGAGAACUACAACGAAGUUCCCAGUGGGUUCGACUCCAACAUCACCGACUUUCCCACUAGGACUAACUCAGGCAUAAUAGAAAGGAUAAGCAGAAUAGUAACCAAACUAUAAUCAUGAUGCUAAUAUGCCUGAACAAUAGCAAGGAAUAUGCUCAAUAUAAAUCAUGCAAGUAUGCAAGUUCUUUAUUCUUUUACUCUUUGUUCUUUGUACUUUAAUCUCACGGCUAACCUAGGGGUUUCGCCACAUUAACUUGCCCACAUUAAGUCCAUCAUCGCGGGCCCUCAUCUUCCUCCCGCUAAGACCGUCCUCGGGUUUACUCCAACGCGUGAUGCAAAACUCCGGAGCGCAUCGCCCGAGGGGGAGCGACCGCCCUCGAGCACGGAACUCAUAGCAAGUAUGAUCAAUCCUUAACUCUAAGGAUAUAUAGUUCAAUCAUUGUCUUUACACUAACUCUAGUGUUCUUUACAUCACUUUAUUUUGCUAACUUUAGCAAUUAUCGUUCUUUAACUUUACUCGUUCUUUAUGCCAAACUUUGCAUUAGCUUUAACCAUUAUCAUUGUUCUUUUCAUCACAUUGAUUCUUUGAUGCCACACACUAACUCUAGUGUCGACUAUAUUCUUUCGAAUGCCACUCGAUCUAUGCUCAUUGUGUCUCUUUAUUCUUUUGCCUCACUUGUGUGCUCACAAUUUUUCUCAUGCAUACAUAUAGGGUUAAACAUUCAUAGGGGUUCUCAACUAUCUCGCUAGGCAAAUUGUACUCACAGCAUACAACAUUACAUUAUUCUCAUUACAUAUACCCUACGGUGCAUGCAACAAUGUAUAUAACAUAUGCUCAAUUGAAUGACACAUUAGGCAUAGAAGGAAGUUCAACGAGUUUGGAUAGCGCCACCCACCUCGUAGGUUUGCAAAGGUGCUCCGACGAUUUUCUUGGGAUUUUUAGACACCCGGUUCGCUACCUGCGAGUUAACGAAGCCAAAUUAGGCUUAUUUGGCCAUAAUUUUACAUCGGCUUUUCGUAACGUUAAUCCGAGCGCACCAACGUGUCGGAAAUACCCCCAAUUAGGUUUCUAAAGGGUCAAUUGCAUUUUAGAACCCUCGCAAGCAAAAGCCCCAAUUUGGGUGCCCUAGCUCAUAACAUCUAUCAAACCUAGGGUUUGAUCUCAUUGGAAAGCAAAAGCAGCUUCAUUCUACUCUAGAGACUCCACAAAAACUAUCUUUAGUUCAAUUCAAACCCUAGUUUGGAUUCUACCAUGAGAGGGGUUGGAGCUUUCCUCUAAGCUUCACCACCAAUACCGAAAUCCAUGGUUUGAUCUCUAAAAGAAGCAAAAAAAAGCUUCAAUCACUCAAUAGGUUCUAUAAAAACCAUUCCUAGCUUAAUCUAAACCCUAGUUUGGGUUCUACCACAAUUAGGGUUCAAAGCUUACCUUGUAAGCUUUCCUUUUCCAAACUAGAGAUGAGGGAGAGGGAGUUUCUUCACUUCUUCUUCUCCACUUUCUUCUUCUUCUUUUUCUUUUUCUUCUCUUUCUUUUCCUUGUCUUCUAGAGAGAGAAAGAGAGAUAAGAGGGAGUGUGAGGGAGAGAAUGAGAGGAAAAGCCCUCAUGGCCCUCAACUUAACCAUUGGGUGGCAUAAAUGCAAAUAGGCCCCUCAGCUUUUAUCUUAUUAAACUGCUUGAACUGGGCAGUUUUCGUGUUCGGGGACCGAUCUCCCCAACUUGGGACCGGUCCCAGAAAGCUCUCCUGCAGCUCAGCGGAGGCUUUCGCACGAGGCAACCGGUCUCUCCCAGGGAGACCGGUCUCUCAGGGACCGGUCUCUCCACGCAGGGACCGAUUCUCGAGAGCUGGUUUUCUGGGACUUAGCCGAUUUUCAGCUUUUCUCAUUUCUCACGCGUUCGGGGACCGGCCUCUCCCACCAGGGACCGGUCCCCGAGAGCUCAAAAACUGCAGUUUGCAGAUUUUUGAUUCUUUAACUCUCGAAAACCUCCUAUAACACACUUUUGAUCAUUUUAACACCUUCGAACUUUCCGAAGUGUACCAUCCUCGCACUUUGGUCAAUUUGACUAAAGUUCGAUAUUUAUUUUCCGAAUUUUUGGUAUAUUAUAUGUUAUGUGUAAGAUAAUUUUCACUUCAUAUAGUAGAGCAUUCUGGGUAUUGUUACAUGCAUUUGGGAAGUGUUCGCACUAGUCGUUUGGAAACAUGCUUCAUAUGUUUAAAGUGGCUCAAUUAUACAUUUAUGAAUAUUUGGUUUAAGCUUGGACUUAGUAAAUAAAAGUGUCAUAAAUGGGCACUUAGACUAGCACACUAUGAGACUAUUGUAUUGACUUAGUGAUAGACCAUGGACAUCUACUACCUUCCAUGUUUUAGACAUGAUGACAUAGAGAUAGGCCUAUAAGAGAGUUGUGACGUAUUCCAUGUUGUUAGACAUGAAGACUUGGUACUUGAGACGAAUCUUUUCGUUACUUGCCAUUGUGCUCAAUCGCACAUGCUUGUGAGGGUCGCUCCCUACAAGCCGACAGUCCGGAGAUGGCCAUCGUGAUACAUAUUCGCCGUGCGGUAUUAGGUGCCGAAGUGGAUUGCCGUGGGAAAGGCUCAUUCCUAGAGUGGGGAUGUUGACUACCACGGGGCCAUUAGGCUCGGCACGGCCAGACAACCUACGGGUGGGUCUCAGGGCCAGACAGCCUUCGGGCGGGUCUCUUCAGAUUUGACUGUGAGCAUUCAUCAUGCCAUGUGGACAUUGACUAGAAUAGUAAAUAAUGACAUCUUUACUAUUUGACUUAUGGACAUCAUAUUCGCGAUGCUUGGGUACAUUCAUACGAGAAUAGCUUUUCUUAGUUAUGCUAAAUCAUGUUAAGUAGAGAUAUCAUGUGGUAGCAAAUAUUCAUGCUUAUUUACUUGUCGUACAUAUCGCUCUUGUUUAUAUCUGCUUACUGACCCCCUUUCUAGUUUGGGCCUAGUGGUGCAUUUCACUAAAGUCAGUAAUUACCCACUGGGAACUAUUAUUCAAUAGUUCUCACGCCCUCUAUUUUAUGGUUUUAUUUCAGAGCCUUCGGCACCGGCGGAGGCACGGGAUCGCGGCAAGGGAGUCGCAUAGCUAGAUAGCGGAACUUGCUGUUGCUCCUAGGUGGCCACUCUCUUCCUUUUUGUCUUUUUUGUGAGAGAGAGAGAGUUUUGUACCAUGUAUAGAGACCAUCUCUGUACCUUAUUUAGCAUUUGUAUUUGGGAUUCUUAUUGUAUUACUUUAUGUUUCUUCUAGUGGAUUUUAGUUUAUGGUUCUUUUCCUCUAUUGUAGCAUCUAGAUAUACUUGCUCUGAUACUCCUAGAUGUUCUCUUUUUACUGCUUCAUUUAUCGCUUUAUUUUAGACGCCUUGUAUGUUUUAGACAUAUGGCGGUGGGUCUGGGCACGCGCCGGGCGAGCUUCCGCUGGGUCCCGGGGCGUGACACACUUUCUGUACCGGUACAACCAUCAAGGUGUACCGGUACACAAUCCCAUAGAAGGCAACCCGAGAGCAGCCUAAGUCCUCCUCUUUGGUGACCUUAGCGCUACUUUAAAAAUCUCAAUUCUCGGGAUACGAGCCAUAGGUCGGAACACUAUCAACGACCCACCAGAAAAUCUGGUAAAAACUCAGAACACUGAUCAAAUACUCGAACCUCGCAAUUUGUAAAGGUCCAGUGUGUUACACUCAUUCCUAGAGUGGGGAUGUUGACUGCCACGGGGCCAUUAGGCACAGCGCUGGCCGGACUACCUACAGGUAGGUCCUACAUGAUCGGAACUGUAGUGACUUAGUAUGCCAACUGGAUAUUGAUUAGAAUAGUAAACAAUGACAACUUACUAUUUACUCGUGGACAUCAUAGUAGUUACACUUAUGCAUAUCUAUAUUACAGUAGCAUUUUUACUUAUGCAAAUUCAUGCUAAGUAGAGAUAUCAUGUUGUAGUAAGCUUUCAUGUUUAAUCGCUUAUUGUUCAUAUCGCUUAUACUUGUACUUACCCUUUCAGCUUUUGGGCCUUGUGGCGCAUUUCACUGAAGUCAGUAAUUGCCAACUGGGAACUAUUAUUUAAUAGUUCUCACGCCCCUGUUUUAUGAUUUCCUUUCAGAGCCCUCUACACCGGUGGAGGCACGGGAUCGCGGCAAGGGGAUCGCUAGCUAGAUAGCGAGGAUUUUACAUUUUGCUUAGGUGCUUCUAUCUCUUUUUGUAUUUUGUAGAGAGUGGGAGGUUUUGGCACCAUGUAUAGAGACCACCUUUGUACUACUUUUAGCACUUGUUUUCGGGAUUUGUUAUUGUUCUACUUUAUGGUUUUACCUUAGUGGAUUUUUUUAGCUUUUGUUUAUUCGUUUGUUGUAGAUUCUAGUUGUACUAUGCUCUGAUACUCCUAAGUGUUCAUUUAUCAUUGCUUUAUUUAUCGUUUUAUUGUAGACGCCUUAUAUGUUUGAGACGUAUGGCGGGUCUGGACACAUCCCGGGCGGGCUUCCGCUGGAUCCCGGGGCGUGACACUAAUGCCCCGACAGCUUUUAUGGAUGUAAUGAACCGUGUUUUUAAGCCUUAUUUAAACAGGUUCGUCGUGGUGUUCAUCGACGACAUCUUGGUUUAUUCCCGAAGUGAUGCAGAUCACGAGGAACAUUUGAGGUUUGUACUUCAAAUACUUCGGAAAAAUGUGCUUUAUGCCAAGUUGAAAAAGUGUGAAUUUUGGCUCCGAGAAGUAGCAUUCCUUGGACAUUUGAUUUCAGGAUCGGGUAUAGCCGUGGAUCCUAAGAAGAUUGAGGCUAUCAAGGAUUGGCCGAGAUCGACGAGCGUCACGAAAAUACGGAGCUUUCUUAGAUUGGCCGGCUACUACCGGAGAUUUGUCGAGGGGUUUGCUAAGCUAUCUACUCCCCUCACUAGGCUUACGGCGUCAAGUUCAUUUGGAACGAUGCGUGUGAGAGGAGCUUCCAAGAGUUGAAGCAGCGAUUGACGACUGCUCCGAUCCUAACCCUGCCUGUUGCUGAAGCAGGGUAUAUGGUUUAUAGUGAUGCUUCAUUUAAUGGAUUAGGUUGCGUUUUGAUGGCAAGGUGAUCACGCAUGCUUUUCGCUAAUUAAAGGAUUAUGAAAUGAACUAUCCUACGCAUGAUUUGAAGUUGGCGGCCAAAGUGUUUGCAUUGAAGCUAUGGUGCCACUAUCUUUAUAGGGAGCUAUGUGAAGUAUAUACGGAUCACAAGAGCCUUAAGUACCUGUUCACUCAGAAGGAGCUGAACUUGAGACAGCGCAGAUGGUUGGAGCUGCUCAAGGAUUAUGACUUGACUAUUCUUUACCACCCGGGCAAGGCUAACGUGGUGGCAGAUGCGCUAAGUCAGAAAUCGACAGAAAACUUAGCGAUGCAUGUUGUUACUCAACCGCAGUUGAUCGAGCAGAUGAAGCGGUUGGAGUUCGAGGUGGUGGCUCCUGAUACACCCUUGAGGUUGAUGACCUUGGUAGUGCAACCUACAUUGUUGGAUAGAAUUAAAGAAAAGCAAGUUCAUGACGUGGAGUUGCAAAAGAUUAGAGAUAAAAUGUUUUAUGGUUGCACCGGCGAUUUUCUUGUGGAUGAUCAAGGGUUGAUGCGAUUUCGUGGAUGGUUAUGCGUACCGGCGGAUUCGGGAAUUAAAGAGGAUAUCCUUCAAGAAGCACACCGGGCACCCUAUGCUAUACAUCCGGGAGGCACCAAGAUGUAUAAGGACUUAAAGUUGCACUAUUGGUGGUCCGAGAUGAAAAAGGAUAUUGGCAAGUUUGUAGCUCGUUGUCUAACUUGCCAACAAGUAAAGGCGGAGCACCGAUUGCGCGCGAGAAAACUUCAGAGUUUGCCUAUUCCCGUGUGGAAGUGAGAGAUGAUCACCAUGGACUUUGUUAUGGGAUUGCCUUACUCUUAGAUCGGGCAUUAUGCUAUUUGGGUGAUCGUGGAUAGGUUGACAAAAUCGACGCAUUUCAUACCUAUUCACACUACUUGGACUGGGGAGAAGCUCGCACAAGUGUAUCUCGAUGAGAUUGUGCGACUUCACGGAGUGCCUACUUCAAUUGUAUCUGAUCGAGACACCCGAUUUGUGUCCCACUUCUGGAGGAGUUUGUAAGACGCCUUAAGCACUCGAUUGGAUUUCAGCACUGCUUUCCACCCUCAGAGUGAUGGGCAGUCGGAGCGCACCAUACAGACGUUAGAAGAUAUGCUCCGAGCAUGUGUGAUAGACUUCCAGGGAGGAUGGUCGCAGCAUCUACCGAUGGCAGAGUUUGCUUAUAACAAUAGUUAUCAAGCAAGUAUCAAGAUGGCGCCCUUCGAAGCACUUUUUGGACGGAAGUGUAGAUCGCCACUUCAUUAGAGUGAAGUUGGCGAGAGAUUGGCUUUAGGCCCUGAUGUGCUCCAAGAAGCUGAGGAUAAGAUUCGUAUUGCUCGGGAGCGACUAUUGACGGCACAGAGUAGAUAGAGGAGCUACGCCGAUCGACGACGGUGAGACUUGGAGUUCCAGGUUGGAGACCAUAUUUUCUUGAAGGUCUUGCCGACCAGAAGGAUUAGGAGAUUCGGGAUUCGGGGUAAGUUGAGCCCUCGGUUUAUUGGACCGUAUGAGGUUUUGGAGCGUGUAGGCCCGGUAGCGUAUCGACUUGCUCUACCACCGAACCUAUCGGGCGUACAAAACGUCUUUCAUGUGUCGGUCAUUCGGAAGUACAUCUUCGACCCGGCUCAUGUAUUGGAUGCUACACCUAUAGAGCUGCGGGAUGAUUUGAGCUUCGAGGAGCAACCCGUGAGGAUCUUGGCUCGCGAUGUGAGGAAGCUGCGGAAUCGGGAUAUUCCAUAUGUGAAAGUUCUUUUGAGCAACCACGAGGAGCGGGAGGCCACGUGGGAGCUUGAGAGCGCUUUGCAGGAGCGCUAUCCCCAUCUUUUUCAGAUGGAGUCUUGAGGUACGUUGCUUUUGAGUUUCGCGGACGAAACUCCUUUGUAGGAGGGGUGAAUGUAACACACUGGACCUUUGCAAAUUGCGACGUUCGAGUGUUUGUUCAGUGCGUCGAGUCUUUCCAGAUAUUCUGGAGGGUCGUUGACAAUGGUCCGACCUAUGGCUCGCAUCCCGAGAAUUGUGGUUUUUAAUGUAGCGCCAAGGUCACCAAAGUGGAGGACUUAGACUGCUCUCAGAUUGUACUCUGCAGGAAAGUGUACCGGUACAUCUUGAUGGUUGUACCGAAACAGGUUUUGUACCGGUAGACCUUGAUGGUUGUACCGGUACAAAUGGGAUAAACUGCCAAUCCCAGGCUCGGGUUUGCUGUCUAGCAGGUGUUGUACCGGUACACAUUCCCGUGUACCGGUACACAGUGCAGUGCGGGUUGUUUUUGUUGAGGGGUGUAUUUGCAAUUGUUGUAAACUCUUUAUAUACCACCCCAGCCCCUUUGAGAGCUCUUUUGAGCCCUUACCAGUGGAGAACAAGGUGAGCACUCUCCCCCUUGAUUUCUUCUCCAUUUUUUAUGGGUUUUAGCUAGUUUCGAUCUCCUCCUCUUUGCUUUUUCUUUCUUCUUGUUGGUUUCCACCAUAGGAGAAGCCUUGAGCUCGUGAUUGGAGCUUUGUGGAGGGAGGAUCUUUAACCCUAGCUUACUUGGAGCCUUGUUUGGAGCUCUUGUGAAGUUAGUAAGCUUAAAUUCCCUCUUUGAUUCAUGUUUUGAUAGAUUUUACUAGAUGAAACCCUAGAUUUGGGAUUUAGGGUUUAUUUUGAGGGUUUUGGAUUUGUAGCUUCUAGAACCUAAUUGAUUGGUUUAGAACCUUCCUUUAGGUUGGUUUUGAAGGACUCUAACUUCCAUUUGGGAUUAGAGGAGGGUUUUCCACAUCUAAGGUGAGUUUUUGCCCUUUUGCUUGGGUUUUUUAAUGUUCUUGCCCUAGGGUGUUCGUAACAUUCGUGUAACUCUCUUUUUAUUACCUUUAGGGUGCUAGGAGAGUAGUGGGCAAUUUCGUUCGACGAAACGAAAGGUUUGGAGGGUCACGGUGGGUUUGACUUCAUGAAAUAGGAGAGAAAUGUCUCUUAUGUGUUUUAUACUUGUCAUUUCAUCGAAAUACAUGCACAUUCAUGCUAGAUAGAAUUUUUAUGAAUUUUAGAAUACUUAAAAUGCAUGUGCUGUGUAUCAUAAAAAUUUAACUCUAUAUAGUAGAGCAUUAUGUGUAUUAUGCAUGCAUGUGAAAAGUAUUCUUUCUUGCAAGUUGAAAACAUGUCUCAUAUGAUGAAAAUAACUCAAAUUAUGUACUCCUGAACAUUAUACUCAUGCUUGGACUUAGUGGACAAAAGUGCCAUAAAGGGGGCACCCGACUUAGUAAACUGUGAAACUGCAACAUAGAGAUAUAGUGAUAGGUCAUUUGAACAUCGACUAUAUUCCAUGUUUUAGACAUGAUGACAUAGUGAUAGGCCAUUAAGACAUUUGCUACAUUCCAUGUUUUAGACAUGAUAACUUGGGACUUGAGAUAGACUUUUACGCUUGCUUGCUAUUAUGCUCAUUCGCACAUGCUUGUGAGGGUCACUCCGCACAUAUUUGUGAGGGUCGCUCCCCACAAGCCGACACUCCGGAGAUAGCCAUCGUGACACAUUCUCGCCCAUGCGGGAUUCGGCGCCGAAAUGGGAUGCCGUGGGGGAGGCUCAUCCCUAAAGUGGGGAUGUUGACUACCACGGGGCCAUUAGGCACGGCGCUCGCCGGACUACCCACGGGUAGGUCCUACAUGAUCGGAACUGUAGUGACUUAGUAUGCCAACUGGAUAUUGAUUAGAAUAGUAAACAAUGACAACUUACUAUUUACUCGUGGACAUCAUAGUAGUUACACUUAUACAUAUCUAUAUUACAGUAGCAUUCUUACUUAUGCAAAUUCAUGCUAAGUAGAGAUAUCAUGUUGUAGUAAGAUUUCAUGUUUAAUCGCUUAUUGUUCAUAUCGCUUAUACUUGUACUUACCCUUUCAGCUUUUGGGCCUAGUGGCGCAUUUCACUGAAGUCAGUAAUUGCCAACUGGGAACUAUAAUUUAAUAGUUCUCACGCCCCUGUUUUAUGAUUUUUUUUCAGAGCCCUCUACACCGAUGGAGGCACGGGAUCGCGGCAAGGGGAUCGCUAGCUAGAUAGCGAGGAUUUUACAUUUUGCUUAGGUGCUUCUAUCUCUUUUUGUAUUUUGUAGAGAGUGGGAGGUUUUGGCACCAUGUAUAGAGACCACCUUUGUACUACUUUUAGCACUUGUUUUCGGGAUUUGUUAUUGUUCUACUUUAUGGUUUUACCUUAGUGGAUAUUUUUAGCUUUUGUUUAUUCGUUUGUUGUAGAUUCUAGUUGUACUAUGCUCUGAUACUCCUAAGUGUUCAUUUAUCAUUACUUUAUUUAUCGUUUUAUUGUAGACGCCUUAUAUGUUUGAGACGUAUGGCGGGUCUGGACACAUCCCGGGCGGGCUUCCGCUGGGUCCCGGGGCGUGACACUAAUGCCCCGGCAGCUUUUGUUGCGUGCGUGUGUCAUCGACUACAAGGGUAGUUGGGCAAGUCAUUUACCAAUGGCCGAGUUUGCCUACAACAACGUUUGAGGCUCUUUACGGGCGAAAGUGUCGGUCUCCUAUACAUUGGAGUGACUUAGGCGAACGUGCGGCAUUGGGCCCUGAUGUAUUGCGGGAGGCGGAAGAGAAGGUCCGUCUCGCUCGCGAGAAGUUGCUCGCGGCGCAAUCUAGACAAAAGAGCUACCCGGAUAAGCGCCAUAGGGAUUUGGAGUUCGCGGUGGGUAACUGCGUCUUCUUGAAGGUUUCGCCUAUGAGAGGCGUGAAGCGCUUUGGAGUACGAGGGAAGUUGAGUCCCCGGUAUAUUGGACCGUUCGAAGUGUUGGAACGUGUUGUAGCGGUAGCAUACCGACUUACAUUACCACCGAAGCUCGCGGAUGUGCGUAAUGUGUUCCACGUCUCCAACCUUCGCAAGUACGUCCACGACCCCGAGCAUGUUAUGUAUUAUGAGCCGCCGAAUCUAUAAGAGGACUUGAGCUAUGAAGAGUUCUCGGCUGUAAUACACUGGACUUUCGCAAAUUGCAGAGUUCAAGUGGGUGGAAUGAAGUGUGGAAUUAUUCUACAUGUUCUAAUUGACUUGGACAAGUUUUUGAACAAGUUAGAGGAUGAUUGGAAUGCUAAAAGUGAGAAAGUGCAUUGAACUGACGAAAAUCAGCCUUUUCUGCUUGCUGUACCGGUACAGACAUUACCUUGUACCGGUACAAGCUGGCAGAUUCGUGGCAGCAAGAUUAGUUUUGUAAUUUCACACUUGAUCCCUAUCUAUAUGACCCCUGCAUGACCCCAGGAGCUCAGUGGGGUAUGCUGGAGCUCAGAGAAAGGUUCUCCCACCUUCCUCACUCUCUCUCUCUAGGGUUUUUUCUCUCUCUACAAAGAAUUCGCCGAUUUCGCUCGUUUUCGUCGCAACGUUGGUUCUUCGCUGUUCGCAUGUGUCGCAGGGCCUACGUGGACGUGUGAGGGAGUAUUUUGGAGAGUUUUUCGCAGCUCUGAACCAGUGAGGUGCUGGUUGGAGGCUUGAGAAGGUAUGUGACUCGAGUUUUCCGUUAUCGACGUUCUAUUAGUCGAUUUGCAGUAUUGGCUUUUGAGUUUCUGCUUCUUAGCUUUAUUCUCUGAGAUUUCAGGCAACUAAAGUGGAAUUAAAAUUAGCUUGAAUUAAGCUCCUUAGAUCAUAGGUGAUAAGCUUCUUGAAGGUUUAUUGAGAGGAUUAGCCAUUUAUGAAGCUAAAUCGGAACUUAAAUGCAUAUAUUGAGCGACUUGAUGUAAUUGGGGAUUAACUUCUUCGCGCAGUCUUUGAGCUUUGCUGGAUGCUGCAACUGUGUAAUUCUUUGAAGCUGGUUAGAAGGUAAUCUAACCUAAGGUAAGUAAGAAUUUCAGUUAGGAGCUGAAAUUCUGCAAGAAUUCGGACCACAAUUGCUAUUAAUGAUAGGGAGUUGAUGCCGUUCGAUUUUGGUUCGCGCGUGAGUGCGAUCGACAGUCCCUUGGAAUCAUCGUGUAGUUGACUUGUGAGAAGCUCUUGGAACUUAUCUUGGAGGUAUUAACACUAGUCCAAAACAGGGAUUUAAAGGGUUACUUUGUACUAAGUGUAAUUUUAGGAGCCGAAAUCAGAUAUUCCGGCUGUUAUUUUUGACGCGGUGUUAAUGUUUGUUUUUCCUGCAGAUUGUAGCCGACCUUUUUACGACUUCUUGUGAUUAUUGGGAGCUAAUAGUACUAGGUGCGGUUUGACCUAACCAGAGCAAUGAAGUCUCCCCUAUGUUCUACUAUGUAUUAAUGACGUGGUUUAAAUAUAAUGCUAUGAGAUUGUUAAAGGGCUUCGGAAUUCGUCAUCAUGCAUGGACGUUUAUACAUAUGUGUAAUAUGAGCGUCAUGCAUAAAGUACCAUGCAUUAAAGUAUUCUUGUUUAGUUCAUUAGACAACCAGGGUAAAUAGUUUAUUAUGUUUCUAUGAUAUAGAAAACAUAUUAUAUCAAUGAAAGUAUUUCUUCAUAUUCAAACAUUGAAUGGCUUAUGGACAAAAGUGUAGAUGCCACUUGUAAAGUAGAGAAAAUGACAUUCUCCUGACAUCUAAACGUAGAGAACUAGACAUGCCCCCUCAUGACUAUGUUGAUAGUGCCUCACAACUAGUGAAGAUUAUAAUGCUAUGUGAUUUACGCUUUUUCCCUUAAAUUGUUUACAAUUCUAGUGGAUAUUAGCUUUUGUUAACUAAUUGUGCGUAUUGAAUUCCAAUCCAGAGGAUCGAGGGUAAGAAUUGCAAGUGAAAAUAUAAAAAUUGAGACAACUAUGAUAAUGGACUUUGCUUGCUUGCCAUCGUGCUCAUCUCAGACACGCUUGUGAGGGAGCCUCCCUACAAGCCCCGACUGCGGAGGUUGGCCUACGCGACAGUCUGCUGCCACGGGCGGGAUGGUGCCGAAGUGAUUGCCGUGGGGAGAUGUAAAUACGUACCGAGCCAUUAGGCGCGGCGCAAGCUGGACUACCUUGAGUAGGUCCUAGUGAAUGAGAAAUGAAAGUGAAAAGUGAUAAUGAUAGUAAUGAAUGAGUAUCAGUUGUAGUGUACAGUAGUACUUACACUUCUAUGAUUAUGUUUACGUUCAUGUUUAUAGUAGUUGCAAUACUUCUAUUAUUCAGUUGAUUCAUUACUGCAAAAAUCAUGUUUACAUGUUGAAUACGUGCCUGUUACCGGUUAGCACUGCAUAUUUCUAUAUCAUGCACUUAUUGCUUUUACUUACUUUCUGUACAUCAUGAGCCUAGUGGUGUAAUUCGCCGAGGCUCGCGGCUUACCCACUGGGAACUAUUGUUAAUAGUUCUCACGCCCUUUUGGUGGUUGUUUUUACAGAGCCAUCUGCAGGAGAGGCUAGGGAUCGUGGCAAGGGAGUCGCGUCUAGCUAGACGUUGCUAGGAGCGUGCUAGUCAAUCACCUUGCUACUCGGGCUACGACCGAGGGUGAUGUCCCUUUGUAUAGAGAAACCACCUUUGUACCCAUCUUUUUUUGUAUACCCGUGAUGUAUAUGUACUACUUGGACCGUGAGCUACAGUUGUGAUACUUCUCUUCUGACGAGAUUUUGGAUUGUAUACUCUUUGUUCUUUUGCUGAUAGUAUAUCGACUUGUACAUUGCUCUGAUAUCAGGAUAGGACUCUCUUUGUUUUACUUCCUAUCGACUUGCUUUCUUUGUAGACGCCUUAUAUACUGCAGGUGUAUGGCGGGUCUGUGCACGUACCGGGAUAUGCUUCCGCUGGUACCCGGGCGUGACACCGGCGAUGAUCAUUGCUCGAGAGGUGCGGAAAUUGAGAAAUCGUGAGAUUCCCUACGUGAAGAUUCGUUGGACCAAUCACGAUGAUCGUGAGGCCACGUGGGAACUUGAGGAAGCGAUGAAAGUGCAUUAUCCUCAUCUCUUCGAAGAAAUGAGUUGAGGUAAGAGUUAUUGAAGUUAUUGAAUUCGUUUCGAGAACGAAACUCCUUUUUAGGAAGGAAUGAUGAAAGGAAGUGAAUUUUUGAAAUACGAAAGUUGGACUUCGUUUAAAAUCGACCAAGGGUCGUGUUGGUAUGCUUUGGAAAAGCCGAAGAAGUCAAAGGCACCAAAAGUGCAUUGAGGUUGGAUCUCGGAGAGCAAAUUGAUGAAAAUCUGCAUUUGGCAAAUUCUGCUCUCGGGGACGGGUCCCUUGCGGGAGAGACCGGUACCCGUAAGCAGUGAGGGUGGCAGAGAAGUUCUGCACGCGACAUUUGCUCUCGGGGUCCGAUCCCUGGAGAGGGGACCGGUCCUUAAAGGUCCGGUCCCUUAGGUGAGGACCGGUCCCCAUAUGCGUAGCCAGCGAAAAGAGGGAAAAAUUGGCUAAGUCCUGAGAGUUCAGCUCUCGGGGACCGGUCCCUGGCGGGAGAGACCGGUCCCCGUGCGCAUGAAAGGGCUCGCCUGAGGGCUUUGCGUGUGAGGCAGCUCUCGGGGACCAGUCCUCCCGUAGAGGGACCGGUCCCCGCAUGCGAAAUCUGCCCAGUCUGGGCAGUGCAUAAGAGGCAAAGUGGAGGGGUGUAAAUGCAACUGUUGAAUGAGAGGGUUGUAUAGAAGGGGUUAUUGAGUCAUUUCUCUCUUCUCCCUCACACACACACUCACCCACACUCUCUCUUUCUCUCUCAAGGAAAAGGAGGAGGAGAAGAAGAAAGAAAAGAAGGAGGAGAAGGAAAGGAAGGAGAAGAAGAUCAAGAGGAGGACUACUACCGUCUUCUCCAUCUUCUUCUUUGCUUGUGCUAGCUAAUAGAGGUAAGCUUCAACCCUCUCUCAUGGUAGAAGUGUUAGGGUUUGCUUUGAUCUCUUAAAACUUAGCUAGAUGGACUCUAAUGGAUCUCUAGAAGUAAUGGAACUCAUUGAUUGCAAGAAUAAAUGCUAUAAUAGAGCUAUUGCAAUAUUGGGGCUUCUAGGGCAUCCAGAAGAGGGCUUUUGUUCAUUGAGGGUUUUGAUCUCAAUUGACCCUUCUCUAACCUAAUUGUUAGGUCCCCGAACGCGUUCGUGCACUCAGUUUGAGCAUUCGUCGAGGCUACGAAGAGAUAUUGGCGAAAAACCAAUUUUUGGCUUCAUUUUCGCCUGGAACGCCGAGGAGGCAUCUAAAAAUCACGAAAUCGGAACCCUAGCCUUUUGGUAGCAUAAGAAGGUGGGGGGUGUCCAUCCCGAAGCAACCGAGCUUCUUUUUAUGUCUAAGUUCUUUAUAUUGAUCAUAUAUGGAUAUUAUGCAUUAUAGGAUAGUAGAUAGUUAGAAUUCUAAUUACUUGCAUGCUUUCUUAGUAGUGUAGCAUUGAGAGCUUGACACAUGGACUAGGGACGCAUGAGGAUUGGGUCUUGUGACAUGAAAUCCUAUAUGGCACAAUGAGAUAAACUUGAACAUGUAUAGCCUAGAUGAGUAGCGUUGAACUAGUGUAGUAGAAACACUAAACAUGAACGAGUAGCAUGUCAACUAGUUAGAAAACUUACUACAAAUGAUCGAACGAGUGGCAUCGAGUCUAGUGUAGUAAACAUGACAUGAACUUAGGGAUGGUAGAAGUCCCGGCAUUUGAUUAUGCAUCGUGAUUGUGCAGCAGAGGCACUAUGACCCUAGUAGAUAGGGUAUCCUCUUGUGAGGAUUGUAUCAUACUCACUAGUCUGUUUCAUUUAUCGGUGGUCGCUCCACCAAAGCAGUGGUCUCCGGAGUACUUCACAUAGGGGCAGACGUAGUUGUCCCGCAGACGGUCUCGGUGUGUGAGUGCAGUUUCUCCUCACCUAUGGGAUUGAAAGUGAGUCGAGGGCUUAACCUACGGGUUAGCCAGGUAAAUUGGGUAAUGAACAUGAAUGGCAUAGUAGAAUUGCAUUCUUACCUUGAGUAGACAUAGUGUAUGUUGUAGAUUGCAUUACAAUAUUACAUAUAUAUAUACUCUUGACAUCAUACUAGCAUGAUAGUAUACUGUUGUGUGAUGAUUAUUUCAUACAUGGCAUCGCAUUGAAGGCAUGGUAGGAUAGUUACAGUUUACAUUUCUACCUAUCUAUCUAUCUAUUUGCUUAUGCCUGCUUAGACCUAGUGAGAAGAUCGGCGGAGUCGGCGGCCGAACCCACUAGGAACUAUAUUUAUAUAGUUCUCACCCCAUUUUGUUGCAGGGCCGAGUACUAGUGCGCCGGGCGAGGACCGCGGCAAGGGCAUAGCGCCCUAAGUUAGUUAGUAGCUUUUCUACAUGCAUAUAGAGUACCCUCGUGUACUAGAUGAUGUAUAUUUUGAUAAUUGAUGGAGAGCUACCCAUGUAUUUUGGAGAUGACCAUGUAUUACAUUUUGAAAGAUGGAAAUGUAAUGUAAUCAAUUAUGUAAAUGUUGAAUGGUUGUAAUAGCUAAAAUAUCUCUCUUUAUUCACUGGUUAUACAUUUGUGGUUCUUGCUCGUAGUUGUGUUGCACUUGUGGUUCUUGCUCGUAGUUGUGUUGCACUUGUGUGCUUCUAGUUGAUCAUAUAUGUAUUGAAUUUCUUUUCCUGCGCAAAUUCUUGUACAUGAUCUCGUUGCUUAGCCUUGGACGGACAGGGGAGGUGCUGUCUUUUCGGCGUCUGUUCGACGCGCCCGAACCGGACCAAAUUGGUAGCGGUCUCGGGGCAUGGCAAGCUCCUCUCGGGUUGCACCUUGCAGGGCUGUGUACCGAUACAACCUUGAUGGUUAUACCGGAACAGGUUUCGUACCGGUACACCUUGAUGGUUGUACCGGUACAGAUGUGAUUUUCUACCAACCCGAGGCUCGGGUUUGUGUGUUCGGGGGAUUUGUACCGGUACACUUUGACAGAUUGCGAAAUGACAGUUUUUCAAGGGUGUAAAUGCAAUGUAGCUUCUCUACUUAUACCCCACGCCCCUUAGAGCUUCCCCUGAGCUGAGAGUUGUGGAGAACAAGGUAGGGUUUCCUCCCACUUCUCCCCUUUGGCCUAUUCUUUCUUUUUUGCUUGGGAUUUAGGGUUGUAACCCUCUCUUUUUGCUUUUUGGAUAAUUUUCUCCAUGGUAGGAGCUUGGAGCUUGGCUUUGGAAGCUUGUUGGAGAGUGGAUUCUCAACCUAGUUGGUGUUGAGUCUUGAUUGAAGCUUCUAAGAGGUUGGUAGCAAGUUUCUUCCUCUAGAUUCUAGUUUUGAUGCUUUAAACUAGAUGAAACCCUAGAAAAUGGAAACUUAGGAUUUAUUUGGGCAUUUUGGAUUUAGGGCUUUUGGAGCUUGAUCUCUUGGAUUAGAACCUUCCUCUAGGUUGGAUUGGAAGGGUUCUAGCUCUCUUUUAAAGCUUCAGAAGGGAUUUCCAUACUAUAAGUGAGUUUUAACCAUUUCUUGGCUUGAUUAUUGUUCGGACUUGGAGUUGUUCGUUCGAUUCGCUUAUCCCUCUUGGAACGAUCCUUAGGGGGCUAGGAGGCUAGUGGGCACCUUCGUCGGCGCAAACGAAGGAGAUUUAACAGAGCUUCGGUGGGUUUGACCUCAUCAAAAAUGAGAAAAUCUCAUUUAUGUUGAUUUAAGUUUUGUAAAAUGAAAAAUCAUGCACUUUUCAUGCUAGAUGCAUUAUUUGUGAAUUUUAAAAUGCUUAAAAUGCUUACGUUAUAUACAAUGCAUUUUUGGACCUCUAUGUAGCAGAGAGUUUGCAUGUGAGGCUUAUGCAUGUGUUUAGCAUUCUUAUUCGGGACUUGGGAUCAUGUUUCAUAUAGUGGAAAUAACAUAUGUAAUAUGCCCUUGGACAUAAAUCUCAAUUGGACAUAGGAGAAUACAUUAGGCUAUAAAGUGACUUUGGACUUGAAUAACUUGUGAAUUAGAGAGCUAAUGUCAUGAAGCGACAUUGAGCUUGGGUUAUAUAUGAACCUAGUGAAUAAUACCAUAAAGAGGCAUGAAAAUUGGAACAUGCUUGGAUAUAGUAAUGUUCUAGUGUCAUAAAGAGGCACUAGAUUUAGUGAAUGUUGGAACUUCACCUUGUGAUAUAGAACUAGACCGUUGGGUUGCUAGUGGCUGUUACCACGUUAGAGACAUGACGAUCGGGUUUUUGAGAUGAUGAUUACGCUUGCUUGCCAUUUGUGCUCAUACGCACAUGCUUGUGAGGGUCACUCCCUACAAGCCGGCACUCCGGAGUUAGCCUACGUGACUUAUGCUCGCUUGUGCGGUAUCGAAAAGCCUACGGGGUCGAAAGGGAUAGACUCAUUUCUAGAGUGGGAAUGUUGGGGCUAUCACCGACACUUAGGCGGCACAAGCUGGACCACACCUGUGUAGGUCCUAUAACAAGAUUGAACAAUGACACUAAUCUAUAAAUGAUAAUCACUACUAGAUAAGGUAUAGUAAUUGGAUUAUCUUGACAUGCUCAUAGCAUAGCUUUAGACAUUUGGGGACAUGUAGUAUACUUGAUAGUAUCGCUCCUUGCAUUAUAGUAUACUUGUUUGCCAUGUUGGAACAUGCUAGUUAUGUAUUGGACAUACUUGAUCAUGUUAGAAUGAAUGUACAUCAUAUUGUCAUCAUAUUACUUAUGGCUUAGUAGUUUAGCAUUCGAUAUAUGCUUUCAUACCUGCAGUUUAUUAUUGUUGCUUAUCAUAUCUACCUUACUCUUUUGGGCCUAGUGGUGCAUUGUGCUGAGGUCAGUAAUUGCCCACUGGGAACUAUAAAUUAUAGUUUUCACGCCCUCUAUUUCAUGUUUCCUUUCAGAGCCUUCCACGCCGGGUGAGGCUAUGGACAGCGAAAAGGGUAUCGCCUCGAGUUAGCUAGCUUGCGAGGGACUUAUCGAUAGGUGGUCUACCUCUCAUUGGUUUUAUUUUGGAGAGGUUGAAAGUUGUACCUGUGUAUAGAGACCACCCUUCUUUUGUGUGUAUUUUGAGACGGUUGUUGUAUUACAUUAUGUUUUACUUUAGUUGAGUAGUUCUCUUUCUUCCAUUUCUGUUGAUAGAAUUAGUUGUAUACUCGCUCUGAUAUCUCUAGUUACUGUUUACUCUUAUCUUUUAUACUUCUUUGUUGUAAACGCCUUAUAUGUGCAGGCAUAUGGCGGGUCUGGGCACGCACCGGGCGGGUCUGGGCACGCACCGAGCGGGCCUAUGCCGGGUCCCGGGGCGUGACAAAGACGAAGAAGAAAAAUUAGAAGAGGGGAUUGGGGAGAAAAUAACUAUUUCAUUGCCUAAUUCUUUCAUGCUUACAAUUACCCUAUUAUACUGAUCUCCGGAUCUCGUAUGGAGAUAAAUAAGCAAAAAGUAAAAGGGAUUACAUUGCAAAAAAUAAUCUACUUAAGCUAAAUAGUAGUUGGGUUGAUUUGGGUCUAAUUCGGCACUAGUCGGGCCUUGUGGUCAAAUUCCUCUUCACUUCCCUUCCAGGCUGCACCUAGCAGGCGGAUCUCUCCCUUAGCGCCCGCUCUGUUACUGGUAAAGGGUAUGUUUGGUUGCUUGUAAAACCACCUUGAAAAAAAAAUUUUGUGGAAAAGUACGAUUCCAAUGUUUGUUUGCUCGUAAAAAAAUUUUUUGUAGAAAAUUUCUUUUACCAAAGUUUGAAGAAAACGGGUGUUUUUAUUUUUUCUCGAAACGAGCAGAAAAUGAAAAUAAGCGCUGAAAAAUCGCGGCGUUGAGAGGGGAGGGGGGCAGCAGGCGCGUGAUCCACGAGGCACAUCCCAUCUCGUGGACCGCAAGAGAGGUCCACGGUGGACCUCUCACCCGCCCCCCUCUUUUCUUUUAUAAUAUAUAUAUAUAUAUNNNNNNNNNNNNNNNNNNNNNNNNNGGAGAAUACAUUUAGGCGUAUAAAGUGACCUUUGGACUCGAAUAACUUCGUUGAAUUAGAGAGCUAAUGUCAUGAAGCGACAUUGAGGCUUGGAGUUAUAUAUGCGACCUAGUGAAUAAUACCAUAAAUAGAGGGCAUUGGAAAUUGGAACAUGCUUGGAGGCUAUACUGAAUGUUCUAGGUGUCAUAAAGGAGGCACUGGACUUAGUGAAUGUUGGAACUUCACCUUGGUGUAUUAGCACUAGACGUUGGUUUCUAGUGGCGUAUUACCAUUGCUUAGAGACAUGACGAUCGAGUUUUUGAGAUGAUGACUACGCUUCUUGCUAUUUGUGCUCAUACGCACCAUGUUGUGAGGCGGUCACUCCCUCCAGCCGGCACUCCGGGGUUAGCCUACGGACUUAUGCUCGCUUGGUGCUGGUAUGGUGAAGAAAGCUACGGGGGUCGGGAAGGGGAUAGACUCAUUUUCCUAGAGUGGGAAUGGUUGGGGCUACCACCGACACUUUAGGCCCGGCCCACAAGCGUGGACCACACCUGUGUAGGUCCUAUAACAAGACUGAACAAUAACUAAUCUGAUAAGAUGAUAAUCACUACUAGAUAAGUAUAGUAUGGAUUACCUUGACAUGCUCAUCGCAUAGCCUUAGACAUUUGGGACAUGUGACCGUAUACUUGAUAGUAUCGCUCGCUGUGCAAUAUUAUAGUAUACCUUGUUUGCCCGAUGUUGGAAAACAUGCUAGUCUAUGGUACUUGGGACAUACGUUGAUUCAUGUUAGAAGAAUGUACUCCAUAUUGUCGAUCAUAUUACUUAUGGCUUAGUAGUUUAGCAUUCGAUACAUGCUUUCAUACCUAGCCAGUUAUUAUUGUUGCUUUCAUAUCUACCUACUCUUUUGCGGCCUAGUGGUGCAUUGUGCUAGAGGUCGAAGAAUUGGCCCACACUGGGAACUAUAAAUUAUGUUCUACGCCUCUAUUUCAUAUUUCCUUUCGAGCCUUCCACGCCGGGUGAAGCCACGGGCCGCUGGAAAGGGUAUUGCCUCGUUAGGCUACUGGCGGAGGGACUUAUCGAUAAGGGGUGGUCAUAUCUCCAUAGUUUUUAUUUUGCGGAGAGGUUGAGAGUUGUGACCUGGGUAUUAGAGACCACCUUUUUUUGUAUGCUAUUUUGAGGACGGUUGUUGCAUUACAUAUUAUGUUUUACUUUAGUGAGUAGUUUCUUUCUUUCCAUUUCUGUUGAUAGAAUGUAGUUGUCAUACCUCGCUCUGAUAUCUCAGUUACUGUUUACCUCUUAUCUUUCAUUACUUUUCAUUGUAAACGCGUUAUAUGUACAAGGCAUAUGGCGGGUGCUGGGCACGCACCCGGGUGGGGCCUAUGCCGGUCCCGGGGGGCGUGACAAAGACGAAGAAGAAAAAAUUGGAAGGAGGGGACAAUUUUUUUUGGGGGAGAAAUAACGUAUUUCAUUGCCCUAAUUCUUUCAUGUUACAAUUACCCUAUUAUACUGAUCUCCGGAUUCUCGUUACUGAAGAUGAAUAAAGCAAAAAGUAAAAGGGAUUACAUGCCAAAAAGUAAUCUACUUAAGCUAAAUAGUAGUUGGGUUGAUUGGUCUAAAUUCGUCGCACUAGUUGGGCCUUGUGGUCAGAUUCCUCUUCACUUCCCUUCCAGGGCUGCCACCUAGCGGGUGGAUCUCUCCUUUAGGCGCCCCGCCUCCGUUACUGUAAAGAGCUAUGUUUUGGGUUGCUUGUAAAACCACCUUGGGGAAAAAAAUUUUGUGGAAAAGUACGGAUGGUCCGAAUGUUUGUUGCUCGUAAAAAAAUUUUUUUGCGCAGAAAAUUGGGUUUUUACCAAAGCUUUUGGAAGAAAACGGUGUUUUUAUUUUGCUCGAAAUGAGCAGGAAAUGAAAAUGAGCGCUGAAAAAUCGCGCGGUUGGAGGAGGGGAGGGGGCGCAGGCGCGUUGCGUCCACGAGGCACAUUCCCAUCUCGGGUGGACCGCGGACGGAGAGGGGUCCACGGUGGACCUCUCACCCGGCCCUCUUUUCUUUUAUAAUUAUAUGGUAGUAUAUAUAUACUAAGUAUUAUAGUAUAGGAGUACGUAGUUAUUUGUAUUUUAAAAGAGUAUUUUAUUUUUAAUAUAAAUAUAUUUAUUAUAUAUAUUUUAUUUUAAAUAUUUUUAUUAAUAUCUAGUAUUAUUUAUAGUUUUAAAGUAUAUGACUUAUACUAGUUAUAAUUAUAUGUACAUUAUUUAAUUUAUGCAUCAAUUAUAUUUUAAAAUAUUUUGUAUUUAUAGAAUAUUUAAAUAUAAUACUGAAUAUAUGUGAGUAUAAUAACGUUAAUCUAUAUUAUUAAUAAUAUGAACAGCUAUAUUAAAAUUAACAAGAUUAUCAUAAUAAUUUUUUAUUGGUUAUUAUUUUUUACUUGUUAUUAUAUUUUUCCUUCAACCAAAAAGGUGUAAGGGGAAAAUUAUUUUUUUCUUAUAAUCAAAAGUUAGGGGGAAUGGCCGUAAAAAUUUAUUUUUAUCAAAAAUUGUAUUUUUUAUAAUUUUACGCAAGCGAAACGGCACCCAGCCCCCUUCUCCAAUAAGUUUGUUGGUAUCAUACUUCUAAACCCUUCUUAUUAAAAAGCUGGUUCUGGAUAUGGGUUCCGGAUUCUAUCCGUCGCGUACCUAAUCGCCUCUUCGGGCCCCCUCUCCUUUCUCCGCUCUCCCGAAGCCUCCUACCUCCAUGGUUGCCCCCGACGUUACAGAGAAAGAGGAGGCGGAGGCGAUGAUAGGGCCAGGCCCCGCCGCUCCUCGCUCGCGCCCGAAGCGACCCCUCCAGUUCGAGCACGCUUUCCUCGACGCCCUCCCCUGCGCCCACAUGUACCUACUUACAACAACAACCCCACUUUUUUCUUUUUCUUUUUCUUCUUCUUUUUUAUAAUAAUUAUAAUUUGGAUGCUGCCAUCAAUUAAGAACUCGCUUUUAGCUAAAAUGAGACCCACCCACUCUUCUCGGCUUUCUUUAUUUAUCUGAUCAUAGCCCCUUAAGUUUUGUUCGAGUUAUUCUAGUUGGUUUACUUGAAAAUUUUGGUAAAUUUAUUUGUCUCUAUCAGCUACUUGUGUGUUUAUUGUUUGAGGUUUAGAUUUUGAUGGAAUCAUCGAUGAAUUUGAUAAAUCUCCAAUUUAUAUGACUAAAAUCACUCAAUUCCAAAAUGUCACAAGUUAAGAGGAGGGCCAUUUCAAAAUGACCUACAGUUGAGGGAGUGUCCAUGCAUUUCUGCCAACUGAUGAGCUAGGAACAGUAGUAACAUUUUGAUAUUACCCGUCUUUGGAUCGUUUGAUGUGUAAAGAGCAUUUGUUGUGUUCUUCUUUAAGAUUUGAAGCCAAUUGGCUGCUGCAUGCUGAAUCAGAAUUAUGUGCAAUGCAGGUAUGAGAAGAGUUACAUGCAUCGGGAUGUGGUCACUCACGUCGCUGUAUCAGCAACGGAUUUCUUCAUCACCGGAAGUAUUGAUGGUGCUUUCCCUAUCUUUUACUGUUUAUUUAAGUGAUAUCUUGAAUUGAUAUUCUAGCUGGUCGUCUUAAGUUUCUCUUCUCAAAAUUGCUCAAUAUAUUUCCUAGUUUGCCGUUCUCAUAUCUGAAGGAAUGUUGUGGGUUAGAAAAGGCUAUUUCGUUGUAAAAUUCUAUUUAAGCAACUUCCAUGCCAUAUAAAUAUAUAUGUAUAUAUUUAUAUAUUGUUUGGCCAUUAACAAGUUGUCUCUCAGUUAAGAUCCUAUAUUCUCAAAUAAUAUUCUAUUUUGCAUUUAUUAUUCUAUUCGGUCAUUCGUAGUUACUUAAAAACUUACUUCUGUAAAUAAUUAUGCACGAAUUAGAUUUCAGAGGGUUGAAAGUGUUACAUCUGCCAAAUAAGAGAAGGGAAUUAGGGAUAGAAGUAGCAGCAAAGGUUUAGAGAAUUAAUAAAAGAGAGAUGGAGUAAUGAGAGAGCUUAGCUUUUCCUUGUGGAGCCUUUGAAACAGAACCGGUUAGCCAUGGAGAUCGGGAGGGGGCAAGCAGCUUCGUUGGGGCAGAACCAGCAAGGCUAGAUGAGGAAGACGCUCGAAGCAGGGUGAAGCUUUUGGGGGCGGAAUUUGAGGGUUGCGGAGUGGAGAAAAGACGAACCCAAUACCCGUUGGACUCUGGAUAGUGCGGAUAAAGGAGACCCGGUGGCCACUUACCCGGCUAUCAGGUGCUCUUGGACCAGAUGAGUUCAUUUAGGCCCAUAUUCCCAUUCAAAUAGGCCUACGAGGAAGCAGAAAGCCUUCUUUUAUUUCAAUUCUCAGUUUAGCAUUAUUUAGUUUACUAAAUUGCAUUUUAGUCCAUUGUAUAGGUGAAUAUAUAGGCAGAUUGUAACAGAACCGGGGAUUAUGGUAAAUUGUUAAGUCUCUGUUAUCCUCAUCUUCUUCCUCCAUCUCUCUCAUCUCUUCUCGUCUCAACAUCUCCAUCUAUCUAUCUCUCUCUCUUUAUCUCUCUCUUCUCUUGCUCAAUCCCAUCUUCUCACUCUUAUACUUGAUCUCGCUACGAGCGUUUGGGGGCAGGCAAUCGCUGAGAUACUGAUUGAUUAUACCAUCACCCUCCACGCCGUCCUCGUCUCAGCGAAUUAUCAUCAUAGACGGGUUGCGGAGAGUCAGGUACGUAACAAUUGGUAUCAGAGCGGUCCAAUCCCAGGGCAUUGUGUGGUGGAAUCGCUUCCUAACUCCAAUCUCGGCAUUGUUGAGUUUAAUCGCGAGUAAGAUUUCUGCGCUGCCGAAUCUGAUUUGGGAUCAGAUUGGGACAAAAGAAAUCACCACAAGAAUACCUUUGAUGAAGACCAAUUGAUCUGGGGACACCCCUCAAUCCUCAGAUUAGUAAUAUCCCACAAGUGCAAUAAAUCAUAUAAGGUAAGCAACACGAGACCAUUCAUUCCAUCAAAGGAUCGCUGUAACAGAGAGCCUAUCGGGCGUCAAAUUGGGGGCAAACGAGGCAACAAGUUUAAAUUUAAUCCGAAGGAGUAUCUGGAAGAGAUAGAAAUGGCUGAAGGAACCAGAUUGAGAGAUAUUAGUGAUCAUGUUCGCUCCUUAGAAGAGAGGUUUCAGAAGCUAGGGGCUGAGCACCACACUGAGAUAGAAGUCCUUACCAACCAGAUCGCAGAAGUGAAGGAGACUGGACAGCGGCAAUACGAAGCGCUGCAGGUUGAAGCUACCAAGCGACAUGAGGAGCUGCUGAAGCUUUUAACGGCUUAGCCACCUACCACUCAGGCGCACAGCAGGGUGACAACCCUCGAGAACAAGGCUCCUCAAGGCGACAAACCUGGAAGUAGUAACACCCCUUUUGUUAACAGAGAAAAUAGAGGGAAAAGGAUAUUACCCACUCCUAGAAGGCAAACUGAAGUAGAGGACGAUCAGAUUUCACCGUGGACUAAUAGGCAUUUUAAUAAUCACCAACAGUUUCCAUACCCACGACUAGAUUUUCCUUCAUUUGAUGGCGAUGAUCCUAGAAAUUGGAUCGAGAAUUGUGAGCAGUUCUUUGAGUUGUAUCAAAUACCACAGCAGCAGUGGCUAAGCAUAGCAACUAUGCAUUUAUUCGGCAAGGCGAAAACGUGGAAACAAGGAUACUUCAUCAGCAAACAAGUAGUUUCUUGGGAUGAGUUUACGGAGGUUGUGUGCAAGAGGUUCGCCCAUAUAGGGGAGCGGUAUUUGAUUAGAGAGUUUAGCAAUUUGAAACACACUAGAACAUGCGAGAAGUAUCAAGAGAAAUUCGAAGAGUUAAGAUCCAAUUACUCUACUACAAUCCCUAUUUAUCGGAAGAGUACUUUAUUGCGAGUUACAUUAAUGGACUCAAAGAGGAAUUAGUCCUAUUUCUUGACAUCGCUCAUCCAAACACAUUGGAGGAGACAUAUGAACAAGCACAGUUACACGAAAAGGCUCUAGCAGUGAUUAACAGAAAGAAUCGGUUUAUUUCUAAGACACCAGUGGAGACCUAUCAACCAAACGCAUCAUAUAAGAGCACCGAAGGAACUGGGCAACAGUACCAGAACCAGAACAGAACUACAACAGGUCAAUAUGCUGCUAACAAACAGUUAAUAGAACAACGUCGAGCUGCUGGAUUAUGCUUUCGAUGCGGAGAAAAAUAUCAUCUUGGGCAUGUAUGUGCAAACAAGUUAUUGAAUACAUUACAAGCUACUGAGGAUAUUAUGGAAAUUUAUGAUGAAGGUUGUUUACAAUCAGGAUCAAACGACGUGACAGUCACGGGAAAGGAAGGGGAGGAGUCAGAAGUUGUACCCAAGGAAAGGGAGCCGCAAGAGAUAAGAGUAUCUGUUCAUGCAUUAUGUGGAGAGAAACCCUAGGACAUCAUCAAAAUACGAAGUGAAACAAACAAUUGAAUUCUCACCAUUUUGAUAGAUACAGGAAGCAUGCACAGUUUCAUCGACCUGCAAGUAGCCAAAGAGAUUGGCGCACGAACAUAAGUCGCUUCACCCUGGGUAGUGACGGUAGCGAACGGCCAUAAGGUUUUGAGUAAACUAAAAUGCCCUGGUUUCACUUGGAUCAUGCAAGGACAUACAUUCCGAGCGGAUUUGAAGGUGAUCAGAUUGGAGGGCUCAAGUAUUAUAUUACGAAUUGAUUGGUUAAAAUCUUAUGGACCAGUAACAUAUUUCCUAAAGAAUUCAGUUGCUAUCACCAAAGAAGUCCGGAGUUUAGAACUGAAAGGGAUCGAGGAAGGAGCUAGAUUAAGGUUGAUAUCUGCAGCCCAAUGGAGGCAGGAAAUAGAGAAGGGUGAAUGCUAUCUCCUCAGACAUCAACCCUUGCCAGAAGAAGAUAAACACGAAGUAGAGAUACACCCAGAGAUUCAAAAGGUGCUGGAUAAAUUUCAGGAUAUGUUCGAAAAGCCCAAAGAGUUACCUCCACCCCGAAUUCAGGAUCAUAAAAUUCCGUUAUAGCCCAACACCGCACCGGCUAUAGGUGAGGAUGAUGAGUUGCUGACAGAACCUGAGAGAAUCCUGGAUAGGAGGAUGGGGAAACGGGGUAACAGGGCCGCGACUGAAGUGUUGGUGAAGUGGGUGAAUCUUCCUGAGGAGCACGCUACCUGGGAAGAUUACGAGGUUCUUACUGGUCAGUUUCCUUCUUUUGAUCCUUGAGGACAAGGAUCAGGUUAUGGGAGGGGGAAUGUUACAUCUGCCAAAUAAGAGAAGGGAAUUAGGGAUAGAAGUAGCAGCAAAGGUUUAGAGAAUUAAUAAAAGAGAGAUGGAGUAAUGAGAGAGCUUAGCUUUUCCUUGUGGAGCCUUUGAAACAAAACCGGUUAGCCAUGGAGNUAAUAUUAAUAUUUUUAUUUUUAAAAAAAUUUAAAUAUUUUUAAAUAAAAUAAAUAAAAUAAAAAAGAACAGGCCCAAAGCCCGGCACGGCCCGUGCAGUCUGGGCCGGGGGGCCGUGUUGGGCCGGGUUCCAAGAACUUUGGCCCGGCACGGCAGGGCCCGAUUUUGGGGCCGGGCCGUGCCGGGCUGGCCCGCACCCCGUUUCGGCCCGAAAAAUGUGGGCCGUGUCGGCCCAGCACGGCCCACAUACCAUCCCUACAUGGGGGAUUACUCUCUCCCUCUCUCAUUCCACUCUCUCUCUUUCUUACACUCUCUUGCUCUUUCUCUUUAGAAAGAAAAGAGAAGAAAGAAGAAGAAAAAAGAGAAGGAAGAAAAGAAAGAAAAGGAGGGAGAAGAAGAAGGAGAUCAAGCUUGGGAAGCUUUUGGACCUCUCCCUCUUCCUCUCUUUUUUCUUUGAAGCUACAACAAGAGGUAGGCUUCUAACCCUAGUUGUGGAAUUUAGGGUUUUUGGGUUUUAGCUCUUUGGAUGGGAUCAAAUGGAUCCCUAGCACCAUGAAUGGUGAGAUUGGAGUUAGAAUUUAGGGUUUUGAGAUGGGUUUAGCUUGAUGCUAACCCUAGGGCACCAAAAUUGGGUUUUUGGAAAAGUAGAGGAUUGAUCUCAUUUGACCCUCCUCUAACCUAAUUGGUAGGUGCCUAAACGCGGGGGCGAAGUCGGAUUUGGCAUUCGUCGAGUGGGUCAAGAGCUAUCGGCAAAAUAGGGCAGAUUGAGCAUUGUUUUGGACCAAGGAGGUCAAGACUUCGUCGUAAAGUUCGCCGAAGAGCGUUUCUAGAACCUCUACAUCAAGAAAAGGUGGGGGGUGUCAUCUCGAAGAAUCCGGGUUUCUUUUUAUGUCUAAGUUAAUAAUUAUGUUGAUCAUAUUGCGCUAUAGGAAUAGUAGUUGUACAUUUUCAUUUCCUUGCAUGCUUUCUUGGUAGUGUAGCUGGGUGAGCUUGACACGUGGACUAGGAUAGCAUGAGGAUUGGGUCUUGUGACAUAGAAUCCUAUAGCGGCAUAAAGAGCCGAACUUGGAUAUAGCCUAGUAGAGUGGCAUUGAACUAGUGUGGUAGAAGCACUAUGACAUGAACGAGUGGCAUGUAGAAUAAUUGAGACAUUUACUACAGUGACUGAACCAGUGGCAUCGAGUUUAGUGUAGUAAACUUGAUAUGAACCUAGGGAUAGUAGAAGUCCCAACAUUGAUUAUAUAUCAUGAUUGUGUAGCAGAGGCACAUUGACCCUAGUAGACAGGGUGUCACGCCCCGAGACCGCUAUCAAUUUGGUCCGGCCCGAGCGCGUCGAACAGACGCCGAACGGACAUGACCUCCCCUAUCCGCCCAAGGCUAACCAACAGAUCAUGUAUAAGAAUUUACCCAGGAAUCAAUUCAUAAAUACACGAUCAAGAAGCACCACUAGUGCAACAAGACGAGUGCAAGAUACAAGUAUAGAAACAUAUACAAGUACAUAAGAGAGAAGAUAUAAUCUAUUACAUUCAGUUGACAUAAUAUAUAUGUUUAAUUACAUCUUUUACUUUCUCCCAAAAUAUAAAUACAAUCACUCGAACCUCACCCUAUACAACAUCUACUCUCAAAUACAAAAAGGUGACAGCUAAUGCAAAAGGGAGGUAGCUAAUGGACUAGAAGCGCCGGGGCCCUUACCACGAUCCUCCCGCUCACCGGGGGCGCACCGAACUAGAACCUGUAAAGAGUGGGGGUGAGAACUAACUUCCUUAGUUCCCAGUGGGUUCGGCCGCCGACUCCGCCGAUCUCCCCACUAGUCCAAGCGGCGCAAAAGUUAUAAUCGAUAGAUAGAUAAGGAAAGAGGUAAAUGACAGAAGUAAAGCUACCGCUACUUAUGCCCAAUCAUGAAUUAUGAAUGCAUGUACAAUGAAAUAGAUAAACAACUAACCCAUAUCAUGUCCAAAAGGUAAAGCUAUUUACUCGUUCAUCAAUCUCAUUUACUGUUUCUUAAUCUCGUGGCUUCCUGGAGGAGCCUACUGCUCACUAGCCAUCUCGAAGGUAAGGGAGGGUCAACUCGCACUACGAACCGAGACCGUCUACCGGGGCCUAAAGUAGGCAAUCCUUGGGACCCAAAAAAGGCCAAUCCCACGUGACCAACUCCGGAGCGCACUACUUGUGUGGGGCUUCACACAAGAUUUAAAAACAGACCGUGAGCAUGAUCCAAUCCUCGUCUCGAGAAUACCCUAUCCUCUAGGGUUCAAAUCAUCAUAUAGUCCAUUAGGUUUCACAUGCCUACGACUCAUAUGUGUUGUUCUUUUGCUUACUAUCAACUAAAUUGGCCCACCUCCGCAUUGUUUACUAUCGACUAGAUGCCACUCGUUCUUUGUUUAACAUUAGACCAACCAUUGAGCUCAUCUCUUUUUUUCUGCACUAUAGGAUUCACAAGUCUCAACCCAAUCCUUAUCAAUCCACUAUGUCGAGUAUCCAAUACAUGCUACGAUAUCAUCAAGGAAAGCAUAAGGAAAGGCAAUACACAAUCAUCCUAUAAUGCAAUAACACAAGAUGCAAGAAUCGACAUGUACUAAGACAUAGAAGGGAGCCCGAUUGCUUCGGGAUGGACACCACCCACCUCUUGGCGAUGCCGCGAUAAUAGAAAGCUCGACGUUGCGGUCUUUGCACGCUGCUUCAACUCCUCGGGGCGAAGCGAGCCCUCGAGUACCCGAUUCGGCGAUAACUCCGCACUCGCUCGUCGGAUCGGCAAACCGUCUUCCCCGACGCGUUCCGAGACCUAGCAAUUUGGUUUACGACCCAUUAAAAUAGAUCAAGACCCUCGAUUUCCAAGAAUCCCAAAUUCGUGCCCUAGAAUGGCGACGAGAGGGAAAUCCAUGGUGCGAGCUUCGAUUGCGAGCCCGAACCAUCUACUUAUCUCCUCUAGGUUCCAUUGGAACCAAUUCUAAGCCCCAAAACCCUAACCCAAGAAAUCUACCAUGGAUGGGUUUGGAGCUUACCUCUAAGCCAAGCUCCAAGCUCGCUCUAGUUUGAAGGAGAGAGGGAAGAAGACCUUCUUCUUCUUCUUCUUGGACUUCUCCUUCUACUUCCUCCUCUUUUCCUUCUUUUCUUUCUUCUUCUUCUUCUUCUCCUUCUUUUCUUUCUAGAGAGAGAGAGAGGGAAAGAGUGUGAAUGAGAUAGAGAGAGCAACUGAGAGGGAGAGAGAGGGGUCCCCCACCUCUAUUAAAGGCCAUUUUGCAGCUAGCCCCCUCAGCUUUUCAUCUUUAGAAUCAACCCUCUCUGGGCAUUUUCGCGGUGAGGGACCGGUCCCAGCUCGGGGAGACCGGUCCCCGAAGGCUGCCAUUUCGAGCAGAGGGGUUUUCGCGUUCGGGAACCGGUCCUUGCCUGAGAGACCGGUCCCCGGGAGACCGGUCCUCGUCCGAGAGACCGGUUCCCGAAGGUUGGAUUCUCGGGACUUAGCCAAAUUUCGGCUGUUCUCGCUGGGCUGACGUUCGGGAACCGGUCCCUGCCUGCCAGGGACCGGUCUCAUCAGAGAUCCCCAUAACCCAGCCUGAUGGGACCGGUCCCUCCCUGCCAGGGACCGGUCCCCGAGAGCAUUUCUGCUCCAGUGCAAGUUUUGCACUGGUGCUCUCGCGGACCUUUCCUUAAUGCACUUUAUGCAUUAUACUCACCUUCGGACUUACCGAAGCUUACGCACUCGACAACUAGUCGAUUCUAAUCGAAGUCUAAUCCUCGAGUUUCGAGAAUUCACUUCCUUACACAGGGUAUCCUCUUGAGAGGAUUGGAUCAUACUCACUAGUCUGUUUCGCUUGUCGGUGGUGCUCCACCAAAGCACGAGUCUCCGGAGUAUCUCACAGGGUUGUCCCGCAGACGGUCUCGGUGUGCGAGUGCAGCUUCUCCUCACCUAUGAGAUUGAGAGUGAGUCGAGGGUUUAACCUACGGGUUAACCAAGUAGAUUGGGUAAUAAACAUGGGAUGCAUAGUAGACUUGCAUUAUUACCUUGAGUAGACAUAGUGUAUAUUGUAGUUUACAUUACUAUGCACCUUUUUUAUACUCAUGACAUGAUUCUAGCAUGAUAAUAGUUGUUGCAUGCAUUAUUAUCAUUGAUGGCACGAUAGAGUAGUUGCAGUUCAUUCCUAUAUAUCUAUCUAUCUCUCUAUCUGUACCAGCUUAGACCUAGUGGGAAAAUCGGCGGCGUCGGCGGCCGAACCCACUGGGAACUAUAUUUAUAUAGUUCUCACCCCGUGUGGUUUUGGGGUACAGGUACAUACAGAGGCGAGCCGAGUGAGGACCGCGUCAAGGGCAUAGCGCCCUAAGUGAGCGUAGUUAGUAGCUUUUCCUUUAUGCAUUAGAGUACCCUCGUGUACUAGAUGAUGUUUUGGAUAGUUAUUGGAGAGCUACUUGUAUUUUGAGGAAAACAUGUAUUUAAAUUUCGGAAGAUGAAAAUGUAAUAUAUCAAAUGAUGUAACUAUUGAAUGGUUGUAAUAGUUAGACUAUCUCUCUUUAUAUACUUUGUAUAUUACUUGUGGUUCUUGCUCUUAGUUAUAGUGCACUUGUGUGCAUCGUGUCGAUCAUGUAUGUUAUUUAAGCAUUCCCUGGGCGCUUGAUUGUACAUGAUCUGGUUGCUUGGCCUUAGGCGGACAGGAGAGGUGCUGUCCGUUCGGCGGUCCGUCCGGCGCGCCCGAACCGUGCCAAAUUGGUAGUGGAUUUGGGGCGGGGCGUGACACCGAAAGUCAACCAAUGGUGCAGGGGAUCGAUGACGUGCUGUUGGCUGUAAUGGACCAGCAUCAGAGCCACCUCGAUGAUCAAAGACGAUCGAAGAGCGAGGAUAGGUUGCACGGAGUGGUUCUGGGUACACAACUGGUGCAUAUCGCUGCGGGUCACCUGGAUUGAACUAGCAAGGUGAGCACGACAUAGGGGAACGCUAGAGAAUCGCCGACAAUCAGGUUGACCGAAAAAGUCUACCACAAAAACAACCUAUUUCUUUGACCAACGAGCGGUGAUUGGAUAUCAGGGCCCAAGCGAGAUCAGGCUCAACAUAAAUGUAGCCACUGGAGCCAUUCUAAAAAGGGAGAUAUUAGCACUACGUGGGGAAAUAGGUUCUUUUAGAAUCAAUUUCAAACCAUCUACUAGAGGUUGUAACAAUCCGAACCCCCUUAUGAAAAAAAGUAGUUGGCAUUGCAUAAGCAAAUUGUUGAGUUUACAAAACUUUGCUUUUAGUAGUCGGCCCUCUAUGCUUCCCUUUAUUUGCUUGCCAACUUCCAACCUAGAAUGCCUACUGACGCCAGAAGCUUACUUGAAGGGUGUCGCUUUUGGCGCAGAAGGCCAAGCAUUUUGCCAGACAAGUCUUUUGAGCAGGAAAAUUUGGUCACGUAGAUAGCAGGAUCGGCCGUAGCUUGGGGAGCAAGAGCAUAUAUAGGUGUAGAGGAGUGCUGUGCUCCUGAAGGAGGGUCACCGGUAGUUGUGAUUGGCCGACGGACCGACGGAGCAAACUCUGCCACAAGGAAGGUUCAGGGGAGCAGCAGCAACACUGACAACAUUGGAGAGUUGCUGGCUGGUUCGAGAGGGCAGGGGAAGGUUCGAUAGAGCAAGGUGGUGCCGGAGAGUGUAGAGGUCGGCGGCGACGUAGGCUGCGGUGGCUGGAGAAGCCAACUCGGCUCGAGAGGCCAACAAUGGUAGCAGUAGGAGCAACCAUGUCUUGAAAGCAACGACUUAAGUGCCGUGGCACGGGGUCGUACCGGAAACUUGUUGGCACGAUGCGUGCCGGACCGUGCCAAUGCAUGUCGGUCGCAAACAAUGUAUGUGUGCCGGCACGUAAUGGCAUGAAAUAUCUAUUUCUUUAGCAACAAAAUAUGCUUAUUAUUUAUUAUGUAUUUUUAUCAAAUCUUUUGAACUUUAUUAAGAAAAUUACUUACUAAUUUCAAGAAUAAAGGGUUUUGAGUUGUGCCAUCAGCACGGGUGUCAUAUCGUGCCGAUAUCUUGCUGGCACGAUACAGCACGGUAGAUACGGCCUGUGCCGAUGGGCACUUUAAUCCUUGCUUGGGAGGGUUGCAGACCGAUGCAGCAUGGCCUAAAGAAGUGGAGGAGGGUUCAACCGGCCCGAGAGGGGUCGCGGGAGGUGCCCAGCUAGCGGCGGAGUUAGUAGCUGUCACGCCCCGAGACCGCCAAUUUGGUCGGUUCGGGCAUGUCAAACAGACGCCGAACGGACAGCACCUCCUGCCCUGUCCGUCCAUGGCUAAACAACAAGAUUAUGUACAAGAAUUUGCCCAGGAAAAACACUUACAUGAUCAAUGCAAGUAUAACACACAAGCGACUAUACAUGCAUACACGGAGCUAAAGAGAGAGAUAGUUCUAGCUAUUACAUCUUUCCAUUCAACAAUUACAUAACUUGAUUACUUCUACAUCGCCCAAAACGUAUACAAGUUCAUCUCAUCAUAGGUAGCUCUCCAAAAUCCUCACCUACAUAAACAUCACUCAUGUACGCGAGGGUACUCUAAUGCAAGUAGGAAAGCUACUAACUACUAGGGCGCUAUGCCUUUGCCGCGGUCCUCGCCCGGCAUGCUCGUACUCGGCUCUGCAACAAACUGGGGUGAGAAUUAUAUAAAUAUAGUUUCCAGUGGGUUCGGCCGCCAACUCCGCCGAUCUUCGCACUAGGUCUAAGCAGGUAUAAGCAGAUAGAUAGAUAGAUAGAUAGAUAUGAAAUAACUGCUAGCAUAAUAAUGAAUUCUACAAUAUAUACUACUAUGCCUCAAUCAACUGAAAUGAAUGCAUGAACAAUAUAGUAAUGAAGUCCGCUAUCAUGAUGAUACUAUGUUCAAGAAAUAAUGCCAUUCAUUGUUUACCCAAUCACUUGGCUGACCCGAAGGUUUGCCCUCGACUCACUAUGCCAUCUCGUAAGGUAAGGAGACGCACCUCGCUCGCAAACCCGAGACCGUCUGCGGGACAUUAACUCUGCCCCUCGUGUGACAAACUCCGGAGUGCGCGGCUUGUGUAGAGCGACCACUCCAAGCUCAAAACAGACUGUGAGUAUGAUCCAAUCCUCUCAACUCGAGGAUACCCUACCAACUAGAGCUAACAAUCACUCGGGAAUCCACCUAUCCCAAUGUUUAUAUUUAAGUGUUUCAACUACACUAUGGUUUCAUGCAACAUGUCAUAACUAGGGAAAUCCACUUAUUCCCUAAGUUCACUAUGUCAUAAGUGUUUUCUUUACGCUAAGUUUUAUGCCACUUGUCAUGUUAUCAUUCAUUAUACACAUGCCACUCGUUAUGUCGCUACAUAACUAUCAAGUUCAUCUCUUAUUCCGGCACCAUAGGAUUUCCAACUUGUCAAGACCCAAUUCCUUACCUAUCCACUAUAUCAAGUAUUCACCUCACACUAUGAUAUCAACUAGGAAAGCAUAAGGAAUGGAAAUGCACAAUGACAAUCCUACAAUGCAUGCUAUACAAGAGAUGCAAGAUCAAUAAUGCACUAAGACAUAGAAGGCAGCCCAGCUGCUUCAGGAUGACACCCCCCACCUUUAGGUGAUGUUGCGAUGCUAGGAUCUUAAUUCCACGAUUUUAGGAUGCCGCCUCGGCCCUCCAGGCGGAAACGAAGCCGAAAACGUCCUUUUCGGCAAUAUCUUCGCGUAGGCUCGACGGAUCGCCGAACCGACUUCACCAGCGCGUCAGAAUACCUAGCAAUUAGGUUUAUAGGAGAUCAAUUUAGAUCAAACCCAACCAUAUGACAAAACCCUAUUUUGGAGCCCUAGUUUGCAAUUAAUGCAAAAUACCCCAUUUAGCUUCAUGAUUCAAGUAUUAAUCAUCUAUUAGCAUGCUAGGGUUCCAUCAAAACCAUUUUUAGAGAUCAAAAUCCAUACCCUAGAGAUCUACCAUUAAAGAGCAUCAAGCUUACCUCUAAAAGCUUGCUCCAAACCCAAGGAAGAAGAUGGAGAAGAUGAUGAUCCACCUUCUUGAUUCCUUCUCCACCAAUCUCUCCUUCUACUUCCCACUUUGAAGAGAGAGAAAAAGAUAGUUUAGAGAGAGAGAGGGAGUAUAUUUUAGGGUUGCAAGUGAGAAAGAUGAGAGGGAACAAGCUCUUCUUCCCUCUCAUAUACACUCCACUUGUGGCAAAAUAGCCAAAAACCCCCUCACCUUUGCAAAUAGUGCACAGCCCCAGCUGGGCAAUUUUCGGGUACGGGGUCCUGUCACUCUAGAGGGUCCGGUCCCCGAGGACAAAAAUUGCGCGCAGAAUUAUUUCUGCCACCUUCUGCGCGUAAGGGGUCCGGUCCCUCCAGCUGAGGUCCGGUCCCCGAGAGCACGAAAAAUCUGCAAAUGUGCAGAUUUGCACUAGCUUGCUCUCCAAGGCCCUCUACAAUGCACUAAAGCCGUUUUCGACGCCUUUGGCCUUUUCGAAGCGUCCCGAACUCGCCUUCGAUCAAUUUCGAUCGAAGUUCGGAUUUCACGUAUUGAGGAUUCAUUUCCUAACAGUAGCAGUGGCAGCUGCAGCACCAACACGAGGGAGAGGGGGAGAUGGAAAAAGCUCAUAGAGGACACUUGGCUGGCCGAGGAUGGCUGGUUGGACCACGGCGAUGCCACGAGAGUUGGGGUAUGGGGGCUUGGCGGCUGUGAGAGGGGAGAAGGAGAGAGGGGUUAGGGUUUGUUUAGGAUUUUAUACAUAUUUUGUUUUUCUUUGUAACAAUUACAACUUAGUCUCUCGACUGUUACUUUCUUACCCAUAGCUUCAUAACACUGUGCAUUUUGCGUAGGAGCCCUUCUUGUAGUACAAUUUUGCAAUUUUAUACAUACAAUGUUGUACUUUUUGCAAGAAUAUCUCUAGAUCAAUUUUGGCUCUUAGUCUUCAUAUUUGUGCCAUUUUGCAUAAAAAUCUUUGAGUUUCAUGAAACUUGAACUCACGCAUUCCUCUCUGAGUCUACUUUCAUAUGAGUCCUUUUGCUUGCCAAAACUCCAAAAUUUCUCGCAUGAAGUGUUAACCUUUUCGCAUAUUGCUCCUUUUUCUCAUUUUGUAAAAAUUGCAUUUCAGCCCCUUUGGUUCACAAUUUCUAACUCAAAACUCACCCACCCGUGUGUUUUGCUCGUAAGUUCCACCACAUAUGAAAUCACACAAUUUGACACAUGAAAUCUCGCAUUUUUUGAAUUAAUACUCCAUUUAACCGGUUUUGCACUAGCCUGAUUUUAUCUUUGAAACAUUACCUUAUCAUGCGAAGCUGCACCAAGGUCACUCUCAGUACUUACGAUACUGAUAGACUUAGAAAGUUUCGUUGAAAAACAGUCCGAUUAUGAUGAGAUAAUCCUCCUUUUUUAGAAAAAUUAUCGUAAAAAUUCUUGGGUGUACAGUGCAUGUAUGCAAACUGUUAUGUUCUGUAUUAAUUAUAUUACUAUAUUAUCCUUAACUAACUUUGUGCAUGUAUGCACUUGUCUGCGGUACUAAUUUUAUGAAAGUUAGUUUGUUCAACACUUCUCAUAUAGAGAUCCUUGUUUUCUACUAUGCAUAUAUCUCAAUCUUGCAAAACAACUGAAGGAUAUUACACUUACUGUCUGAAAGAAAACUAUUGAGUUAUUUCGGCUGUUUCUUUCUGGUUUUUUUUUUUGGUUUGUAUUUUAGCAUCUUGCUGAAUAGGUUUUUAUGCCAUUUCUGAUGGGCAACUACUUUAUUUUGUUCCUUUCCAGCUAUGAAAGUUUUCAGAAUAAGAAUUGACAUCGUGAACUGGAUUUGUUGUUACUCCCAAGUUGUACUGCUGUAGUCUAAUUCAUCAAUAUGUUGAUCUUUUGCAAUAUAUUUCUUUUAUAGGACACAUAAAGUUUUGGAAGAAGAAAGCUGUUGGAAUUGAAUUUGCGAAGCAUUUCAAAUCUCAUCUUGGUCCUAUUGAAGGACUAGCUGUGAGUACUAUCAUGUCAUUUAUUCUCACAUGAUUUAGGGGGUGUUUGGCCUAGCUUUUAAAAAGCGCUUUUGGGCUGAAAAGUAAUUUUCGGCUCAAUAGAGCGUUUGGCAACGCACUUUUAAAAUCUGAUUCUGCUUUUUAGAAUCAGAAAACUGAUUUUGAAGGCCUCAGAAUCAGAAGCAGAAAAAAGCUGCUUCUUGAAAACUGAUUCUGAUUUUGGAUUUAAACUUCAAAAUUUUAUUUUUAUUUUAGUUUUAAUAUUUAAAUUUAAUUUUAAUUUUAAAUUUUAAAUUUUAAUUUUCAGAUUCAUUUUAAAAUUUUUAAAUUUUAACUUUUAAAUUUUAAAAUUUGAAAUAUAGAUUUUAAAUUUUAAAUUUUAAUUUUAAAUUUCAAAUCUCAAAUUUUAGAUUUUAAAAUUUCAAUUUUAUUUCAAAUUUCAAAUUUCAAAUUUCAAAUUUCAGAUUUUAAAAUUUCAAAUUUCAAAUUUCAAAUUUUAAAUUUCAAAUUUUAAAUUUCAAAUUUCAAAUUUUAGGUUUAGGGUAAAAUUAAAAUUUUAAAAUUUUAAAUUAUAAAUUUCAAUUUCAAUUAUAAAUUUCAAAUUUUUAAAAUUAAAAAUUUAUAAAUUUUAAUCUUCAAUUAUAAAUUUAAAUUUAAAUUUUAAUUUUAAUUUUAAAUAUUCAAAUUUAAUUUUAAAUUUUAAUAUUCAAAUUUUAAUUUUAUAUUUUAAAUAUUCAAUUUUAAAUUUUAUAUUUUAAAUAUUCAAAUUUUAAUUUAAAUUUAAAUUUCAUAAUUAUUUUAAAUUUUAAAUUUUAAUUUAAUUUUAAAGUUAAAAUUUAAUAUAUUUUUAAAAUUAAAUAGCUUUUCAAACAGCUUUUCAAAUUUUAAUUUGCCAAACAACUUUUUAAAAUCACUUUAGAAAAAUCACUUUUAUCUAAACUCCGCCAAAAUGCUCUAUAGCUUUUAAGCAAAAUCACUUCUCCAAACCAAAAUCACUUUUUCAGAAAUUAUGUUUUCAAAAGCUAGGCCAAACAGGCCCUUAGUUGAAUUUAUCAGAUAUUUUUUGUCAUUUGAGUUCUGUUUAGUCCUAAUUCUUUUUGUUAUUGGAUGUUUCGUACAAUUGAAGUUUUUAACAAAUCUACUACACUUUUUCAUAUUGUUGGCUUUUUUGUCGUGAAUAUCUAUUCCAUAAGUAUAACUUUUGUAGUUUUGGUUUCUGUUGAUAUAUUACUAUAUGCUUGCACUUGCCAAUCUGGGGGGAAAUUUAUGAAGAAAUAUAAGUUUUGCUAGCAUAAACAUCUGGCUUUAAUGGAGCAUGGUAGGCUAUGGCUGUUUCUUUAGAUGGAAUGGAGAGGGUGAAGUUAUUUUCGGCCGUAAAUGGCCACUUUUUUUUUGGUGUCAGAAUAAAGAUAUAGUCGAAACUCGAGUUACCCAAAACAUCAUAAUUGACUUUGGCCCAUGCUAGGCCAAAGUCAAUUACGGUUAAGAGAGGUGAAGAAAAAAAAAAAUAAUAAAAUGAUACAAUGGAUAAUGCUAGCUAUGUUUAAAUAUAUUUGAUUUUGGCACUAAUUUCUCUGUUAUUUAGUUUACAUGUUUAAAAUGUGAUGGAAAUUGAUUAGUUAAGUUUUAGUAUCUCUUUCAUUUUUGUACAUUUAAAAUAAUGAAAAUUGAUUAGUUAAUUAUUAAUUUUUUUUUACUAUAUAAAAUUUUUAUUAUUGUAUUAUAUAGUUUAUGUAUAAAAAAUUAAUUUAGUUGUUUUAUAUUAAAAUUUUUAAUUAUAGAAUAAUACAAUUAUAUAAUUUGUUUUUUAUUUUUCCAUUAUAAUUUAGUAUAUAAUGCAGCGAGAAAAUCGUUUAGAAUUUAAAUUUUUUUUUUCUAAUUUUUGAAAUUAUUUUUUGGUUAAUUUGUAGAUUUUUUAGAAUUUUACCAUGUCGAAUAAAUCCCUAGAAAUUGGGAAUAUGGUCUAGGUCUAGGGCUUUUUUGGAUAUGUUUGUUAGAAAAUCCCUAAAAUCUUGGGAUUUGUUUUGACUAGGUUAUAUUUUUAUGGCUAUAAAUAUAGCCUACUUUUGUAAUCAUAGGAGAAUUUGAUGGAAAUAAGAAAUUUGGUUUAAGAGAAGUUCCUAUGUUUUUGAUCUCUCUAUCCCUCUGAUCUAUCUCAUCCUCUUUUUCUCUCCUGCUUUACUACACAUCCUAAGGUAAUUUAUCAUCUCCAAUCUUAAUUUCUUGUUUUCCAAUUAUAACAUCCUAAGACCACCUAAAUUUACUUGUGCUCGACGAGAUUGGGCAAACAUUAAUUUCGUCUUGCAUCGGUUUUGGUAUCAGAUACUAGGAAUCCGGUCAUUAGUUUUUUGUUAGCUUAUAUCAUGGUUUCUAACAAUGAACUUCAAGCUGAAUUUAGAGUCUAUCAAAUCUCUACUAAUACUUAUCUAGACAAUCUAGAGUCCGCCAUAAACAACAUGCAAACUUCUAAUACCAAUCUUGUUAGACAAAUAGAUGAACUUAGAACCCUUCUUUAAAAUCUUACCACCAAUAAACCAUCAAUUUUUGCCCAAUUUUUUGAAGAAUCUUCAAUUCCUAUUCCACCUUUACCUCCAGCCGUACCACCGCUAAUUCAAAGCGUCCCUCAACAUGUCCAAUCCACCAUAGUUACCAUCAAACCUUCAAAUGCCCCUUGUGGAAAUCAAAUAUGAAAUCCUAGAAUUUCAUGGAGAUAUGAAUUCGAAACUUUCCCUAGACUGGGUUUUAUUUACUGUCAAACCUUCAAAUGCCCCUCGUGAAAUCAAAUAUGAAAUCCUAGAGUUUCAUGGAGAUAUGAAUUCGGAACUUUUCCUAGACUGGGUUUAUAGUAUCAAAGCAUAUUUUCGGUGGCACUAGCCUUUCGAAGAACUUUAUCAUAGAAUCUAAAUUAAGAGGGACUACAAUAAGUUGGACCAGAGAGCAGCAACAUCAUUACAUGACGAUCCGAACAUGGGAAGAUAUGAAGUGAACAAUGCUCGACGCUUCAUUCCCUCGGACUACCAACAAUGAGUUCAGUAACAGCUUACCCACCCAAGGUUCCAAACUAUGGGGUACUUUGGCUACUAGUUGAUUGUUUUCCUAGGCUGAUGUGAUUCAAGUGGCCUAUCAAAUUGAAGAGUAGCAACAGUGUCGCCAACCACCACUAUUAACAUUGUCACGCUGCUUCGACUUCUGAACAGAGCAUCGUUUCGUAGCUCCUGAAAACCCGAAGUAGCUCCUGAAAACCUGAAGCCUACAGUAUCGAACAUAUUGACCUCUUUUAAACCAUCUAUUUAGUAAGCCAACAAAGGAAAGCUCAGAAGGCCAAUGCUUUCGAUGUAACAAACCAAGCCAUUAUUCAUAUUGCCUGCGAUGUAAUUUGUCCGUGACCUACGCUCCAGAAAAAGGACUACGCGCCGAACUGAUAUCAGGUGAAGAUGAAAAAGAAACAACAAAUGAUGAGUACGAUGAGGAAGUUGAACAUGCUGCCUUAUUUGACCUAUGCUUACGAUCCAACUCAAAAAGAAGAUAAAGAUUGGAGGUGCAAUACAAUUUUCCUUACACGGGUCAGAUGCAACAACCAAGUAGGUUCCAUGAUUAUUGAUCCCGAAAACUGUACAAAUGUGGCAGUCAACAAAGCCGGUCAAAAGCUAAAAUUGGAGACUUAUCUGCAUUCGGAGCCAUAUAAGCUUGCAUGGGUCAAAACCACUUUGAACGGAGAAAGGUAUUUUGGUUACAUUCAAUGGAGGUUUAACACGAGAGGUCAAUUGGAAUGUUCUUUCAUGAAAAGCUCGUAUUUGUUGGGAAUGUCCCGGCUCUAUUUUUCGUAGAAGUGGCAAGCUAGAUGGUUUAUAAAUAACAUAUAGAUAAAGGUAUUUAAGAUGACAUACUUGCGACCCAAAUCUACUAAUACAGUAAAACUAAAGAAAAUGUGCCAGGCCUACUAUCUCAACGUGCUGCUUUUACCAGUGGUGGAGUUCCAUAACUACGCUAAUCAUACGAGCUGCAAGCCAUAUCUUAGGGAACGACAGAUACACACAGCGGAACAAAAUAUGCAGUAACAAAAUCUAUUAGAAUUUAAAUAUUAUUUUUUUUUCUAAUUUUCAUAAUUUUUGAUUAAUUGUUUAGUUUUAUUUUAAAUAGAUUUUAGGAAUUAUAUGUAAAUAAUCCCUAAAAAUUAGUAUAUGGUUAGAGACAUUUUAGAAAGUGUUUGAUUAGAAAUCCUGCAUAAUUAUAUAUCAAGUUAUUUAUUAUUUUAUGAAUACCUAAUUUUAUCCUGCAUAAAUUAUAUAUCAUAGUUAUUUAUUAUUAUGAGUAAAAUUAAAGUUUUACGCCAUUGCAUUGAUUCUUGUUAAACAAAUAACAGAACUGAAGAAACUUCACUUUCAUAGCUAUGGAAACAAAUGGCGGGGGAGAAGUAAUUUUUAUCUGAACUUUAUUUCAACCCAAACUUCACUUUUGGUGUAACAAACAGGCCCUAAGGAUCACAGACUCUUACGAACCUAUGUCAUAUUGUAAAUAUUCUAUCUUACUUUCGAAGAGCUUCUCUGGUUUUUUAGGACUAUGAGUUGGCAACACAUUAUAAUCAUAAUAUCAUCUAUUCAUCUUAAGUAACUGAAGUUAUAGCUAGAUUUAUUUGCUAGUACUAAGAAGCUCAACCGUUUUUCAACGUCUUUAUGGCUUAUGAAACUGCUUGAGUUUGGAAGCUAUGUAUAUUCAUCUAUUUCUAUUGAAAACCAAACCUGUAUUUUGGAAAAUAAUCAACAUUAAAUAUUAAAUCUUAAUAAGAAAAUGCAUUUUUGUUAACUAUAAUUGGCCAAAAACUUAGUGCAAUAAAACCAACACCCAUAUCCAUGGUUGCUCGUUAGGUACCAUGAACAACAAAUUGGCCUCUUAAAAAUAUUAGAUCUAUUGAUGUCUAAAACUGUUAAACUUGUAUAGGUUUCGGCUUUCACAUUUCUUAAACAGAUUUAGGCCCCACUUGGUACUGAGGGCCGCCUAAUGCUAUUGGGCCAAAAGGAGUUAGGGAAAAAGCAUAUCUCUAUAUGCUUCUCCAUUUUCCAGUGGGACUGCGAAAAUCAUAUAUAUUAAACAAGCUAGUGCCAUUUGGGCGACUUUUUUUCAUAUAAAUAAGCAGAUGAAAUAUUUUCCUAUCACACUUCGGCCCAAACAGAGCCUUGAAGAUUCAACUAACUCAUUGACCCUAAAAUUUUUGUAUUUCUAACUUCGAUAUGGACAUUAACAUUAUAUUACAUGUGAGAAUCAGAAACUGAAUAUGGGAAUUGUCUAUAAGAGCAUUUGCCUAUCAAUUUGGUUUUGUGCUUUCGAAGUGAUGUUGAGAAGGAAUAUGUGUUUUAUUUAUUAUAUUUUAAAUUGACAUCAACUAUUUCAUAAGCAACAUGGUGUGUAAGAUUAAGCAUUUGUUUUUCAAAAUAUUCUUACAUUUGAAGAGUAUAUAUAGUCUUUAAGCAACAUGGUGCUUUUGACCUUUCUAUGAAACAAUUGUAACCUGAUCAUUGUUAAGGCGAAGUAUUGGUUCCUUGACUACAAAAUGGCUGUUGUCUUCCUUAAAGCUGCACUUUGUACUCUCACAACUUUGUUUGUGAACAUUUACGUUAGGCUGCUCACUGUAAGUAUCACUUCAUUUUCAAAUGUAAUGGAACGUAGAAUUGCUAUGCUUUAAGGGGCUGUACAAUGUGAGGAAAAGGAUUUUAGCACAUUGUAAAAUAUUAUGAGUCUCGUCUCAUCUAUGUGCCAUUUUUUUGGUUGAUUUUCUUUGAUGUAAAACGCUCUAUAUGGGGAUGGCAUAAGCAGUUCCAAAUUAUCGUGUAGUUUUGCUAUGCAGGUCAGUGCAGAUGGCUUACUUUGUUGUACAGUCUCUAAUGAUCGAGCUGUGAAGAUAUAUGAUGUUGUCAACUAUGACAUGAUGGUCAUGAUGCGCCUUCCGUUUGUUGCUGGGGCGGUUGAAUGGGUUUAUAGACAAGGGGAUGUCAAAGCCAAGCUUGCGAUUAGUGACCGCAAUUCCUGUUUUGUUCACAUAUAUGAUGCACAUUCUGGUUCAAACGAGCCAAUUACUUCAAGAGAGGUUUCUUGUCCUUAUCUUCGUUUCUGUAUUCUUGAGAAAACAUGGUGUUCUCCCAAGCUUAUGAUCUUAUGCUUCGUGUUUUCUUUUAUGCCUGCAGAUUCACAUGGGUCCAGUAAAAGUUAUGAAGUACAAUCCAGUGUAUGAUGUUGUAAUAUCAGCUGAUGCGAAGGGGAUCCUAGAAUACUGGUCUCCCUUGACACUGAAUUUUCCAGAAAAUAGGUACUGAUCUCUUACCAUCAUUAUGCAUUGUUUUUCCUUGCCUAAUUCGAGUUAUACAUAUAUUCUUGUAUCGAAGUGGUGUUCUUAGAUGUUUUCAUGUUUCUAUAUGAGGAGGUUAGAUAUGCAAGGAGGGACUAAUUUAUAAAGAUCCGCAUCAACAAACAAAUUAUAUAUGACAUUUGAAAAUUAACUACAAAAAUUGUUCAGAACUUCAGAUUAAAUAUUUCUGUUUUAAAACUUUUUUUUUUUAUGCUUAUUAGCCGGCAAAGAUGGAUGGAUUACAUUUUGUUGGAAUAUCUUGUUGUUAGAAUAUAAAGUUUUAAUGGUUAUUUUAUCUGCAUGUAGUCGAAAUGAUGCAGUUCCUUUUCAGUAUAGGGUAAUAAUCUUCUUCUUUUUGAGUAGAUAUUGGGUUCUUUACUGCUGUCUGAUAUUUGUCAUUGUGAACUUCAUGCAGUGUGAAUUUCAAGUUUAAAACAGAUACAAAUCUCUUUGAACUUGUGAAGUGCAAGACCACUGUCUCUUCAAUUGAGGUAAUAUGCUUGACUUCUCUUGUUUCUUGCCUUUGUCAACAUCUUCCUGGUUUUUUUUAUCUGCUGCACACAAAGAAGUUCCUCUAUCGAUGUCUAGUUUUGUUGUUAGUUUAUUGCCGUGAUGCAUUGUCAUUUCCUUAUUUGUGCCAACCAAGGAUUGCUUGUGCCGCCUGUGUUGCAUUAUGUUGAGGCCAUGUUGGCACGCGGCAUAGGGUUAUGCCGAACGGUAUCCAAAACAUGUCCUUUUUAGUAACUUUUUGGGCUAUUUUUGAGUUUUUUUUUUGCGUGAAAAGGUUUUAAAAUGGAUUUUUUUUUUUUUAACUUAAAACAUGUAGAUCUUGUAGCUUUAUUGACUUCUGGAGCAAUUAGUGGUUUCCAUUGCAUAAUUAGAAUGACAAUGCACCAACACCUAUAGAAUUAAGAAAGAGUUCUCAGUCUGUCAAUCCUUAUUAUGUUUGGACCUGGUAAAUCUGUCAACCCUUUUUAUGCUCGGACCAGGUUAGUUUGUCGUGUUGAGUCAAAGUAAGAUGUAGGCUCCACGCUUAGUGCCCUUUCGUUAGUUUUUUUAAGUUCAACCUUGCGACCAUACUCCCUUGGGAAUCCAAAGAAUUUAAUUUUUCAUAAAGAGGCAGAGUCCUAAAAGCAGCAUCUGUCGAUCCCUAUUGGGCAUCGUUUUUGGUUGAGACUGGACGGUAUUUGCUUGUCUUCGAGCCCUCAACUUUCAUUCUCGAUUAAAGAAAAAUAUUCUUGGCAGAUGCUUUUCGCAUCGGUUCGUCUUUCAUAAAUCCAAAUACUUCACCUAUGACUAUAAAAUACAAAUGCCCCCGAUUCUCCCUGUAAAUCAUUAUUCCCAUCCCGAAGGCCAACACAAUAGGACUAGAAUCUUAUGAUGUUAUUCUAUGCUAAUGUAUAUAGAGUGUGGGCUUGCUUUGAGCAAAAACUCAGGAAUAAAAAAGAACACCUAAAAAAUGGCAUGAAAUUUCUAUCAUUUUUUUAUGCAUUAUUGAAAGCAACUCACAUUUAGAAUUGCAUAAGGUGAGGCCACUACAACAAAAUUAGGUUAUAGGGACACAUGUUUGGGACAUUUUUAUGUAAAUGUCCCAUUUAUACCAAAACUUAAAAAAAAACCUUCUAAUGCCUAAAUAUAAAGCCCAAUCCAACAAAAAUAAAAGGUAGUACUACUCAACCCAUCCCACCCAGCCCAUUCGGCCCAAUUACAAACAGAAAAGAAAAAAAAAAAAUCGAUUACCAUCUCCCAUUCUUUUCUCACUCAAUCCACUUAAAUCCUAGACGAAAAGCCCUUCCCUUUCCUCCUCCUCCGUUACUGCAGUCAACGAGGUAGAGUUCCGGCGGUUGCUAAAUACUUAAAUAAGUGUUGGUAAAUUAGCAACACUCUUUUAGCUUAUACCGACACUCUUUAAAUGUCACUAUAUACCUAGCGACUUGACAUAUAGCAAUACUUUUUAAAAGUGUCGGUAAUUUAACUAGCAGCACUUUUUUUACCUGUACCGAAAUUUAAAGGUGUCGCUAUACACCGCUUUUGUUGUAAUUUAACUUUUCAUAUAAAGCGCUCUCUCUCUCUUUCUCGCCCCCUAAUAUUGACUGUCUUAAGAUAAUCUUAUAACCAUAUGUGUUGAUUUCUCACUUAAUUAGGCAACUAAUUGCAUUUAUUAAGAUCUUGUUGGGAACCAUAAAAAAUGGCAUGAAAUUUCUAUCAUUUUCUUUUUUAUGCAUUAUUGAAAACAACUCCCAUGUAGAUUUGCAUAAGAUGAGUUAUACUUAUCAUAUAAAUCUCUCUCUCUCUCUCCCCCCCAAUAUUGACUGUCUCAAGAUAAUAUAUAACCAUAUGUGUUGAUAUCUCACUUAAUUAGGCAACUAAUUGCAUUUAUUAAGAUCUUGUUGGGAACCAUAAAUUUUUUUCUUUUUUGUUUAAUUUGAAAACAAGUUCUAUGUAAUUGAUUGCGUGGGUGGUUUAGACGUCUAUGUACUACUAGCUAUUAUUGAUUCGCUUGUGAUAUGUUCUAGCCAGAUUUAGAUCGAAUACAUCAUCUUCGAAGCAAUAAUAAAGCAAAAGAAUUAGGGUCGUACUCGUAUCCACCGUGCCGUACCGUGCCAACAAGAUACCGGCAUAAUAUAGACCCCGUACUGAUGGCACAGCUCAAAACCCUCUAUUCUUUAAAUUAGUAAGUAAUUUUCUCAAUAAAGUUCAAAAGAUGUGAUAAAAAGACAUAAUAAAUAGUUAGAAUAUUUUGUUGCUAAAGAAAAUAAAUAUUUCAUGCUAUUUUGUGUCGGCACACAAGAAUUUUUUUGACUGGCACGCAUCGGUACGGCUCGGCACGCACCGUGCCGUACCGUGCCGGCAAGUUUCCGGCACGACCCCGUGCCGUGGCACUUAAAUCCUUGGCUUUGAGUACUCUAAUUUCUUCAAGUAAUAGUGCUGGAUGCACGAUCCGAUCAGUUAAGUCGGGAGCGCAUUGCCGGCAGAAGGGGCAAGGCUGUUGGUGCACACUUGAGGGUAGACCGGCGGACUCAUCCCGAGGUUUAACUACAAACUUUUAACUGCAGAAACUAAAAUAAAUGCUACUGGAGUUGGAAUAAUCGUGGUUGUUGGCACUAGACUUGACCUAUAAUGGAUCCUAUAUUGUAUUCAUUCCAAUUACUUAACCCGAAGGGCCAAGUAUUGGUAUUUAUUGUCGCUACCUCCCCGUGUCUAGAUUGGGUAAUUUGCACACUUUCUGCUUUCCUUGAAUAUGGUAACCGUUCUUAGGCUCCCCCUCUAGAAUUGAAUCUUUAUUCUUCAUCACCCGUCACCACCAUGGUCGGCCCCUAUCCUACCAUUAAAAGAUGAUAGGGCAUAAAUUUUAAUGCGUCAUCAGCACGAACGCCAUGCGAUUUAUCAAGUUAUCAUGAAUCAUCGGUUCGUGGGCAAAGCCCACCCUUUAUCUAAUAAAUGCAUCCCUACUGGAAGUCGUGGUUUGUUGCAUGUAUUAACUCUAGAAUUACUACGCUUAUCCGAGUAGCAGGUACUAUUAAACAAACUAUAACUAAUUUAAUGAGCCAUUUGCAGUUUCAUAGUCUAAAUUAAUUCAUAUUACACAUUAUGGCAUAAACUUUGAGACAAGCAUAUGACUGCUGUGAGGAUUAACCGGGUAGCACGUCCUUUGCGAUGCGGGUGCUGUCAAGGCGCCCGACCGCCUGCAGGGAGCGAAGGGGGCCCAUCGGUGGAUCGAUCGUUGUCUCGACGAGGGUGGCUUAAUGACCGACCAAGGUUCGGGCCGAGGGCCGAAGUCCCCGAAGCCUGUCGCAUUUGCGAGAGCUUGCGAUACUUUAGGAGCUCAGCUAGCACGGGGCCCAAGGGUUGUGUCGUUAAGGUGUGCGCAACGACCACAUUGUGGUUGUGCCUCCCGCUCGAGGUGGGGAGGUGAACUAGCACAUAGGGUACGUUGACUUCCUGCAGAGCCGGGUAGAUGGCACACGCAACGCACUGGACUAAAAAGGAUGGCCUAAAGAUACGAAUGAGCACAGGACUAAGAAGGAUGGCCUCUUUAGUGGUUGAUUGCGAGAGGCAAGGAGCCCGCGGGACACACCAAUCCGUGAUUGCUCAUGUGUGGACAUGGUCUUGUCCGUGUCGCCGUCGACACGUCCACCUGUGCCAUGCUAGAUUGGGAGGCCGAGACACGACGAGGCUUUCGGAGGGUCGAUGUGGGACGGUGAUUAUGGAGGUCUGGCAGAGCACGAAACGUUAGAAGGGAAGUUUGGGACUUAGGCAAGGAGAGCACCGCCGCUGGGCAGAGAGCACGGCCCUAGGAGAGUGGGGCGCACUUAUAAGGCCUACAGUGCGCGCGGACGUACUAGCAGUGAAUAUUAUAUUUUUAGUAUAACAAUAUAUAGUUAUUAUGUAUAAAAGAAUCUAGUUGGGAUAUAUAAUUAAUAGUAGGUGAAUAGUGCCUAUUAUAUAAAUAGACUUUUAACCUUGGAUCCAUUCUUGUAAUAGUACCAGGGGUAAUUUCGAGGCAUCCAAGGGCUAAAAAGUCUAUGGUAUGCACUAUUCACAUACUGUUGAUAGUACUCUAGCUGAGUUCAUGUUGAAAUAUAUAUUUUGUGAAAAUAUGGCUAUAUUUCUGAUAGAAGGGCAAAAGAGCACAUCCUCAUGGGUUCUAUUGAGGAAAAUAUAUAGUACACGAGAUAAGUCUACUAUAGUUACAAUGUCUACUAUAAUAAUGAUAUAACUAGGAUUACAUACCAUAUAAACCUAUUCUAUAUACUAUACCAUAUAAUCCUACUAUAUAUACAGUAUCCUAAUAUAGCAUAAGAUACUAAAUAUGUCGUAACAAUUUCUCAUACGAAUGAAAGUUAAUACGAUUCUUGUUGAUAGUUCAUGUAAUUAAGGAAAGCUCUCCACCAUACAAUAACAAUAACAAUCAAUGACAAAAUAUCUAUCGACCCACAAAUAAUAUAACCCUAAUUUAAACUAAUUGUGCUUUUAUGAGACUAAAAGAAUGCAAAUCUAAUUUAAAACAAUAGUUAAUGACAAAUUGUAAGAUAUUAGAUAAAAUUAUUUUUAAGAAAGCAAGUAAAAAAAAUAAUUAGUUGGACUGUAAAAAUUCUAAAUAAAAAAUAAAAAAUUUCAAAAUCCUAUCUAAAUUGUGAGAGGAGUGGGGUUUACCUUUAGAAGAUAAACUCCAAGCUAUCUAAAGACGGUCUAAGAGAGAGGGGGUUAGUACCUCUUGGAAAGUAAAUAUCCUAAAUGAAAAAUUAAAAAUUUCAAAAUUCUAUUUGAAAUUGUGAGAAGAGAGAGGGAGGGGGGAGGACCUUUAGAAGAUAUAAACCCUAAACUAUCUAAAGACUCAGUGAGCUAGCGGGUGUGUGCAAGAGAGAGAGAGUAAAAAAAAUUUAUAAAUUUCAAAAUCCUAUUGUUAAGGUGAAAACCAAACUUUCUAAAGACGAAUAGAGAGUGCGGCGAGGGGUCCAUUUAGAAGAUAAAUCGCGAAGUAUCUACAGACUCAGACAGUGAGCUAACGAGCAAGAGAGAGAGAGAGAUAGAGAGAGGAUCUCUUGGAGCAUGGAGAAUGGAGAAUCAGAGAUAGAUGAGAGGAGGGUAGUUGGGUAGGUGAUUAUUUUUAAAUUUUUUCCGUUAUUUGUUUUUACUCUUUUUCUUUAAUGGAUCCUUUCAUUUGUUUUUAAAGGAACACGCCAUAGACANGAUCUCUUGGAGCAUGGAGAAUGGAGAAUCAGAGAUAGAUGAGAGGAGGGUAGUUGGGUAGGUGAUUAUUUUUAAAUUUUUUCCGUUAUUUGUUUUUACUCUUUUUCUUUAAUGGAUCCUUUCAUUUGUUUUUAAAGGAACACGCCAUAGACAUGUGUUGUGCCCGAUGCGGACACGGGGGGUGUCCCCCGCAUCCGUGACACUUAGCUUCCUGUAAAUUUUUAUCCAAGUGCGACUUUAAUUUCAUUGUCAUGAAUGUACUUUAAGACGGUAAAUUGACAUUCUCGAGUUAUUAAGAUAUCUAUGAUUCUAUUCUUAGUAUACUGAACUUUAUAAAAUAUUAACACUUGGACUAUUCUCGGCAAGGUUUUAAGUGCCCGUGUCGUGCCGUACCGUGCCAACAAGAUACCGGCACGAUACAGACUCCGUACCGAUGGCACAACUCAAAACCCUCUAUUCUUUAAAUUAGUAAGUAAUUUCCUCAAUAAAGUUCAAAAGAUGUGAGAAAAAGAUAUAAUAAAUAGUUAGAAUAUUUUGUUGCUAAAGAAAAUAAAUAUUUCAUGCUAUUAUGUGUCGGCAUAUAAGAAUUUUUUUGACCGGCACGCAUCGGCAUGGCACGGCUCGGCACGCACCGUGCCGUACCGUGCCGGCAAGUUUCCAGCACGACCACGUGCCACGGCACUUAAAUCCUUGAUUCUCGGUGUACUAAACUUUGUAAAAUAUUAAUACUUGAACUAAUCCUAAAGGUAUCAGAGGCAUUAUAGCACUCUAAGAUACUAUUUUUUCCAUGUAAUACUGAUAAAAAAAGCCUGUGCAAUUGUGUAAGUUGCUUGCCUCUGGCACAUAGCUCUGUGCCAACAUUGGCACAAAUAGUGCUGUUGUGCCUUGUCGUGCCAAUGGCAUUUCUUGUGCCACUGGCACGCAGUUCUUGGUACCAACAAAUACUUGAUAUGCGCACUAUCGUGCAAGUUAUUUUGUUAUCAUUUUCUUGGCCACUCAUGAAAGUUCCACCCCCCCCCCCUCAAAUUUGGUGCAUUUUGUUAGUAAGUAGAUUUUGUAAGAUUAUAUGACUGUUGGAAUAAUAAAUUUAGUUGUCUUGCUACCUUCCCCUUUAUUAUUUGCCCUCCUCUCUCUCUCUCUCUCUCUCUCUCUCUCUCGUGCACGUGUGCGCUCUACCUAUAUACUAUAUAUCUAUCUACCUAUGGCCUUUAAUUUUAUCUUUCGUUUUGUUUACCCACAUUACCUAACAUCUUGUGCGUAUUUUUCCAUUGUAUACAUACAUGGUGUGAUGGAGUGUGAUGGACUCUUUGUUGUUCAGGUGAGUAACGACGGCCGUCAAUUUGCUGUAACUUCUCCCGAUCGCCGGAUUCGCGUAUUUUGGUUUAAAACUGGUAAACUAAGGCGUGUAUACGACGAGUCUCUUGAGGUAAAUUAGAAAAGAAAAUCUGAGAGAAAGCUCUCUUUUCUAUAAUAAUUGAAAUUCAGAUAUUUGUAACUUGACUUUAUUGCCGAUAGGUGGCCCAAGAUCUACAAAGAAGUGAUGUUCCUUUAUACCGUCUUGAAGCAAUUGAUUUUGGACGAAGGAUGGCUGUUGAGAAGGAAAUAGAAAAAACAGAACAUGCUCCACAACCAAAUGCUGUUUUCGAUGAGAGUUGCAACUUUCUUAUUUAUGCUACCCUUUUGGGCAUUAAAGUAAGCAGAAUCUGCUAUUAAUCAACAGCUAUAUUGUAUUACCAUACUUCCUGCAAACUUGGUGCUGCUUUCUUGGUACAAGAGUAGAUAUCUAUGCGAUGGACAGUUUCCUAAUGAUAACUUUCCACUCUUUUUUUCCCCUUUUUUUGUUUAUUUUCUAUUUUUUUAUUUUACCCGUGUAGGUUGCAUUAUCUAUUAAUUCAUAAUAAUUUUUUUGUUAACUCUCUGUUUUAUUUCUGCAGAUUGUGAAUUUGCAUACAAAUAAGGUUGCUCGAAUUCUAGGGAAAGUGGAAAACAAUGAUAGGUUUUUAAGAAUUGCCUUGUCCCAAGGUGAUAAAAGUAAUAAGAAGGUCAGANACAGUUUCCUAAUGAUAACUUUCCACUCUUUUUUUCCCCUUUUUUUGUUUAUUUUCUAUUUUUUUAUUUAUUUUAUUUUUUUAUUUUACCUGUGUAGGUUGCAUUAUCUAUUAAUUCAUAAUAUUUUUUUUGUUAACUCUCUGUUUUAUUUCUGCAGAUUGUGAAUUUGCAUACAAAUAAGGUUGCUCGAAUUCUAGGGAAAGUGGAAAACAAUGAUAGGUUUUUAAGAAUUGCCUUGUCCCAAGGUGAUAAAAGUAAUAAGAAGGUCAGAAAGAUCCCCACAGCAGCUGCCAAUGUCAAUGAGAGCAAAGAGCCUUUAACGGAUCCUACGCUUCUAUGUUGUGCUUUUAAGAAACAUCGGAUCUAUUUAUUCAGGUAUGAACUUAAACAUCUGUAAUGAUAUGUAAUAAGUCUAUUGAUGCUUCCAUUGUUAUAACUUCAACAUCUCUAAUGAUAUGUUUAAUUGUUUAUCUGAUGCUACCACAUAACAAUUCAUCAUGAGUAGUAUCUACUUUCAGUUCCUUGAUAUAUCAAAUUCAGUACACUGGUAUUUGGAAGUUUUUGCUGAAUAAGAAAUGAGUGUGGUCCUUCAAUGCAUGAAGUGUUUAUUAAUUUCAAGAAAGGUGACACUGCACUCAAUUGUCCGGGAUAUAUGUGAAGAUUAUUGUGACACACUUUUAUAAUUAUGGUAUUAGUUCUUACUAUUCUGGCUUUUUGCAAAACAGCCGGAGAGAGCCCGAGGAGCCUGAAGAUGCAACCAAGGGUAGAGAUGUCUUCAAUGAAAAGCCACCUCCUGAGGAGCUUUUGGCAGUAUCUGAAUUAGGGAAAGCAAUCACGACAUCACUUCCUGAUAGUGUGGUAACUUAAAUGCCUUUUGGUAACAUUUGUGCCAAUCUGUCAUCUGUGCUUACACCUAGUUUUGGGGACAUGAAACAUUUGAAAUAUGGAAACAGCUUGUCAUUUUCGAUGUCUUUGAUAACUUAUUAUUUUGAAUUUAUCAGGUGCUGCACACAUCUCUGGGUGAUAUUCACCUGAGACUAUACCCAGAAGAGUGCCCAAAAACUGUGGAGAACUUCACAACUCAUUGUAGGAAUGGUUAUUAUGAUAAUCUAAUCUUUCACCGAGUCAUCAAAGGGUUCAUGAUUCAGACAGGGGAUCCUUUGGGAGAUGGUACUGGUGGACAGUCUAUAUGGGGAAGGGAAUUUGAAGAUGAGUUCCAUAAAAGGUAAAAUCCUAGAUCUUGUUUGUAUGCACCACAUAGGGAUGCAAAUGGAUCCGGGUUGCUGGAGAUCCCACCUCAAUCUCCGAAUGGGGCAGUAAGAGGGAGCCAAAAACAAGAAAAAAGGGAAAAAAAAAAUACAUGCCCUGAUCUGCUAAGAAAUGGAGCGGAAGACAGGAGAUCCCUUCUUUCCUUCGACCCUCCCCGAUCUGCCAAAAAUUCUCUUCCGCCCCGCCCCGCCCCUCCCCGCUUCAAAUGGAACGGCAAGUAGGGGCAAAAAAUAGGAUCAGACCCAACCCAUCCCGGAUCUCUUCCAACCCACCAAGAAAACGGGACGGGAGGUGGGGGGUCCCUCCUGCCUCCGGAUCCGUACUGUUUACAUCCCUAGCACCACAUGAAUGCGUUGUGUACGGACAUGCAUUUAUUUUUAUGCAAAGUAAAAUUGUAUGUAAAUUAAACUAUAGUAAUUAAUUUAGUUUAUAUGUACCACAGGUAGAAUCUCGGUCAAUAUAAUAACAUAUAUUUUAUCAUAACAAACAAUCAUUAGAUGCCCAAUGCCAAAUCAGUUUAUGACUAGAUUUUCUUUUUUUAAUCAUAUUUCGACAAAUAGGAUAUGCCAUGUUUAGUGUUUAAAAGGCAAAUAGAUGGUUAUUCUUAAUAAGGAGAUUAGGGAUUUCUCUAUAAACAAAACUGCAGGCAGAAGAGCAAACUUAUAGAAAAGAAAUCAUUACAUAUUUUAGAGAAAUCAGUACCUUUAUCUUUUCUACAAAUGAAUCACUGUGUUGAAUGGGAGAAUCUAGAAUGGUUGCAUAUUUUCUAAUGGCUUGGUAAUUCUUGACUCUGGUAGAUGCUCUUCCAGGUAGUUUUCUCCAGUCAUUGAAGGUGUAUUUGCAAAUAAUUAAUCAGUAAUCCAAUUAAUUUGUCUUCUCACUAAUGUUAUUAACUGAGUUGGCUCCAUAAUUUUUCAGUUUUUAAUAACUAUAAAACUAUCCACAAAAAAAAGCACUAUCUUAUUAAUGUGCAAUGUUUAUACUAGCUUUUGAUAAGUUCUCUUGUUCAAAUUGCUUUGGAUAAUGUGUUUUAUCUGACAUUAAAUGACCUUUCUGUGAAAGGUUUCUUUGUCAAAGAAUUAAAAAGAAGAUGCAUAAACAAAGUUAGGAUUCACAUGGAAUCACAUUUGUCCAUGUGCUUUAUAUGGUUUUUGGCUGCAUGUGGUUUCUAUACUACCUUUAUGUGUUCAUAGCAAUAGCAUUUUGUUGAGAGUGAUGACCUGUAGCUAUGCUCGACUAGUAUUGUGCAACUCUGCUCACAGAAAACUUACUAAAACCUGCAGCUUAAGGCAUGACAGACCAUUUACAUUGUCAAUGGCAAAUGCUGGACCUAAUACAAAUGGUUCUCAAUUCUUUAUCACCACUGUGGCGACUCCUUGGCUGGAUAAUAAACACACUGUUUUUGGUAGAGUUGUGAAAGGAAUGGAUGUUGUUCAGGUGAUUUUGAGAACUUUUGUUUUAUUUUCUGAUUUUUUUUCACUAAAAUGAACAUUUUAUUUUCUUAUUUCUCUUUCUGUUUGAUGGAAUUUUCUGAAUUUUUAAUUCUGACAUUAUUUGUGCACUAUAGGCAAUAGAGAAGGUAAAGACGGACAGGAAUGAUAAACCCUAUCAGGAUGUAAAGAUCCUGAAUGUUACAGUUCCCAAGUCCUGAAGCCUUUUCACGGAAGGUGCUGCUUCACUUGCAUUUCUUUUUUCUUUUUUUCUUUCUAAGAAUACUCAGGUACAUUUAAAUGUCAGAAUGUAAAUUGUUUAGCUUAAAUUUUACCUAUGUUAUAUGAUGAGCUAUUACAAGUGUUUGAUAUUUUAGUUAGUUGUGUUAUAAUGAUGACCUGGAACUCAGAAUGGCAUUAUGCAAGCUACGAAAAUGAGAAUUAAACAUCAAAGCUGCCUCAUUUUUUGGAUCUCUUAAUUUUAUUCUCUCAGGAGCAAAUUUGACUUGCUGAGCUGUUUAGGCAUGCCGAGGUGCUAUUUUCUUAUUUCUUAUUUUUUGUGUUUUUGGGUGCAGGGGCUACUUAUUCCAGUACUUUGCUUUACCAUGUCUCCGAGGUGUUAAUACUAGGCUGACGUUUUAUCAGUUGACCCUCUAUAUAGUUUCUCUGUAGCGCUUUGUCUUGUAAAUGCAUACACGUAUGAUUAUGGAACUCUAUUCCCUGUAUCAAUGGCUGAGUAGUCUUUUGGCAAUUUAGGGCAUUUCUUUAGCAUGGACACUUUCUGUAGCAUGCAGUGGGCCAAAUGACAACUUCUGUUGUAGGGGUAAAGUUGCAGUUCACUGCAUCUGUAACAACUCGAUUGAUGGAAUGGAGAUGGGGAUCGCUGAUGUUAACUUGUGCAUGGAAAAUCUGGGCACUUUGUUGAUGGACGAGAAAGGUUAUUGUGCUUAUAAUAGAGCAAAAUGCUUAAGCUAAUAUGAUCUGCAUCAAUAUUGCAAUGAAGAUGCUGGAUCAUUGCAGCUUUAUUUCCUUCGUAGUACCACUACACGUUGGACCGUCAUCAGUGUUUUUUUUUUUUUUUUCAAAAGGCGGAUUGUUUUCUUCUCUUUGUUUUGCCGUUGUAAUCUGCUAACAAUUAAUAAUAACUGUUAUAUGAUUGUACACUAAUUAGAAUUAGCAAUUACAGUUGAUUUAUAUUACUUUGUUAUUUGGUUUUGGUGAUGUUGAUCAGUUUUCGCUCUGGACUGCGGUGGGGUUGCGGUAGUUCUAGAUCUUUCUGCUCUCGGAAUUCUCUUGCUACAGGCUGCAGAAAAUUGACCGGAUGAAGAGUAAGAAAAUUCAAGGAUUAGAUGAAGUUGGAGGAGAAAACCCAACGAAAGAGGAGGGAGCUCACCUCUCUCUCUCUUACUACAGCCAUAAUGGGCCAAAAGAGAGGUGAAGUGGUAUUUUACUUAUGGUAACAAUAUCCCCAAAGGUUCCGAAACCUUAGAAAUUAUAAUUCGUGCGAAAUAGUUCUGUGUCAUUGAGUACAGGACGCGAACUAGAGUGUACACAACUCAAGUGUUCCGGUACCCAAAUUCAGUCCCACAAAAUCCGAACGCUGGAUUGUUCAGACUUCUAUUGAGUUCCGAUACCACGUGUAUCUGUAUCGGUACAAGUCGUAUUAGUAUCGGUACCGGUCGAGUUUCGCAAAAUCCAAAAGUUGUCCAAACAAAUACGCAACAGAGUUUCAGUACCCAAGCUCGGUAUUGGUACGUAAUUGUCAAAAUUGCAACUUUUGUAGAUUUUGACUUCCGGAGUCUGUUUUCACACUACUUAAGCUUUGAAAAUGCUCUCAAUCUUGCUAAACUCAGACCAAACUCUCAGAAUAGUAUAGAAUGCUAUUCCUUUCACUAGAAUUUCGCAAUUUACUGAAGUUCAGUGUGCUACAUCCUCCCCUCCUAAAAGGAGUUGUUUAGUCAAAAAAUUAGAAGUCAAGCACCUCAAACAUCGAUUUGAAAAAGAUGGGUAUAAUGUUCCCACGACGUACUUUCCAGCUUCCAAGUGGCUUCGCGCUCCUUGUGGUUAUUGGAAAGCACUUUCAUGUAAGGGAUAUCACAAUUCUGAAGUUUAUUCACCUCGCUAGCUAAGAUCGGGGUGCUCCUCAAAACUCAGAUCUUUUUGUAGCUCCAAUGGUAUGAAGUCCACUACUUGAGUUGAGUCAAAAACAUACUUCGGGAGCAUUGAAACAUGAAACACAUUGUAAUAUUCCAAACUUCUACAAUCAUGAAGUUUUGGUGGGAAUUAGCUUAAAAAGCUAGUAAAAUAGUUCCGGCGAAGUUUGGAGAGUAUUCGAGUGUUUUCGGCGCAAAUCGGGUGUGAAAAUGGGCUCCAAAGGCUGAAAUCUGUCAAAGUGGCAAAUUUUCUAUUCAGUACCGGUACUUGAAUCUGUGUACCGGUACGCAAUACAAAAUGAGAAAAAUGAGCUCUUGGGUUUUGAGGAAUCAAAUCUGAGUAUCGGUACUGAGUUUUUAUUGGGUACUGGUACUGAAAACUGAGUACCGGUACGCAGUAGAAAAUUGAGAAUCCAACGUUUGGGUUUUGAGGUACUGGAAAUUGGGUACCGGAACUGGAUGCCCGAGCACCGGUAUGCGAACCCGAGUACCGGUCCUCAGCUCUGCAGAAUGCUGAUUUUGAGGAGUGUUUUCGUAAUUUCAUGUGGGGGCUUAUAUAAAAGGGUGCCCUUCCCCUUUUCUUUGCAAAACACAUACACACGCACAGUGAGAGGGAGAGAGGAGCUCAUCUCUCUCACUCUCUUCUUCUCCUUCUCCAAUUUAGAGAUCUUGGUGGAGAUCGAACUCGGGAAGCUCGGAGAAGCGGUGAAUCGAGCUCUCGGGCGCUUGGUGGCUCGGAGUGCUUUCGACUCGAGGUGAGUUUUGGGGUUUUAAGCUAGGGUUUUGGGUUUAAACCUUCUAAAUAAAUUUCUAUCAAACCCUAUGCUAAUUUAGGCUACAAAUUGUAGAGAUUAGCAAAUGAAAUUGGGUUUUACCAUGAAGUUUGGUAAACCCUAGGUUGAAAGAGGGAUUUGCUUGUGGAGGGUUCUAAAAAUGUUUUAACCCUUUAAAACCCUAAUUGAGGGUUAGAAAAUCAUGUGGGGCAACUUGAUUUCAAAAGAAAAAAUCAUUUAGCAGGUCGAAAAUGGUAACGAAUGGGUCUCCUGUAUAGGGCAAGGAAAGCUUGGGAGCAAGCUUGGAGAUUCAAGAGGUUGGCCUAAGUGUCUACAAGCAAUUAGGAAGCUUUGUGAGAUGGCUUGUGCUUCACCGAAGUGACUAGAUAGCUUCCAUAUCAAAAGAGUAAAAUAUGGUAUUAUUGUUGAUGCAUGUACAUAAUGGUAGGUUAUAUGCUGUAAAUAUGAAUGCUUAAAUCAUAUGUUGUUAGAUGAUGUUACCUACCAUUGGAUGAUGAUAUAGGCAUAUGAGGUUCAUAUAUAUAUAUAUAUAUAUAUAUAUAUAGAAUAGGCUGGGAAUACUAUUAAUAGCACAAUGACUUGUGCUAUUAAGUCUUCCGCCCUUGGAUUAAAAGAUGUUCGGUUAGGAUGAUGUGGCCGCCCUAGGCUGAGUGGGGUGUUGGUUGAAUAGUAUAAUCUAACGAGGUAAAAAUAAUCAAAAGGGUUAAUCUAACGGCAGAAAACUUGAUAGCACCAAGUGCUUGCGUGCUAUCGAUAGUAUAGCAGUCGCGACUCUCUCUCUCUCUCUCUCUCUCUCUUCUCUCUCUCUCUCUCUCUCUAUAUAUAUUAUAUAUAUAUAUAUAUGCCUAGUGUGGAUAAUAAUAUAGGUCGAUUAACUCUAGGAGAGAUUAGAGAACUCGACAAGUGUGAAAUCAAGGACUUAAAUGUCAUGGAAUUAUGAAUCCUAGGUGUGGACAACUAGGAUAAAGAAAGAACAUGAUUGGGUAUUGAAUCCAGUUUCAUUGAACUUAGGUUGGAAAAAUAUAGUGGUAGGAAGACUACUUGGAUUGGAAUGUCAAUGAACCUAGUGUCAUUGAACGUAGGUUAGACAUAUGAACAUAAACCUAGAGAGGUUGACAAUUUAGGGUAAAUGUUGAACCCUUGAGACUUGGAAAGUGGAUUCCAGAAAUCCCAGGACUUGUGACCGUCGAAGUUCUUGGUCGUGGGUGCAUGCGGCGGCAUGUUCCUCUCUCCCACCGCAAGAACCUCGAGGGUUGUGACUGUGGAAGAUUCUUGGCCACGGGUGCAUGUGGCAUAUUCCUUUCCCACCGGAAGAAUCUUCGUGCGCUGGGGUGUAUGUGGCAUGUUCCUCUUCCACUAGGGGAUCCCUGACCGCGGGUAUACGCAGCUUUUUUGCCGCCCGUCGGGCGCCUUGGUGUGUUGAUUGAAGGCUGAGGUUCAUGGCAUGUCCCUCUCCUCAGGAGGCUUGGAUGUGAGCGGUAGUCCGCUGAUGAUUGACUCAAGACCGAGUCGAAUGGCAUAGCUUGGCUAAGGUAAAAAAACCUUAGGAGUGGAUUGGAUUAUGCAAUGAUAGUGAAAUAGAAAGUAGAAAUGAUAGAUCUACUUGUAUGGAUUUCAUAUUGCAUUUAGUUGAGGCAUAAGCAUGAUGUUUGUUAGUUGUUUACAGUUAUAUGUUGUAUAUAUUGGACUAACUUGCUUAUGUUGCCUCCUUUGGACUUGAUGGGUCGAGCUCUUUCCCUGGGUGGUCGUAUCUACUGGGAACUAUGUUUAUAGUUCUCACCCCCAUAUUUUUCAGGUCCACACGUGAGCGGCGCGGCGGCGCGUGGAAAGGGCAUAGCUCAAUAGAUGACGCCCUAUCACUUGAGACCAGAGAUAGAUUUACCCUGAGUCAAGAUAGCUUAGGGUAUAGAAAGAAAGAAAGAAAGAAACAAAGUAUAAUAAAGUUGAUUGUAUUUGGAAGAAAAGAAUGCCAAUGUAAUGUGAUGAAUGCUUGUAAUAGCUUAGUAUUUAUAUUUAUGAUGCCUUUCUUAUGCAAUAUGUGUAUGAAUUCUGUUCCUGUUUGAAACUACUUGAAUUGUACCGAUUGUGAUGCCUAGGGCGGACAGGAAAAACUCUGUCCGUUCGGCGGUCUGUCAGCGCGCCAAAUCCGACCAAAGUGGCGGUUCUUGGGGCAUGACAGAUAGGGUGAUAUCAGAGCAUAGAAAUAGUUUAGAUGGACCUAGGAGACCCUAAAAUAGUUUACCAUAAGGACUUAGGCUUGUGAGAGACGAGAACUUGUGACUUGCGGCGAAAGGUGAAUUGAUUGGGUCGUGUGUACAUGCCUCUAAAAAGGAUGUUAGAGAUAGAUUCAAGGUAUAGUUUAUUCUCAACCGAGUGUGUUCAUAUUGGGCGCGCACAACAUGAAACCUAGUUAUGAGAAUAGGCUCCCUUGCGUGACUUUCGCCUGAUUUGAGUCUGUGUCUGAAUUAGUCUUGUACUGGACCUAGAAGGUUGAGGAUUGACCGAGUUGUCAUGUUUCAGGGAAUAAUGGCACCGCGUAGGCGAUCUUUAUUAAGAUCGGUGCGAGAUGGGCCAAGUGGAGUCCUUGAGUAAUCUGGAGCGAGUGGAGACUCGAAGCUCCAUGAACAGUUGGCCUCACUUGUUGGGGUGAUGAGGCAACAAGCUGAUGUGGUGUAGCGACAGCAGGAGGCUGCGCUACGCCGGGAGUAGAUUAAGAGACUCCAAGAGACUGUGAAGCAAUUGGUAACUGCACCAGUUGCGGCCCAUCAUGUGCAACUGGGAGUUGCGGCGGAGACCAUUCUGUCUGGGUCGAGCAAUCCGGCCCGUGGCUAUGCGAAAAUGCAAGCGGAGAGCGAGCGAGCUUUGAUAGCCCUCAUGACCUUCAAGAGUUUCAAUCCGCCUACCUUCGACGGAGAGACCAUGGAUCUGUGGGUUGUGGAGAUGUGGAUCGACUCCAUGGAAACCCUGUUUGAGGACUUGUACACCUUGGACCGAGACAAAGUACACCUAGCUGCACAUUGUUUGGAAAAGUCAACAAAGGUAUGGUGGAAAGGUGUCAAAUGAAAUCGAUCACCCAGUCUCCCUCCUGUGACUUGGGAAGAGUUUCGGGGAUUAGUGUUUUCAGCCUAUUUCCUCGACAAUGAGAAGAGAAAGCUCUAAGAGAGGUUUCGAAAAUUGAGAUAAGGUAAUUGUCCGGUAAGGGAAUAUGAAAGGGAAUUCUCUCGCCGUCACACCCCAAUCCCCGCCAAUUUGGUCUGGUUCGGGUCACGUCAACAGAUGCCGAACGGACAGAGCCUCCCCUGCCCGCCCAAGGCUCUAACGACAUGUAUAAAUAGGCAAUCAACAAGAGAUUUGCAUAUAUAAUACAAGGCUUGCACGAGGGCAAGCAACAACGAAAGCGAAAGCUCUAAACUAAUUAAGCAACAUACAUGAUAUUUGAUUACAUUUAAACCAAAUUCAAGUAAAGCUAUUACAUUUUUCCAUCAUAUCUUUUUACAUUUAGUCAUCCACCAAAUACAUGAUUGUUUACACUUUGCAUCUCUAAAUCAACAAAAUAAAGUUGAUACAUGUAUAUCAAAAAGGAAUGACUACAAAAUGUAAAGUCCCGGUGGCCGCUACCUACGGCGUCAAACCCUUGCCUUGGUCUUCCGUCGCCCCGCUCGUGCUAGGACCUGUAGGGUUAGUGGUGUGAUAACUAAACAAAGUUCCCAAUGGGCUCGGCAUCCGACCUCGCUACUUACCCACUAGGUCUAUCCAGGCAUAAGUAUUACAAAGGAAAGAGAAGUAACCAAUACUAAUGCAUCUAAUACCCUGCCUGCAGAAGAAUGUCAGUGGAUACAUAUACUCGAUGCAAUAAUAGAAAUGCAUGCAUGCUCAAAUCACAAAGAAGCUUUGGCUCUUACCCAAUUUUACCGGUUAACCUUGUUAACCCCAAUAACUCACCACCCAAAAUCCCUUAAUAGCGGGGGACUCGAACCUCCCUAGGGACCGUCAUCUGGGGGGACUUUACCACGCCCAGUGGUGACCAACUCCGGAGCGCACCGCUCAAGGGGGGGAGCGACCUCCCUCAAGCCAAGACGAAAUGUGAGUAUCGAUCCAAUCCUCAACUUGAGGAUUCAUAGCCACUAGUAACAAUGCCAAUGUCAUGAUAGGUCUCUCUACCUAUUCAUUCUUGCCACUUUCAAGGCUAUACCUAUAAUGAUGCCAUAAUUGGUUAAACUAUGUUUAACGGUUCAUCACUCAAUGCCAAUCUUGUUUCUAUGUCAAUGUCACCCUUGUUUUCUAUUGUCCAAGUCCAAUCUCACAUUCACACAACUUGAGGGUCCAAUCACACAUGUCCAUUUUGGUUCUAUCAUCCUCUAUGUUCAACUACGUUAGAAACAUAUAAAUGAAGUCAAACCAAGUUCCAUAUGUAUCUACCCUACUAUGCAUGAAUAGGUAUAUAUGUAUAUGCUCAAGAAUAGAGAAAAUAGACAUAGAAGGGAAUCCAACGAUUCCGGCGUGCACCCUCCACCUCUAUUGGUCGUGUGGGUGUAGAAUAUGAAGGCUCCCGCACUUUACGAAAGCCGAUUCCGCGCCCUAUAAUCAAAAUAGUGCCAUAUUAGGCCCCUUUGUACACGAACUAUACUCUAACAUUUUCGCAACAUUAAACGGAGUUGUCCAACGUGUUUAGGGCACCCCCAAUUAGGUUUCUAUGAGGUCAAUUUGUCCCCGAAAAAUCCUAGGGCAAAAGCCCUAAUUUUCAAGCCUUAAUAUUGUCAUUUAGGGUUUUCCCAUGAAUCGAUCCCAACCCUAAGUAAACAAUAGCUUAUGAUCAUCUAAGAAGCACUCUAGUAAGGUUUCUAGACCUUUGGAACCAACCCUAGAGCUUCUAUGGUGAACCCUAACCAUCCACCAUGAGAGCACUUGAGCUCUCAUUGAUUCCAUGGAGUUUAAGGCCUAUAGAAGGCACCCAAGGCCAAGAACAACUCAAAGCUCCAAAACUUAGGGAUCAAAACCAAGCCCUAGACUCAUUUCUACCAAAAACUCACCUUAGCCCUAGCUCCUCCAAGUCCUUCUUGUAGGAGAGCUUGUAGAACCUACCAAAGCCUCCAAAUCCUCCUUCCCUUCACUUUUUCUUCUUCUUCUCCAAGCUUUAGAGCUAGGAUUCUAGAGAGAGAAAGAGUGGAAAUGAGAGGGGAGGGUGAAAAUGGCUGUGGGAGAGAGAGGGGUGACCAUAUAAGGUGUUGUAAUAAUUGCACUUAAGCCCCUCCAUUUGUUUCCCCUGAUCUGCCUAGACUGGGCAUUUUUCGCCUUCGGGGAUCGGUCUCCCCGACCAGGGACCGGUUCCCGAACGGGGGUUUUCCAGGACUUAACCAAAUUUUUGAGUUUUUCAGCUGUUGCGCAGCGAGGGACCGGUCUCCCGAGGACCGGUCUCACCACCAGGGACCGGAUGCCUCAGGAUUUCUUGGCAGGCUACGCGCACGGGGACCGGUCUCUCCUUCAGGGACCAGUCCCCGAGAGAUCAAAAUCUGGGACUUAGCCAGAUUUUCAGAUUUGCUCUCCGGGUCCCUUUUUGCUCUGUUUAUGAACUCUAAUGCACUUAGGGUCCAUUCUAACUCGUUCAAUUCCGCGUUCCGCUCGUUUUGACGGAACUCGGUACGAUUUACGAGGGAUGUGGUAUGUUACAUUAUCCACCCCUAAAAUUUAGUUUCGUCCGCGAAACUACUAAGAUUGGAAUUUAAAUUUCUUACCUCACUUCGGAUCCUCGAAGAGGUGAGGAUAACGCUCCCUCAUUUCGCUUUCGAGCUCCCACGUUUCUUCCCGGUCAUCGUGUUCGCACCAAUGAACUUUAACAUACGGGAUUUCGCGGUUCCGAAGCUUUCGCACCUCCCGAUCGGUAACAUGCGCCGGGAAUUCUUGAUAUGUCAUAUCCUCUUGAAGCUCCAUCGGUAUAUACGAGAGAAUAUGAUCUGGAUCGUACACAUACUUGAGGAGUUGGGAUACAUGGAAUACAUCAUGUACUCCCGCGAGUCUCGGUGGUAAUGCCAACUUGUAGGCCACCGUACCAACUCGUUUCAAAAUCUCAAAGGGUCCGAUAUUGUAAGGUACCAGACUUCUAAAACUAUGAAGUUACGGUGUAUAUUUAAAUGGUUCUGGUGAGGUUACGGUGGAAUGUAACAUACCGGAUUUUAAAUAUAAAAGUGAAAAUAAAUAAAAUAGUAUGAGAUACUAUUUUAUGAAAUUUAGAGAGGUGAAAUAUAGGUUGGGAAUGACCUGUACUGAAAUCGGAGCGAAAAUAGAAGAUUUAGAAUUUUCUGUGAGAGACGAGGCAGAUAAAUUAGCAGAAAAUGCACAGUCUCAGAAAAUUAUGAGAAUUGGCGGGGAUGUCAGAAAUAUUUUAAUGAGGCUAGAUAUAAAGUUUCGUAUUUUUCUGACACCCGUAGAUUGAGAAAUAAAAUCCGACAGCUAUCUGAUAAAGAUUACAAUUCGGUACAGUUUUCGGUGACCAAAUGGGGUCGAAACUGAAAACUUAAGAUAUAUUCUUGUUCAGUACGUUAAACCGAACAUGACUGUCAAAUUUGAACUCAAACGGAUACUCUGGGAGCUCCGGCGAAAGAUAUCAGAUUUUAAGUUGCCUGGAGUGAAUAGUGUUGGUGUUGACUUUAAUUAGAAGCAUCAGCUUCUUCUCCUUCAACCGACCACCGCCUCCAUGGCCACACACACGCACGCAUGAAAGGGGGAGAGAAACCCUCCUUUCUCUCUCUAAAUAUCUCUCUCAUCUCUCUAUAUCUCUCUUUAAAAAUUGGAGGGUUGGUGGAGAUCGAGCUUGCGAACGCGUUGGAGGCGACGAAUUGAGCUUUCGUACGCCCGUUGGAGCGGCGUGUUUUCGUUGCGGCGUUCACAUUGGGGUAAGCUUUUGAAAUUUGGCUUAAUCCUUAGUUUUAAGUGUUCUAUUAGCCUCUAAUGAGCUUUGUUGGCAUGUUGAUCCAUUUAAUUUGGAUUAUUUGGAGGUUAAUUGUACGUUAGGGCUCCGAAUGGGGUUUUGUAAAAUAUAAGGGUUUGAUCUAAUUUGACCCUCCGUAAACCUAAUUGCUAGGUAAACGAACGCGUUGGAGAAGUCGGUUCGGCGAUUCGUCGAGCCUACGCGAAAUUAUUAAAGAAACGGAUGUUUAGGCUCGUUUCCGCCUGGAGAGCCGAGGCGACGUCGUAAAAUCAUAAAAACGGAUUUGAAGCACCGUGGCACAUAACCGAAGACCUUUAAUUUCCGGAUCGCAAAUCGGAGAUCGUUUGGGUGGUCGCGCGAGAGUUCGAGCCAAACCGGGUCGCGGGUGUCGCGGGCGGCCGAUUGCAAGUGACUACAAGCAAUUGGAGAGUAAGUUAAGGUGGGUUGUGCUUACCGAAGCGACUAGGUCGCCCUUAUGUCUAAGAAAAUUAAGAAUCCAUAUUGAUGCAUAUAAAGGCUAAACGAGACAUGUAGGUGAUGCAUGUAAAUGUAAAUAAUGCAUGUGGAUAAUAUAAUGUAAAAUGCUAAGUAGGUGCAUGUAAAAUGAUAUAGAGAUCGUAGAAUACAUGAUUAGCAUCGUGAGAUUAUCUAUGCAUGUGAACUAGAGAAUGCUCGAUUAGACAACUAGGAUGUCGAACUAGAUCGAGUGGCAUCUAACCUAGUGUAUAAAACAUAGGUUGGACAUGAAUGACAAUGAACCUAGUGUUGUUGAACCUAGGAUGAAUCAUGAGUGGCAUCUAACCUAGUGUUAAAGGACAUAGGUUAUGGAUUGAACCUAGAGUUAAGUAAACCUAGGUUAUGUGAUAAAGACGAUGAACCUAGAGUCAAUUCGACCUAGGGUGAAAAGGACAUUGGACCUAGAUAGGUCAAUACUAUAGGGUUUGAAACCAACCCUUAAGCUAUAUGAAGUGGAUUCCGGAAUCCUUAGUGAUGUGGCCGCACAUGGAGCGGUGGAAAUUGUGGUAAAAGAGAUGGCAAGCGGAUCCUAACUGCAGGUAUGUGUGGUUCUCCUCACCUGGCAGUAAUUCAAUGGGUAUGUAUGGCUCUCCUCGCCCGGGAUGCCUUGAGAAUAAGCUGGAAUUGGGUAUGUGUGGCUCUCCUCGCCCAUUAGCUUAUCAGAUGAUGCCGCCUAGAUUGACUUGAACCUUGCUGGGUAAGAGCGAUGUGGUCGAUGCCAGAUGACUAAGUCACGUCUUGAGCCAUUGUUGGGUGAGGUGCGAUUAGUUCGCCGCCAGAUGGCUAAAUCAUGACUUGAGUUGUUGUUGGGUUCGAUGCGAUGAGUUCGCCACCAGAUGGUUAAGUCAGAUUUGCGGUAGGCUGUGACGGCAGCCAGGCUGAUGUGCAGCCAGUGCGCGGACUAUCCGCGGAUGAUUGACUCAAGGCCGAGUCGGGUGGUUAGCUUGAUUAGGUUAAUGGAAACCUUAUAAGCUAGUGAUAAAGGUAAGAGCUAAAGUUAGCAAAGUAAAUGUAGAAUUAACAUAUCUACUAGUUGUUUAUACAGUUGCAUAGUUGCAUAAUAUUCCUGUUGCAUAUUGUGAGGCAAAGCAUGAUAUAUGUUAGUUGCAUUUAAAUUAUGAUUUCAUAUCUAUCUAUUGAACUAACGUGUUGUUGCCUCCCUUGGACCUAUCGGUCGAGCUCUUCCCUUGGGUGGCCGUACCCACUGGGAACCAUGGAGUUGGUUCUCACCCCACGUUGUUUUGGGGUGUUACAGGUUCGCACGUGAGCGGUGCGGCGGCGCAAGGAGAGGGCGUAGCUCCGUAGAUAGCGCCUUGCCACCGAGACCAGAGAUAGCGGUACCCCAAAGUGGCCUAGCUUAGGGGUUAGAGAUGUAAGAAAUAAACUUGUAAUAAUUAGGAUUGUAUUUGGAAGUUGAGGAUGUAUUGCAAAUAAUGUAAUAUAAAUGUGAAUGCUUAUAAUAGCAUAGGAUUUAUGUUGUUUGAUACCUUCCUUAUGCAAUCGUUGUCUGAAUACUGUUCCUGGUUGGAACCUGUUGUAAUUGUAUUGAUUGCGACGCCUUGGACGUACAGGGGAAACUCUGUCCGUUCGGCGGUCUGUCGGUGUGCCGAAUCUGACGAAAUAGGCGGGGCUCGGGGCGUGACAGAUAUAGUGGGGACUUAAUUUUCCGCGAACACCGAACCGCUUAACUCCUCGCAUCGGCGAUACCUUUAGAAAUACGCGGUCUCCUACCGCGAACUCAAUGUCCUUUCGCCGCUUGUCGGCAUAACUCUUGUGCCGGGACUGCGCCGUCACCAACCUUUGUCCGGCAAGGCGGACUUUCUCCUCCGCCUCUGGCACCACGUCGGGGCCAAGAACCAUUUUCUCGCCCACGUCGCUCCAAUGUAUUGGCGAGCGACACUUCCUUCCGUAAAGGGCCUCGAAUGGCGCCAUCGCAAUACUUUCUUGAUAGCUAUUGUUAUAUGCGAAUUCCGCCAUCGGUAAAUGAUCGUGCCAUCCGCCCUUAUAGUCAAGUACACACGCUCGAAGCAUCUCCUCAAGUAUUUGAAUAGUCCUCUCCGAUUGACCGUCACUUUGAGGAUGGAAUGUCGUGCUAAAAUCGAGCCGUGUGCCCAAUGCAUCUUGCAAGCUCUUCCAAAAAUGAGAUGUGAACCUAGGGUCUCGAUCCGAUACAAUAGAUACCGGAACCCUGUGAAGCCUCACCACCUCGUCAACAUAGACUUGAGCCAACUUGUCUCCCGACCAAGUAGUGUGGAUCGGCAAAAAGUGUGCCGAUUUGGUCAACCGGUCCACAACUACCCAAAUCGCGUCGUGUCCACCUUGUGAUCUAGGCAAGCCUGUCACAAAAUCCAUUGCGAUAUUUUUUCAUUUCCACACGGGUAUUGGUAGAUUUUGUAACUUUCCCACUGGAAAUCGACGUUCCGCCUUAACUUGUUGGCACGUGAGGCACUGCGCCACGAACUUCCCUAUGUCUUUCUUCAUGCCCGGCCACCAAUAAUGUAACUUCAAGUCUCGAUAUAUUUUGGUGCCGCCCGGGUGUAUACUGUAGGGAGAUUGAUGCGCUUCUUGCAUAAUCGCCUUCCGAAGGUCGUCGUCCUUGGAUACGCACCAACGAUCUCGAUAUCGUAGUGUGCUGUCGGUUCCAAUGACGAAAUCAUCGGCAUUACCGCUCUCAACUUUACUCCGCACCUUUUGGAGAAAUUCAUCCGACGCUUGUAGUCCUUUAAUCUUCUCCAACAAGGUUGGCUGCACAACCAGGGUGGCAAGUGUUGCCGGCACCCCCGGCGCCACAACCUCCAGACCAAACCGUUGCAUCUCCCUUUGCAACGCCGGUUGGGGCGUAACUUGCGUCGCCAAAUUUUCCGCCGACUUUCUACUUAGAGCAUCGGCCACGACGUUUGCUUUCACGGGGUGGUAGAGGAUCGUGACAUCAUAAUCCUUGAGCAACUCUAACCACCGCCGCUGUCGCAAGUUUAACUCCUUUUGGGUGAACAAGUAUUUGAGACUCUUAUGAUCAGUGUAAAUCUCACAAUGUUCCCCAUAUAAGUAAUGCCUCCACAAUUUUAGCGUGAAUAUAACCGCCGCUAGCUCAAGGUCGUGAGUCGGGUAGUUCUUUUCAUAAUUCUUCAGUUGGCGCGAAGCAUAAGCUAUGACUGGGCCGUUUUGCAUUAAGACACACCCGAGUCCCAUGUACAAGGCAUCAUUGUACACGACAUAGCUCUCUCCCGGUGUCGGCAAGGCAAGCACGGGAGUAGAUGUUAAUCUAGUCUUUAGCUCUUCAAAGCUCCGCUCACACUCGNUCGCCACCCAUUGCCUCGACAAGGCGGCGAAGGUGUGGUGGAAGCGGUUGAAGCGAGAUCGACCCUCUGAUCUUCCACCAAUGCUUUGGGAGGAGUUCAAGAAAGAGAUAUUCGGAAACUACUUCCCCGACACCGAGAAGCGAAAAUUGAAGGAGAGGUUUCGCAAACUGAGACAGGGAGACCGUUCUGUGGCUGACUACGAGCAGGAGUUCUCCCACAUCAUAGACUGCGUCUCGGACGUGGUCAAGGACGACGCGGAUCGAGCCGAGUGGUUCUUGCGAGGACUUCGGCCGUGGAUUUAUAGGGUGGUGCAACUAUUUCAGCUCACAACUUUCGUCGAAGUUUUCAACAAGGCGCUGUGGGCGGAGCAUGGAGAUGCCCAUGUGUGGGAGGAGCGUGAGUUGUUGGCCGGAUCCCAAGACAAGGGGAAGAAGCGAUCGGGCGGCGGUUCGGGGGGACAAUCUAGUUCGAGGAGGCCCCCGAAGCAUUCGCGGUCGCAGUCGUGGGGCCGUGGGCCGCAGCGUUGCCCUAUCUGUGGAGAUCGAGGCCAUCGGGCACCGCAGUGUAGACAACGACAAGGACGGUGCUUUAAUUGUGGACAAGAGGGACAUAUCAGCCGCUAUUGUCCGGCAAGGGCCUCGUCUACCCCGUCGGUCGCAUCGGCUCUAGCGUCCUCGCCUUAUUAGGGAGGGGCCCCCUAUGUCCCCGUGUCAGCAGGACGCGCAUUGGCGCCGCGCCAGCCGGAGGUGACCCGAUCAGCGCCGAGCGGACGGGUAUUCGCCGCUCAGGCCCAAGCCGAGGAGCCUGCCCAAGCCGAGGAGCCUGAUGUUGUGGCAGGUAUGGUUCUAAUCAAUGGAGUUCGCUCCAGAGCUAUGUUCGAUACGGGUGCCACGCAUUCAUUUAUUAGUAGAGCAUUUGCACGCAUGCAUGACAUACCCAUAGAAGCAAGUGGCAAGUGGCGAGUCGAGGGUCCCGAGUUAGCAUUUAACACCUAUACGGAGUGCUCAUCGGUCCGGUGCAAGUGGGUGAUUAGAUAAUGCCUAUUCGGAUGUUGGAACUCACUAAACUGGAGGCGUACGACGUUAUUUUGGGCAUGGACUGGCUCUCGAAGUAUUAUGCCACGAUCGAUUGUAAGAAUAAAUUGAUCACCUUUCGGGAGCCCGGACAGAAGGAGUUCGUUUAUCGAGCUUGUCGGAGUUCUUGCUUCGUCGCGACAGUAUCGGCGACGAGAGCUAGGAAGUUGGUCAGCGGCGGUUGCGCGGCAUUUUUGGCGACCGUCGUGGAGGUGGACCGAGUGGUGCCGAAGUUAGAGGAUUUGUCGGUGGUGCGGGAAUUUUCGGAUGUAUUUCCCACGGAGUUACCGGGGAUGCCACCGGAUCGGGAGAUCGAGUUCGUUAUAGACUUGAUUCCCGGGACAGCGCCAAUCUCAAAGGCCCCAUACCGCAUGGCACCGGCAGAGUUAAGGGAAUUGAGGGAUCAGUUACAAGAUCUUCUCGACAAAGGGUUUAUCCGGCCGAGUGUAUCGCCGUGGGGAGCGCCGGUGUUGUUCGUGCGCAAGAAGGAUGGCUCGUUUCGACUCUGCGUGGAUUAUCGAGAGUUGAAUAAGGUCACAAUUAAGAAUAGGUACCCGUUACCCCGAAUUGAUGACUUGUUCGACCAAUUACAAGGGUCACGAGUGUACUCGAAGAUAGACCUACAAUCCGGCUACCAUCAGUUAAAGAUCAAGCCGGAGGAUAUCCAGAAGACCGCGUUUCGUACGCGUUAUGGACACUACGAGUACACGGUUAUGCCUUUCGGGCUCACUAAUGCCCCGGCUGCAUUCAUGGACCUGAUGAACCGUGUAUUCAAGGCGUGCUUGGACCGAUUCGUCGUGGUUUUCAUAGACGACAUCCUGGUCUAUUCGCGGAACGACGAAGAGCACGCGGAGCAUUUGCGGACGGUGCUUCAAAUCCUUCGGGAGGAGAAGCUAUUCGCAAAGCUGAAGAAGUGUGAUUUCUGGCUUCGAGAGGUUGCCUUCUUGGGGCAUGUAAUUUCCGAGGGCGGUGUUUCGGUUGACCCGAGGAAAGUCGAAGCGGUCGAGAAUUGGCCACGCCCGACGAACGUCACGGAGGUCCGAAGCUUUGUGGGCUUAGCGGGCUAUUAUCGACGGUUUGUGGAGGGCUUUUCGAAGAUUGUAACUCCACUUACCGGUCUGACACAGAAGGGCGUCAAGUUCAUUUGGAGCGACGAGUGUGAUCGAAGCUUCAACGAGUUGAAGAAAAGAUUGACGUCGGCUCCAAUACUCGCCUUACCGGUGCAGGGCGAGGACUUUGUGGUUUAUAGCGACGCAUCCUAUCUGGGCUUGGGGUGUGUUCUGAUGCAAGGCGGGAGGGUGAUAGCUUAUGCAUCCCGUCAGCUGAAAGAUCACGAGAAGAAUUACCCCAUUCAUGACUUGGAGUUGGCCGCGGUGAUCUUCGCGCUGAAGUUGUGGAGGCACUACUUAUACGGUGCACAUUGCGAGAUCUACACCGACCACAAAAGUCUUAAGUACCUGUUUACCCAGAAGGAGCUAAACAUGCGGCAGCGGCGGUGGCUAGAACUAUUAAAGGACUAUGAUGUCGAUAUUCUCUACCACCCCGGCAAAGCAAAUGUGGUCGUGGACGCACUUAGUAGGAAGUCGGCGAAGAACCUCGCUUUCGAUGUUACCCGGCAAACACCCCUAGGGCUAGAAAUGGAGCGGCUGGACCUUGAAGUGGUCGCUCCCGAGGUUCCGGCUCAGCUGAUGGCACUCGUCAUUCAACCGACCUUAUUGGAGAGGAUCAAGAAAUUGCAACCUGCAGAUCCGAGUCUCCAGAAGGUGCGGCGUAAUAUCGAGGAGGGACGAGAUGGCGAUUUUAGUGUGGACGCCGGUGGCGCGCUUUGGUUUCGAAACCGGUGGUGUGUGCCCGAGGAUGAAGGGCUUCGCGAGUUGAUUUUGCAAGAAGCACACCGAUCUCCAUACGCGGAUCACCCGGGCGGCACCAAAAUGUAUCAUGAGUUGAGGGCACUCUAUUGGUGGCCGGGGAUGAAGGCUGAUAUUGGGCGCUUCGUGGCAAAGUGCUUGACUUGUCAGCAAGUAAAGGCGGAGCGCCGGUUUCCAGCGGGAAAGCUUCAAAGUUUACCUAUUCCCGUCUGGAAAUGGGAGGACAUAUCUAUGGAUUUCCUCGUUGGCUUACCUUGCUCGACAGGGGGCCACGACGCAAUCUGGGUGAUCGUGGAUCGCUUGACCAAGUCAGCACACUUUCUACCGAUCCACACCACCUGGGCGGGAGAUAAAUUGGCGCAGGUGUAUCUAGACGAGGUAGUGAGGUUGCAUGGGGUGCCGAAGUCGAUUGUGUCGGAUAGAGACCCCAAGUUUACUUCGCAUUUUUGGAAAAGCCUGCAGGAGGCCCUUGGCACGCGGCUCGAUUUCAGCACUGCAUUUCAUCCCCAGACAGAUGGACAGACUGAAAGAACCAUUCAGACUCUGGAGGAUAUGUUGCGAGCGUGUGCCAUCGACUACAAAGGAGGUUGGUGUAAGUAUUUGCCAAUGGCCGAGUUCGCCUACAACAAUAGUUAUCACGCUAGUGUGGAGAUGGCACCGUUCGAAGCUCUUUAUGGGCGGAAGUGCCGCUCUCCCAUUUAUUGGAGUGACGUGGGCGAGCGCACUGAAUUUGGCCCUGAUGUGCUGCGAGAGGCGGAAGAAAAGGUCCGCUUUGCUCGCAAACAAUUACUCACGGCGCAGUCUCGACAACAGAGCUAUGCGGAUAGGCGCCGACGAGAUCUAGAGUUUACGGUGGGCGACCGUGUCUUCUUGAAGGUCUCGCCUAUGAGGGGUGUAAGGCGGUUUGGAGUUCGGGGAAAGUUGAGUCCCCGAUAUAUUGGCCCCUAUGAAAUCCUGGAGCGGAUUGGGACGGUGGCAUAUCGGCUCGCGUUGCCGCCGAAGCUUGCGGACGUGCACAACGUAUUCCACGUCUCCAAUCUUCGCAAAUACAUCCCUGAUCCCGAGCAUGCGAUGUUAUAUGAACCGCCGGAACUUCAGAAGGACCUGAGCUACGAGGAAUUCCCGGUGGCAAUUACCGCUCGUGAAGUGCGCCAGUUAAGGAAUCGGGAAAUUCCUUAUGUCCGAGUCCGGUGGAGCAAUCAUGAUGAUCGUGAAGCCACCUGGGAGCUUGAGCAGGAGAUGAAGGCGAAUCAUCCUCGCCUGUUCGAAGGGUAAAUUGAGGUAUAAAUUUAGAAUUUGAAAUUCUAAUCAAGUUUUGGAGUAUUGAAUUCGUUUCGAGGACAAAAAUCUUUUAAGGUGGGAAGGAUGUAAGGAAGUGAAUUCUCGAAACUCGAGGAUUAGACUUCGACCAGAAUCGACUAGUUGUCGAGUGCGUAGGCUUCGGAAAGUCCGAAGGUGUUUAUAAUGCAUAAAGUGCAUUAAAGAAGGGUCCGCGGGAGCACCAGUGCAAAACCUGCACUGGAGCAGAAAUGCUCUCGGGGACCGGUCCCUGGCAGGGAGGGACCGGUUCCAUCAGGCUGGGAUGCGGAGGUCUCUGAUGAGACCGGUCCCUGAUGGGCAGGGACCGGUUCACGAACGUUGGCCCAGCGAAAAUAGCUGAAAUUUGGCUAAGUCCCGAAAACUCAGCUAUCGGGAACCGGUCUCUCGGACAAGGACCGGUCUCCCGGGGACCGGUCUCUCAAGCAAGAACCGGUUCCCGAACGCGAAAAUCCCUCUGCUCGAUAUGGCAGCCUUCGGGGACCGGUCUUCCCGAGUUGGGACCGGUCCCUCACUGCGAAAAUGCCCAGAGAGGGCUAGUUCAGAGGGUGAAAAGUUGAGGGGGCUAUUUGCAAAAUGGCCUUUAUUAGAGGUGGGGGACCUCUCUCCCUCCCUCUCAGCUGCUCUCUCUCUCUCUCUUUCACACUCUUUCCCUCUCUCUCUCUAGGAAAGAAGAAGAAGAAGAAGAAGGAAAAGAAAAGAAAGAGAAGAAGAAGAAGAAGAAGUAGAAGGAGAAGUCAGAGAAGAAGAAGAAGAAGGUCUUCUUCCCUCUCUCCUUCCACCUAGGGCAAGCUUGGAGCUUGGCUUAGAGGUAAGCUCCAAACCCACUCAUGGUAGAUUUCUUAGGGUUGGGUUUUGUUGCUUAGAAUUGGUUCAAAUGGAACCUAUUAGGGAUAAAUAGAAGGUCCGAGCUCGAAAUCGAAGCUCGCACCACGGAUUUCUCCGUUGUUGAGACCUAGGGCUUAGAAAUGGGGAUUUUUGAAAUCUUUGGUUUUGAUCUAUUUUAAUAGGUCGUAAACCCAAUUGCUAGGUCCCGGAACGCGUCGGCGAAGUCGGUUUCUCGAUCCGACGAGCGGGUGCGGAGAUAUCGCCGAAUCGGGUACUUGAGGGCUCGCUUCGCCCCGAGGAGUUGAAGCGGCGUGCGACGACCGCAGUGUCAAGUUUUCUACCAUCACGGCAUCGCCAAGAGGUGGGUGGUGUCCAUCCCGAAGCAAUCGGGCUCCCUUCUAUGUCUUAGUACACGUCGAUUCUUGCAUCUUGUAUUAUUGCAUUAUAGGAUAAGUAUGCAUUGCCUUUCCUUAUGUUUUUCCUUGAUGAUAUCGUAGCGUACAUUGGAUAUUUGAUAUAUUGGAUUGAUAAGGAUUGGGUCGAGAUUGUGAAUCCUAUAAUGUAGAGAAAAUGAUGAACUAUGAACGAGUGACAUCUAGUCAAUAGUAAACUAUGAACGAGUGGCAUCUAGUUGGUAGUAAACAAAAGAACGAGUGACAUAUGUGAGUCGUAAUGUAUAUGAAACCUAUGGACUAUGUGAUGAUUGUGACCCUAGAGGACAGGGUAUCCUCGAGCUUAGAGGAUUGGAUCAUGCUCACGGUCUGUUUAAAUCUUGUGUUGGAAGCCCCACACAAGUAGUGCGCUCUGGAUGUUGGUCACGCCAGGGAUUGCCUAUUUGGCCCCGCCAGACGGUCUCAGGUCCGUAGUGUGAGUUAAUUCUCCCUAUGUGUCGAGAUGGCUAGUGAGCUGUAGGCGAGCCUUCGGGUAAGCCAUGAGAUUAAUGAACAAGUAUAUGAGGUUAAUGAACGAGUGAAUAACUUCACCCUUGGACAUGAUAACAGGUUAGUUGCUUACCUAUUUCAUUGGACAUGCAUUCAUAUAUUUAUGAUUGGGCAUAGUAGCGUAGCUUCAUUUCCGCCAUUUACAGCUUUUCUUAUUAUCUAUCUAUUGGUAUAUCUGCUCAUGCCCGCUUGGACCUAGUGGGGAGAUCGGUGGAGUCGGCGGCCGAACCCACUGGGAACUAAGGAAGUUAGUUCUCACCCCCAUUUUACCACAGGUUCCAGUUCGGGUGUCCCCGGUGAGCGUGAGGAUCGCGGUAAGGGCCCGGCGCUCUAGUCGCAUUAGCUACCUCCUUUUCUUGCAUUAGCCGUCACCUUUUUUUUGUAUCUGAGAGUAGAUGUUGUAUAGGGUGAGGUUCGAGUGCUUGUAUUUAUGUUUUGGAAGAAUGUAAAAGAUGUAAUUACAUGUAUAUAUUAUGUCGAAUGAAUGUAAUAGAUAUCUCUUCUCUCUUUAUGUACUUGUAUAUGUUUUAUACUUGUAUCUUGCUCUCGUCUUGUUGCACUGGUGGUGCUUUUGAUCAUGUAUUCAUGAAUUGAUUCCUGGGUAAAUUCUUAUACAUGGUCCGUUAGUUAGCCUUGGACGGACAGGGGCGGUCCUGUCCGUUCGGCGUCUGUUCGACGCGCCCGGGCCGAACCAAAUUGGUAGCGGUCCCGGGGCGUGACAUAAAUGCUCUUCGUGUUCUUCUUCGGUCCGAGAAUAUACCAAUACGUCGUCAAUGAAUACUACUGUCACGCCCCAAUCCCCGCCAAUUUAGUCGGGUUCGGGUCACGUCAACAGACGCCGAACGGACAGAGCCUCCCCUGUCUACCCAAGGCUCCAACCACAAGUAUAAAUAGGCAAUCAACAAGUGGUUUGCAUAUUUAAUACAAGGCUUGCACGAGGGCAAGCACAACGGAAGCGAAAGCUCUAAGCUAAAUAUACAGCAUACAGGAUAUUUGAUUUCAUUUAAACCAAAUUUAAGUAAACAAAGCUAUUACAUUCCAUUCAACCAUCAUAUCUCUUUACAUUUAGUCAUCCACCAAAUACAUUAUUGUUUACAACUUUACAUCUUUAAUUCAACAAAAUAAAGCUGAUACAUGUACACCAAAAGGGAAAUGACUACAAAAUGUAAUGCAACUCCGGUGGCCGCUACCUACGGCGCUAAACCCUUGCCUCGGUCCUCCGCCACCCCGCUCGUGCUAGGUCCUGUAGGGUUAGUGGUGUGAGAACUACAACGAAGUUCCCAGUGGGCUCGGCAUCCGACCUCGCCGACUUACCUACUAGAUCUAUCUAGGUCUAAGUAUUUCAAGGAAAGAAAAGUAACCGAUACUAAUGCAUCUAAUACUAUGCCUGCAAAGGAAUGUCAGUGGAUACAGAUAAUCAUCAACAUAUGGAAUGCAUGUAUGCGUGUUCCUUUGUAUUACUUUAUCUUUCUUACCCAAUCUUACCGGUUAACUUUGUUAACCCCAAUAGCUCACCAUACCAUCUCCCGUCUACCGGGGGAGGCUUUAAGCACAACCACCCGAGGGAUCGUCGAUGGGAUUCUUCCCGUUGGUGUCUACACUUCGAAGUACACCACUUGAGGGGGAGCGACCUCCCUCAAGCCCAAGUUCAUGUGAGCCUCGAUCCAAUCCUCAAACUGAGGAUACAUAGUCACUAGUCAUGAUGCCACUCUCAUGGUGGGUUUUCUACCUAUUUAUUCAUGCCACCUUCUAGUCAUUUCUAUCAAUGCCAAUCUUGUCUCUAUAGUCAAUGUCACCUUUGUUUACUAUAGUCAAGUCCGAGUCCCACAUUCACACAUUUCUCGGGUUCAAUCAUACAUGUCCAUUUCGGUUCUUGUUCAAUCACUAUGUUCGUCUACGUUAGAAGCAUAAUAUUGUAAUUCUAACCUCUAGCCACAUGUAAGAUUACCCUACUAUGCAUGAAUGGCUAUAUAAUAACAUGCUCAACGAAAGUGAAACAGAUAUAGAAGGGAAUGCCAAACGAUUUCCGGCGUGCACCGCCCCAACCAUCUGAAGAACUACGUGUGGUUAUUAUAUUGAGGUCUUCCCUGGAUUUUACGAAAGCCGCCUCCGCCUAUAAUCAAAACGUGCUAUAUUAGGCCUCAAUGUAUAGACUAACUCAACAUUUACGUAAUGUUAAACUGGAGUUUGCCCGAACAGUGUUAGGUACCCCCAAUUAGGCUGUUCUACGGGGUCAAUUUGUCCCCGACAAUUUAGGCAAAAGCCCCAAAUUCAAGCGCCAAUAUUGUCAUUUAGGGUUUUCCCAUGAAUCGAUCCCAACCUUAAGCAACAAUAGCUUAGGAUCAACUAAGAAGCAUCCUAGUAAGGUUUCUAGACCCUUAGUCCUGGAACACCCACGUUCGAGAACCGGUCCCUGGUCGGGGAGACCGGUCCCCGAAGGCGAAAAAUGCCCAGUCCGGGCAGAUCAAUGGGAAACAAGUGGAGGGGCUUAAGUGCAAUUAUUACAACACUUUAUAUGGUCACCCCUCUCUCUCCCACAGCCAUUUUCACCCUUCUCACCCAUUUCCUCUCUUUCUCUCUCUAGAACUCCUCUAGGGCUUGAAGAAGAAGAAGAAGAACUUGGAGGAGAAGGUGGAUUUGGUGCUUUGGUGGGUUCUACAAGCUCUCCUACAAGAAGGACUUGGAGGGGCUUGGGCUAAGGUGAGUUUUUGGUAGAAAUGAGUCUAGGGCUUGAUUUUAAUCCCUAUGUUUUGGAGCUUUGGGUUGUUUUUGGCCAUGGGAGCCUUCUAUAAGCCUUGAACUCCAUGGAACCCAUGAGAUCUCAAGUGCUCUCAUGGUGGUUGGGUAGGGUUUGCCAUAGAAGCCCUAGGGUUGGUUUCAAAUUUUCGAGUUUUUCAGCUGUUGCGCAGCGAGGGACCGGUCUGCCCGUCAAGGACCGGUCUCCCGAGGACCGGUCUCACCACCAGGGACCGGUUGCCUCAGGACUUUCUGGCAGGCUAUGCGUACGGGGACCGAUCUCUCAGGACCGGUCUCUUCUUCAGGGACCAGUCCCCGAGAGCUCAAAAUCUGGGACUUAGCCAGAUUUUCGGAUCUGCUCUUUCGGGUCCCUUUAGCUUCAUUUAUGGACUCUAAUACACUUAGGGUCCACUUUAACUUGUUCCACUCCAGGUUUCGCUCGUUUUGACGAAACUCGGCACGUCUUACAAGGGACGUGGUAUGUUACAUUCUCCACCCCUAAAAUUUAGUUUCGUCCGCGAAACUACGUAUUCGGAAUCCAUACCUCAAUUCGACUCGUCGAAGAGUUGAGGGUGGCGCUCCCGCAUCUCGCUCUCGAGUUCCCAAGUCUCCUCCCGAUCACCGUGCUCACUCCAAUGAAUUUUAACAUAGGGAAUCUCCCGGUUCCUUAACUUUCUCACUUCCCGAUCCACGAUGUAAGCCGGGAACUCCUCAUAAGUCAUAUCCUCUUGGAGCUCUAUAGGUAUAUAAGUUCCCUCAUAAGUCAUAUCCUCUUGGAGCUCUAUAGGUAUAUACGAGAUAAUAUGAUCCGGGUCGUAGACAUACUUGCGGAGUUGGGAUACAUGGAAUACGUCAUGCACUCCCGCAAGCCUCAGUGGUAAUGCCAACUUGUAGGCUACCACGCCAACUCGUUCCAAAAUCUCGAAGGGUCCGAUAUAGCAGGGACUUAGCUUCCCGCGAACACCAAACCACUUAACUCCUCGCAUCGGCGAUACCUUUAGAAAUACGCGGUCUCCUACCGCGAACUCAAUAUCCUUUCGCCGCUUGUCGGCAUAACUCUUGUGCCUUGAUUGCGCCGUCACCAAUCUUUGUCGAGCAAGGCGGACCUUCUCUUCCGCCUCUCGCACUACAUCCGGGCCAAGAACCAUCUUUUCGCCCACCUCGCUCCAGUGUAUUGGCGAGCGACAUUUCCUUCCAUACAGGGCCUCGAAUGGCGCCAUCGCAAUGCUUUCUUGAUAGCUAUUGUUGUAUGCGAAUUCCGCCAUCGGUAAGUGAUCGUGCCAUCCGUCCUUAUAAUCAAGUACACACGCUCGAAGCAUAUCCUCAAGUAUUUGAAUCGUCAUUUCCGAUUGACCGUCACUUUGAGGAUGGAAUGCUGUACUAAAAUCGAGCCGCGUGCCUAAUGCAUCCUGUAAGCUCUUCCAAAAAUGCGAUGUGAACUUAGGGUCCCGAUCCGAUACAAUAGAUACCGGAACCCCGUGAAGUCUCACAACCUCAUCAAUAUAGGCUUGAGCUAACUUGUCUCCCGACCAAGUAGUGUGGAUCGGCAAAAAGUGUGCCGAUUUUGUCAACUGGUCCACAACUACCCAUAUCGCGUCGUGUCCACCUUGCGACCUAGGCAGACUUGUUACGAAGUCCAUUGCAAUAUUUUCCCAUUUCCACACGGGUAUUGGUAGACUCUGCAACUUGCCCGCUGGGAAUCGACGCUCCGCCUUCACUUGUUGGCACGUGAGAUAUUGCGCCACGAACUCCCCUAUAUCUCUCUUCAUGCCCGGCCACCAAUAAUGCAAUUUCAAAUCUUGAUACAUUUUGGUGCCGCCCGGGUGGAUGCUAUAGGGAGAUUGAUGCGCUUCUUGCAUAAUCGCCCUCCGAAGAUCGUCGUCCUUGGGCACGCACCAACGACCCCGAUAUCGUAGUGCGCCGUCGGUUCCAAUGCCAUAAUCAUCGGCACUACCGCUUUCAACCUUGCCCCGCACCUUUUGGAGAAACUCAUCCAAUGCUUGUAAUUCUUUAAUUUUCUCCAACAGAGUUGGUUGCACAACUAGGGUGGCAAGGGUUGCCGGCACUCCCGGCACCACAACUUCUAGUCCCAACCGUUGCAUCUCCUUCUACAAUGUCGGUUGAGGCGUAAUCUCCGCCGCCAAAUUUUCCGCCGACUUUCUACUUAGAGCAUCGGCCACGACGUUCGCUUUUCCGGGGUGGUAGAGAAUCGUGACGUCAUAAUCUUUAAGCAACUCUAACCACCGCCGCUGUCGCAAGUUCAGCUCCUUUUGGGUGAACAAAUAUUUGAGACUCUUAUGAUCAGUGUAGAUCUCACAAUGUUCCCCAUACAAGUAAUGCCUCCACAGUUUUAGCGCGAAAACAACCGCCGCUAGCUCAAGAUCGUGAGUCGGGUAGUUCUUUUCAUAACUCUUCAACUGGCGCGAAGCAUAAGCUAUGACUCGGCCGUUUUGCAUUAAGACACACCCGAGACCGAUGUAUGAGGCAUCACUGUAUACGACAUAGUUUUCUCCCGGCGUAGGCAAAGCAAGCACUGGAGUAGACGUCAGUCUAGUCUUUAGCUCCUCAAAACUCCGCUCAUACUCGGGGCUCCACACAAACUUCACCCCUUUGUGCGUAAGACGCGUUAGAGGAGUUGUUAUCUUAGCAAUCCCUUCAAUGAACCGCCGGUAAUAGCCCGCAAGUCCAAGGAAGCUACGAAUUUCUGCUACACUUGUCGGGCGAGGCCAAUCUUUAAUCGCCUCAACUUUCUUUGAGUCCACCGAGAUGCCAUCUCAGGAUACAACGUGGCCCAAGAAGGUGACCUCCGAAAGCCAAAACUCGCAUUUCUUUAGUUUUGCGUAAUGCUUUUUCUUCCGGAGUAUCCCCAACACGAGUCUUAGAUGCUCCUCGUGUUCUUCUUCGGUCCGAGAAUAUACCAAUACGUCGUCAAUGAAAAUCACGACGCACCGGUCCAAUAGCGGACGAAAAAUCCGAUUCAUCAGGUCCAUAAAUGCCGCCGGUGCAUUAGUGAGCCCGAAUGGCAUGACCGUAAACUCAUAAUGGCCAUACCGCGUACGGUACGCCGUUUUGUGCACAUCUUUGGGUCGUAUCUUCAGUUGAUGAUACCCCGACUGCAGAUCGAUCUUAGUGUAUACCCUUGACCCUUGCAACUGGUCGAACAGGUCAUGAAUUCUUGGCAACGGGUAUUUGUUCUUGAUCGUCACUCUAUUCAGCUCGCGGUAAUCAACGCAGAGCCGGAGUGUUCCGUCUUUCUUCUUUACAAAUAGCACGGGAGCUCCCCACGGGGACACGCUCGGCUGCACGAAGCCCUUAUCGAGCAAAUCUUGUAACUGAGCUUUCAACUCUUUUAGCUCCAUCGGUGCCAUUCUGUACGGAGCCUUCAAAAUUGGCGCCGGCCCGGGAUUCAAGUCGAUAACAAACUCGACUUCCCGAUCCGGGGGUAGUCCCGGUAACUCCGCUGGGAAUACAUCCGGAUACUCCCGCACAACUCGAAUACUCUUCAGUUCCGGGUAUUCCUUUCGAGGGUCUACGAUGGUCGCCAAAUAAGCCUUACAACCACCUUUAAUCAUCCUUUUUGCCCUCACCGUCGAUAUAGUUGCUGCGAAGCGUUUGCCCUUGCACGCCUGAUAGACAAACUCCUCUUGGUUGGGUUCACGGAACGUGAUCACCCUUCUUUCGAAAUCUAUAACCGCGUAGUACUUGGAGAGCCAAUUGAUCUCCAAGAUUACCUCGAAUCCCCACAUUUCUUUCAACACUAGGAGGUCGAUCGGCAUAAUCCAAUCACCUAUUUGCACUGGGCAGUCCAAGCACUCAUCAUAGACGUCGAUCGAGUGCUCGGGAGUGUUCACCGACCAAUACUCCUCAUUAUGAGUGAUCUCUAUAUUAUGAGCUUGUGCAAAUGAUGCUAAUAUGAAUGAAUGAGAUGCACCUGUAUCAAAUAUGGCUCUAGCCCUAGUGCCUCUGAUCAGAAUAAUACCUGCCACGACGUCGUCGGGAACAAUGAUUGGUGGCUCCUCCACCUGAGUGGCAAAUACCCGCCCACUAGGUGCUCGAGAGGCCUCCUGCUGACGAGGCGUCGACGAUCGUCCAGUAGAUGUCGCGGGUGGCAGUCCCGCCAGCUGUCGCUGAGUGUACUGGACCGAGGCUGACGACGGGGCUGGGGAUGCGCCGCCCGGGCACUCCCAACUCAUGUGUCCCACAGAGCCACACCGAUAACAUCUCCCGUCGCGCUGGGAACAGUCCCUGGGCCUAUGGUUCCCGCCGCAAAUAACACACAGGAAGGAAGUCAUCUGGCUCCUGCCUCCCCGCCACUGCGGUCGCUGAGGUCGCGGGGGUCGCUUAGAACUCGACUGAUGACGGCGGUUGAUGGUUGCCGCCGUAAAUAACACAACGAGAUGGCCUCCAACCCCUCGACUGCUGUCAGGAAUACCGAGGGGGUUUCUUAGCGUUUGGCCGGCCCUCAGUGCCAUCCGCCGUCCGCUUCUUGCUCUUCUCCUAGGUCUCGGCUGCGGACUCGCGCUCCUCGCGCUCGUGGGCAUAACCAUGCUCCGCCCACAAAGCCCGAUCAAAGACCUCCGCAAAGGUCGUGAGCUUGAGGAUCUGCACGGCCCUAUGAAUCCCCGGCCGCAAUCCUCGCAGGAACCAGUCUGCUCAGUCCCGGUCAUCCCUAACAACCUCCGGGACGCAGUCAAUGAGGUGGGAGAACUCCUGCUCGUAGUCUGCCACCGAGCGAUCCCCUUGCCUCAACUUGCGGAAUUUCUCUUGCAGCUUCCGCUUCACCGUAUCGGGGAAGUAGUUGGCGAACACCGCCCUCCGAAACUCCUCCCACAACAUGGGCGGAAGAUCGGAUGAUCGAAAGGUCUCGCCUAACCCGCUUCCACAACACCUUCGCCGCCUUCUCGAGACAAUGUGUGGCGAGGUACACCUUGUCCUUCUCCAAGGUGUUAAGAUCCUCGAAAAGUGUUUCCAUGGACUCGAUCCAUGACUCCACCACCGCCGGUUCCAGCACUCCCCCUUCAAAGGUAGGUGGGUUGAACUUCUGAAACUGAAUGAGAGCCGCCAACGCGCGCUCCCGCUCCGCCUCCUCUGCCGCACUAUCGGGGUUUGAGGUCCCUGAUCCAGCCGGCACUAUCGUGACUAGCACGGUCGCCGCGGCCACACCCUCGGCCGCACUCGGCACCACUGCAGGAGGCAUAGGGUGCACGGCCUCCACGGGCGCCGCUGCCGCCGCCUGCUAUCGUUCCAAGGCCUCCUGGAGCCUUUGGAUUUGCUCCCCUUGGCGCUGAACGGAUUCUGCCUGGCGCUAAACGGAUUUCGCCUGCUGCCGCACUACGCCAAUAAGCGCGGCCAUCUGCUCCCGAAGCUCCCCGUCGCCACCUGCUCCGGGUUGCACGGGAGCCGUACUUGACUCCUCGGCCAUAGACCUCGUCCGCGGUCGACCACGAGGCAACUUAGGUCGUCCACGAGGCGGCAUUGCUUCCUGAAAUGAAGCAACUCACGUUAGUUACUUAGACAACAUACUCGAUUAUACCCAAUCCGGCGAAAGCAUAUAAGUGUAUUCAUUUUCAUUCCAAAGCGUCAUGUUGUCGGCCGCCGAUCACAACACAAGGAAAAGAAAACAAAUAACAACUUAAGUUUAGUCCCUAACCACAUUAGAGACAUAAUUACACCGACCCAAUCCAUGCCUUCGCUAUAACUUGUUCAACGCCGCUCACGUUUCCUAGAUCCUUAAGGUUUUCCAUUCCUAAGGGUCUCUAGGUUCAUCCUAUGCUUUCACUUUUGGCUCUUUUACGCUCUGAUACUAUCUUAUCUGUCACACCCCGAGCCCGAUCCUUUUGGCCGGUUCGAGAGCGUCAACAGACGCCGAACGGACAGAGCCUCCCCUAUCUGCCCAAGACUCAACAACAAGUAUCAAUAGAGUAUAAAUUUGUAUAAGCGGAAGUAUACACAAUGGCUUGCACGAGGGCAAGCAAUACCCAAUAGUGAAAGUAAAUAACUACACAUAGAAAAUUAAUUACAAUUUGCAUCAUUUCUUUUUACAUCCCAAUUUUUCAAAAUAUAACAUUGAUAUUAAAUGAAUUCUUUUACAUCAUUCAUGUCCUUUCGUUUAACAACUAUAAUCAUCAAAGUACAAAAGAUGAUAUAUAAAAAGGGGUAUGCAACUAUGAAAUGAAGCAUCUCGGGCGGUCUCUACCUAGGGCGCGAUGCCCUUACCACGGUCGUCUGCCGGCUCGCUCGGUCCCGGCUCUGUGGAAAUAGGGGUGUGAGAACUACAACAAAGUUCUCAGUGGGUUCGGCAACCAACCACGCCGACUAUCCCACUAGGUCUAAUCAGGCAUAAUAGAAUAAAGGAAGGAAAGUAACCAACUAACAAAUGCAACUAAUAUGCCUGAACAUUAUAAAAUGCGAUGCUCAAUAUAAUGCUCAUGAUGAAUGCAAGAUCACCAUUACUUUACCCAAUCUCUUGGCUAACCCAUAGGUUUCGCCCUCAACAAACUCACCAACCUAAAAUCCUAUUUAACCGAGGAGAUACCCGCUACGACCCGAUAGGACCGUCCUCUGGGGAGAUACCCGCUACGACCCAGUGAUGUCGACUCCGGAGCACAUCGCCCGAGGGGGAGCUACCACCCUCGAGCAAGGACUAAAGGUGAGUACGAUCAAUCCUACAUUGAGGAUUCCAAGUUCAAUCCAUUGCUUAACUUUAAGGAAGACCAUGCUCAAAUGACUUCGAACUCUAAGGUUGAAAUGUCAUAAUGUCCCAAUCAUUCUUUUCUUUGCAUUCUUUACUAUCACUAGUGUCAUAUACACUACCAAGUUUUGUACUCAUGCCACACUUGUUUUCUAAGUGCUAUGUUCUUGUUCUCAUGCCAAAUGCCACACUUAUUUUCUAAGUGUUUUAGGCUCAUUAAUGUCACUCACUAGAUCUAUGUCCAUGUGUCAUUUUUGUUCACUAACCCUUCUAGGUUCUUGUCACUUGUCAUGCAUAAAUAGGAUUAUCAUUCUCAUAUUUUUACAAGUAUUUCAUACGAAAUUAAUUUCACAAUCAUGCAAUAAGACUCACAAUUAACCCUACUAUGCAAUAUGCUAAAUAUAUACAUAUAUGUUCAAACAUGACACUUUAGACAUAAAGAGAUUUCCGAGGUCCUUGGAAUACACCACCCACCUCAAGUGGUCGUGUAAGUGAAGAAUACAACGACUCCCGAACUUUACAAAAGCCGCUUCCGCGUCCUAUAACCAAUUAGUGCCAUAUUAGGCCUUUUGUGCAUGAACCAUAGUUAAACAUUUUUGUAACGUCGAACGAAGUUGUCCAACGCGUCGAGGACACCCCCAAUUAGGUUUCUACAAGGUCAAUUCGCCUUAGAAACACUCGGAGGCAAAAGCUCCAAAUUUGGUACCCUAACCAAACCCAUUGCUAAACCCUAGGUUUUGAUCUCUAAAACAAGUAAAAGAGAGCUUGUCUAAUCUCUAGAAGCUCAUUUAGAACCAACCCAAGCAUCUCUAGGGCUUAAAAUGCAAACCCUAGAAAUCUCCCAUUAGAUCACCAUGAAGAAAACUAGGGUUUUCAUAGUAUUCAAAGCUCUACUACUCUUCUAAAGCCUCUAAAGAGACCAAAACUCCAAAAUCUAAGGUUAAUCUCCAAACCUUAGAACUCUACAUGCUAAAAACUUACCUUGGCCCAAGUUCUAGCAAGCUCCUUCUUGUUCGAGAGCUUCUAGGACCACCAAAGCCACCAAAAUCCACUUCUCCAAGCUCUUCUCCACCUUCUCCAAGCUCUAGGUGUGAGAUAUUGAACUUGAUGGUUUGUGGCUAACUUUGGCCAAAUGGACCAAAGUGGGCAAUUGAACGGUUUGGACAAGUCCCAUUCGGUAUUCCAACAAGUUUGGAAGAGCAAAAAUGAGUUCCAAAGGAGUUGGAAUAAUUUUGACAUCGAUCGGCGCGAAGUAGAGCCGAAGAGAAGUGAAAUCAGCAUUCUAGAGCUGUUGUACCGGCACAAGAGUGAUGGCUGUACCGAUACAACCAUCGCAGCUCUCGGAUUGGGGGGCUGCCAGGCCUUGUGCCGGUACAAGGGGGCCUUGUACCGGUACAAGCCCUGCGCAACCGAGAAACCGAGCUCUCGGGUUGGAGGCUGCCAGACCUUGUAUCGGUACAAGGGGGUCUUGUACCGGUACAAGCCCUGCGCAACCGAGAAACCGAGCCUUGGGUUGGGCUGUCUGCCAGGCCUUGUACCGGUACAAGAACCCGUGUACCGGUACAAGGGACCCGAAACUGCAGGUCAAGUUGGAAAAUUAGAUUUUUGAGGGGGCUUUUGGGAUUUUGUUACAUUAGAGGGUUAUAAUACCUCUCUCUCUCAGCUUCCCUCUCACUCUUAGCUUCUCUCUCUCCCUCUCACAUUGCUCUCUCUCUCUCUAAACCGAAAAGGGAAGAAGAAGAAGAAAAGAAGGAGAGAAAGAAGAAGAAGAAAAGAAGGAAAGGAAGGAGAAGAUCAAGGAGAAGAAGAAGAGGCUUCUCUCCCUCCUCUUCCUCAAGCUAGGGCUUGCUUUGGAGCAAACCCUAGAGGUAAGCCUCAACCCUAACUUGUGAUUUCUAGGGUUUGGGAGGUUUUUGUUGCUUUUAAUGGUUCAAAUGGAACCUAAUGAGUUUAGAGGACAUGGAUCUUGCUCACAAUGAAGCUAGAAACCAAGGUUUCCCAUGGGUGCUAAACCUAGGGUUGGUUUUGGCGGCUUUUGGAAAUAUUGGGUUUUGAUCUAUUUUGAUGGGUCGGAAACCUAAUUGUUAUGCUCCCAAACGCGUAGGCGAAGACGGUUCGUCGAUCCGUUGAGUGAGCGCGGAGAUAUUGCCAUUUUGGUUGCUCUAGGAUUCGUUUUGAUCCGAGGUGUUGAAGCGGCGCACGUGGAUUUUGACGCCGAGUUUCUUAGCUUUUCGGCACUACCACAAGGUGGGUGGUGACCUUCCCGAAGUCGCGGGGCUACGUUCUAUGUCCAAGUUUAAUGUUGAUCAAAUUGCAUCUUAUUCAUGUUGCAUAUAGGGUUAGAAAAUGAUUGUUGUUGCUUAAAUUUGCAUACUAGUUGCUUUAUAUCUUGUUGAUUGAUUCAUGAUCUAGUAUGCAUGAAAACUACAUGAUGAAAACCUAGACCCUAUAUGUGAUGGUUAAUGUUUAUGAGAUUAAAGAACUAGUAUGAUGUAACUAGUGUUGAAAAUGAGUCUAAAUGACGAGUGGCAUCUAGUUAGAAAACUAUGACAAGUGGCAUCUAGUUAUAGAAAACUAUGAUGAAGGACACAUGGUUAUUGAUAAUUUUGAUAUGAGAACCUUAGUGUAGUUGAGACACUAUGAGAUUGGGUACAAGAACACCUUGAUUCCAUGAUGAGAUUACCCUUAGAGAGUAAGUUGCUGUUGUUCGUGAGAUGGUUCAUGCUCACAUAGCCUAUCUGCGCUUGGAGGGGUCGCUCCCCGCAAGCUGUGCACUCCGGAGGUUGGUCACUAGAGGGACAGUCAGUGUGCUGUCUGGACGGUCUGUGUGCUGUCCGCAGGCGGUCUCGGGAGUAGUUCAGUGAGACUUUCCCUAUGAGACUUACACGUGAGUUAUGCUUGUGAACUUCGAGUUCACCAUGAGAUUGGGAAACUUAUUGAGUCACACUCAUUACUUGUUGUUUAUAGUAGCUUCCCUAUGGUUGUUCAUAUUAGCUUACUUGUUGUUGUUGUUCAUAGCAGCUUACCACAUAGCUUUAUUAUCGUUCAUGCAUGCAUGAUAUCAGAUUGAGGCAUAGCUAGAUAUUCAUGAUUCUACCUACUUGCUUACGUUUCCUUACUUGCACAGUUAUCAUACCCGCUUUUUGCCAGUUUAGCUUUACAUAUAUAUUGCAUAUAUCUCUCUAUGCCUGCUUCGACCUAGUGGGUAGAUCAGUGGAGUCGGCGGCCGAACCCACUGGGAACUAUUCGUAGUUCUCACACCCGUUGUUGCAGGCGCCAGUUCGAGUGUCCCGACCGAGCGGGAGGAUCGCGGCAAGGGCUUGGCGCCCUAGCGGUACCAGUUGGUAGUUUACUUUCCUACUUGCAUUAGUUCAACGUGUGUUUAUAUUUUGAGAGUAGAUGUUGUAUAGGGUGAGGUUUUGGAGAGUACUUGAUGUAUUUACAUUUUGGAGAACGAUGUAUGAAGUUUAAUGCAAGUUGUAUUUAAUGCUUUAAAUUUCAUGGUUCAAAUAGUUAAGUUUCUCUCUUUUGUAUACUUGUAUGCUUUUACUAGUAUCGCUUGCUCUCGAUAGUUUUAACAGUUUUUGUGUUAUCGUUGUUUGAUUGUGUAUGAAAUCAAGUUGUUUUUCCUGGGGACUUGUUGUACACAAUCUCGUUGGUUAGCCUUGGGCGAAUAGGGGAGACUCUGUCCGUUCGGCUUCACGCCGCCGCCCUCGAACCGGACUAAAUAGGUAUCGUUUUCGGGUCGUGCGGUCGGGUCGUGACAGUUGUGGUAUCAGAGCGAGUUAAGAGCAAGCAAAAGAGAGAGUCUAGGAUGACCUAGGAGACCCUAGGUUGGUUAACCCUAAGGUUAUAGGUUCGUGAGUGCGACGUGAACCUAUGACGCGGCGGAAGCUAAUUGAUUGGGUUUGGAGUUGGUGUUGUUACUCUAGUUAUGACUAGAGAUGAUCCAAGUGGUAUUAAUUUUUGGCUUGAGGUGAUUGUGUUGGCGGCCGACAACACGAUGCCGAAGGUCGAGAAUUAAGACACUUGCAAGUUACCGCCUGAUUGAUGUUGUUUAAUCGUUAUGUUUCGCGUUUACGACGAUGUUGUUGAGUUAAGUAAUUAAUCAACUGUUUGUGUUUCAGGAGCUAUGGCACCAAAGAGACGCUAUGUGCGUAGGACCGCUCCGGCACCACCUCGAGAGGUGCCCGGGCCAGCCGUGCCUCCAGUGGCGCCAGUGCCAGCUGGGCCUACUGAGGUGCAGGAGUUGCGAGCGCAGGUCGCGACGCUCACAGGACGGUUCGAUAGGAUUCAGGAGCUGCUGGAGCAGCAGGCUGUAGCGGCGGCUGCGGCAGCGGAUCCAGGCCGCGGUCCGCCUGCGCCUUCGGCACGCGCCCCUGAUGCGGCCGAGGGUGUGGGUGGCGUUUCGGUUCCGGUGGCGGCGCAACCCCCACCGGUGGAUAUUCCUCCGGCUAGUUCGAGUUCUCCUACCCCCGCGGCAGCGGCUGAGGAGGCGGAGCGUGAGCGUGGCUAUGUGGCGCUCACGAGAUUUACGAAGUUUCGUCCGCCUACUUUCGACGGAGAGGUGGUGGAUCCAGCGACGGUAGAGUCUUGGCUGACUGCUAUGGAGACUCUUUUUGAGGACAUUUUCACCUUGGAGAGGGACAAGGUGAACUUGGCCGCGCAUUGCUUCGAGAAGCGGGCCAGGACUUGGUGGAGGAGAGUCAAGCAGGACCGAUCCCCGGAGCUUCCCCCGAUUGAUUGGGCGGAGUUCCGCAAGCUGAUGUUCGCCGAGUACUUCCCCGACAGCGACAAGAGAAGGAUGCGGGAAGACUUUCGCAAGCUCAAGCAAGGCAAUCGCACGGUUCGGGAGUACGAGCGGGAGUUCACCCAUCUCCUGAGCUGCGUCCCGGACGUGGCGACGACCGAGCAGGACCGGGCGGAUUGUUUUGUUCGAGGGCUUCGGCCCGGAGUGUUCAAGUUGGUGCAUGCCUUCAAGUUCCCUACACUGGCGGCAGCACUAGAUCGCGCCCUAUGGGUCGAGCACGGGAACGCUUGCGAGCGUGAGGACCGUGAGUUGUACGACAAGGACAAAGGCAAGAAAAGGCAGGGCGGUGGAUCGGGUGGUCAGUCUAGCUCCAGGAGGCCCCCGAAGUAUCCGCGCUCUCAGGCCAAGGGUCGUGGUGCUGAGCGAUGUAUCUUCUGCGGUGGAGACCACCGGCCGGGUGUUUGUGAGCAGCGCCGAGGGAGGUGCUUCAAGUGCGGGCAAGCGGGACAUCAGAUUCGCGACUGUCCUCAGGGAGGAGCUUCGCCCGCUAUGUCGACUGCAUCGGCCCCGGCAGUUCCAGCUCGUUAUGCUUUGCCCCCUCCUGCAGCAUCUACCGGGCGGGCAGCGGCGCCACGCCAACAGGAGCCUGCACGAUCAGCGCCGAGCGGGAGGAUGUAUGCUGCACCCGUUCAUAUGGAGGAGCCUUCAGCGGCCGAGGAGCGCAAUGUUGUGGCAGGUAUAAUUUUGGUUAAAGAUGUUCGAGCUAGAGCUUUAUUUGAUACAGGCGCUUCACAUUCCUUCAUUAGUCGAUCAUUUGCACGAGCGCAUGAUAUUGAGUAUCGUCUUGGGGAGCACGUUUGGCAUGUUGAGGGCCCCGGGCGAUCCUUUUUGGUUAGGAAGCGAUGUUUGGCAUGUCCAGUGCAAGUGAAUGACUGGAUUAUGCCGAUCGACUUGUUGGUGCUCGAAAGGUUGAAGGAGUUCGACGUAAUUUUGGGCAUGGAUUGGCUCUAGAAGUACUAUGUAUCGAUUGAUUGCCCGACUCGUGUUAUCACAUUUCGAGAGCCGGGUCAGGUUGAGUUCACCUACCGAGCUUGCAAGAGCUCGUGCUUCGCCGUGACGGUAUCGGCGACUAGAGCGAGGAAGUUGGUGAACAGCGGUUGCGCAGCCUUUUUGGCGACCGUUGUGGAGAUUGAUCGAGUGGUUCCGACCCUCGAAGAGUUGGCGGUUGUGCGGGAGUUCCCCGACGUGUUUCCCGCGGAGCUACCGGGUAUGCCGCCGGACCGGGAAAUCGAGUUCAUGAUUCACUUGGUUCCCGGGACAGCACCAAUUUCUAAAGCCCCGUAUCGCAUGGCGCCGGCCGAGCCGAGGGAGUUGAGAGAUCAAUUGCAGGACCUUCUCGACAAGGAAUUCAUUAGGCCGAGCGUUUCGCCGUGGGGUGCCCCGGUAUUAUUCGUGCGAAAGAAGGAUGGAUCCUUUCGACUCUGCGUGGAUUACCGCGAGUUGAAUAAGGUCACGGUGAAGAACAGGUACCCGCUACCCCGUAUCGACGACUUGUUUGAUCAGCUGCAGGGGUCGCGAGUGUAUUCUAAGAUUGAUCUUCAGUCCGGCUACCAUCAGUUAAAGAUUAAGCUGGAAGAUGUUCAGAAGGCGGCGUUUCGCACGCGUUAUGGACACUACGAGUUCACGGUGAUGCCGUUUGGGCUCACAAAUGCCCCGGCAGCAUUCAUGAGCUUGAUGAACCGAGUGUUCCAGGAGUGCUUGAUCCGAUUUGUCGUAGUCUUCAUAGACGACAUUUUGGUAUAUUCGCGUAGCGAUGAGGAGCACGCGGAGCAUUUGCGCACGGUACUUCAGAUUCUUUGGGAGAAGAAGUUGUACGCAAAGCUGAAGAAGUGCGACUUCUGGCUCAGGGAGGUUGCAUUUCUCGGGCAUGUUAUUUCCGAGGGUGGUGUUUCUGUUGACCCGAGGAAAGUUGAGGCUAUUGAGAAUUGGCCGCGCCCGACGAAUGUUACUGAGGUCCGUAGCUUUGUGGGCCUAGCAGGUUAUUAUCGACGGUUUGUGGAGGGGUUCUCGAAGAUUGUGACUCCACUUACCCGUCUGACGCAGAAGGGCACGAAGUUCGUUUGGAGCGACGAGUGCGACCGGAGUUUUAAAGAACUGAAGCAAAGGUUAACUUCGACUCCGAUGCUUGCCUUGCCAGUGCAGGGGCAGGAUUACGUCGUCUAUAGUGAUGCUUCUUAUCUGGGCUUUGGGUGUGUGCUGAUGCAGGGCGGGAAGGUUAUUGCCUAUGCAUCCCGUCAGCUAAAGAGCUAUGAAAAGAAUUACCCCAUUCAUGAUUUAGAGUUGGCGGCGGUGAUCUUUGCCUUGAAGCUUUGGAGGCAUUAUCUAUAUGGUGCUCAUUGCGAGAUCUACACCGACCACAAAAGCUUAAAAUACNACUUGUUCACCCAGAAGGAGCUGAAUCUGCGACAGCGGCGGUGGUUGGAGUUGCUUAAGGAUUACGAUGUUGAUAUUCUCUACCACCCCGGGAAGGCGAAUGUAGUCGCCGAUGCGCUUAGCCGGAAGUCUGUUGAAAACCUAGCUUUAUGGGUUAUCGAUCAGACGCCCCUACGGUUGCAAAUGGGGAGGAUGAAUCUUGAGGUUGUAGCUCCUGAGGUUCCGUCGAUGUUGAUGGCGCUUGUGGUCCAGCCGACUGUAAGAAAAUCAUGUGUACGCAGCGGAAGAAAAUAACACAAUUAAAAAUUUUCUUGAAAACCAAAGAUCACCUUGUGUUACGUUUUAGAUCAUUAAUAAUAGAUCUAAUUGAUCUAAUCAAAUAGGAUCUAUAUUUUAUUUUACCUCGCGCGGGUCGAGAUCACCGCGAAGUCGANNNNNNNNNNNNNNNNNNNNNNNNNNNNNNNNNNNNNNNNNNNNNNNNNNNNNNNNNNNNNNNNNNNNNNNNNNNNNNNNNNNNNNNNNNNNNNNNNNNNUCUCACGCGCUCUAUAUUGAAGAGUUAUUAUUAUAGUAAUCUAAGCAUCGACAGAUCAUUUUAUGAUGCGAACUGCUUUCUAUAAAAUAACUCAGUUGAGUGUAAGCUUUAUCGCAGAAUUUUCUCUAGAAUUUCUGGUAAUGGUAGAUUGGAUCUCUUUAGAGGGCCUAAAACCUAAGUUAGGUGUAAGGCACUUGUGUGGGCCAUAUGUCAGGGAUAGGAAUUGGUUAGUGCUCAAAAAAGAUUCUGGCCCUCGUGGCCUCUCCAUGCUUGGUUGUUUGGGUGGGCUUUUAGGGUGUUGAGGUUUCUGGUGGCUUGUGAAGCAAUUAAAAGAAAAACGAAAAUAUCUUUUGAGGGGGAAAAGAAACGAAAACUCUGUAGCUUUUAGGGUGUUGAGGUUUCCGGGGGCUAUGUGAAGCAAUUAAAAAGAAAAAUGAAAAUAUCUUUUGAGGGGGAAAAAAACGAAAACUCUGUAGCUUUUAGUGCUAUGCGAAAGGAAUUGAAACUAUUUACUGCUCAUUUAUUUUGCAGUCAGUUCCACGUUUAAUACAAAAAUAGGUGUUCUGAGUAAAUUCUUUUGGAAAGGACCUCGAUCAUUUCUCCUUAUUUUUUUUGUUGCUUCUUUAACUAUCCAAUGAAGUCUCCUCUCUUUCUCUCUCUCUCUCUCUCUCUCUCUCUCUCUCGCGACUGAACAAUGUUUAUCUAAUUUACUAGAUUAUCUAUCACUAAUUAACAUGUACUCCGUAUUGUGGCAGACGGAUGGGUUCUUUGAAACAAAUAUUCCCGGUGUGUAUGCUGUUGGUGACGUGGCCACCUUUCCUAUGAAGUUGUACAGUGAAUUGCGGAGAGUUGAGCAUGUCGACCAUGCCAGAAAAUCUGCAGAACAGGCAGUGAAGGUUCGCCAUUCUAUUCUACUAAUUUUCUUCUUCUAACAUUGUUGGCAAUGUUAAGUAAAAGCACCAAAUAUCAUUUGCUUUAUUCAGGCAAUCAAGGCAAGUGAGAAGGGAGAAUCUGUUGAGGAGUAUGACUACCUGCCAUUUUUUUACUCCCGCGCCUUUGAUCUAUCGUGGCAGUUCUACGGGGACAAUGUUGGAGACACGGUUAUUUUCGGUGAAAAUGACCCAGCAUCGCCUAAACCUAAGUUUGGCUCUUACUGGGUUAAGGAUGGUAAGGUAUUUGGGGCUUUCCUCGAAGGCGGGUCACCAGACGAGAACAAGGUGAUUGCCAAGGUAGCAAGGGUCCAGCCACCUGUUGCAGAUGUGGAAGAACUGAGAAAGGAGGGCCUCCAAUUCGCUUGCAAAAUAUAAAUCCAAAUAAUUGAGAAAUCAUGCUGUUUUCCACUGUCAGUGAGUGCCUUAAUCUGGUCUCUGUCCAUCAAAUAAUUAAGAUAGUUCUUCUGGUCAACUUUUGUGAUUUCCUGUAAUCUAUCUUAUUGUGUUGUGUAAUCUCGUGUUUCUAGAUUAUGAUAGUAAGUUGAGUAUGGUGUUUGGUCGGAUUGAUCCCACACUGAGCAAACUAGUGAAAAUAAACUUUUGAAUCAACAAACACCUCGUGAUCUAAGCCACAAAAUGCAGCAGAUGCUUUUAGUAUCCAUCACAUACUGUGAAAACUUAUCUGUAUCUUUUGGUGAACUGUGUGUUCUCCGUAAUAUUUCUUCAUGUAGUGUUUGGAACUUGGGCUGAUUUUGACGCACUGUUCAUUCCAUAUUUUAUUAACUUUCUAACAUAAAGUGCUCUUGAGAUCUGUUGGGGUUCCGGUGAGCCGCACUCUUCAUCACAAAGAUAGAAGUGGGGGAGUAAGAUAUCUACAAAUAAAAGCUAAUAUUCUAAAAAUGUGUUAAUUUCACUGUUUGCCUCAGCUUUUUCAGAGGUUUACCUUUCCCUUCCGUUCUUUUGAAAGAGAACAUAGUGCGCUGCAUUUUUAUGAUGUGUUGAAUUUUCUUAGCAAUGAUUAUAAAUACCUUACUAUUUAGGGAUUUGUUUAUAAAAAUUAGAAGAAAAAGGUAGUCUGAGGAUUUUAUUUUUAAAAUGCACCGUUGUAUAGUAACGUGAGGACGUGAAAUGCCAUGGCGUACAUCUUGCAACCUUUAAACGAGUGGUUCAAUUUUAUUUACUCCUUUGGAAGUUAAAGAAAAGAAAGGUGUCCACCUAUGCAGGUAUCGCCUAAAAACUCUAGCUAGACGCGACUCUCUUGCCAUGGUCCCUAACUUCUCUCGUAGUGGAAGGCUGUGAAACAAAAACAAUAAAUACAUAAGGGUGAGAACUAUUAAACAAUAGUUUUCAGUGGGUAAGCUGUCGAGAAAAGCGAAUUACGCCACUAGGUCAACUGAGGCAACAGUAGAAAAAUGACUAAUAGUAAAGUAUGAAUAAUUUUCGAGAAUUAAAAGUUCUAGCACUACUAUGCCUCCAAUUUACUAUGUUAUUUAACAUGUAUGAAAUCUAUUCUAUUACAUGAAUGAGCAUUAAAUAACUAAUGAAUAUGUCCAAUGUCAUGCACUAUCUAGCACUGAUGUCCGAUCAUUAAGUUUAAUUGUCAUUACCCAAAUCAAUGAGAACUUACACAAGGUAUAGUUCCGGCUUGCGCCGUACCUAAUGGCCCCGUAAUAGUCAACAUUUCCCCGCUAGGAAUGAGUCUCGCCCAUGGCAAUUCACUUCGGCGCCCAAUUCUGCACGGGCGAGCAUAAUGUCGUAAAGCCUAACUCCGGAGUGCCGGCUUGUAGGGAGCGACCCCCACAAGCUUAUGCGAAUGAGCACAAUGCAAGCGUAAUCAACAACAUAGGAAUUUCAUUCGUCAUGUCUAAAAUAUGGUAUGUCAACUAGCGACCUAGAGGUCGAGAAUUAUGUCACAAUGUUAAAUUAUAAUUGUUUAACUAAAUUAAGUACAACAUAUUUAAAUUCAUACUUUGCCACUACCAUACAAUAUGUUACAUUUACCUUGUCUAUAACAAAUAUAUUGAUUAACAUGCAAGUUGAUCCAUUAAUUUCAUUAACCAUAUAAGGUCUAAGAGACAUAUCAUUUACUCAUCUUUAACAUGCUCUCUAUUGUUGUAUAAGAGGAAACACCAUUAUAUACCACUUAGUAUACAUAACCACACUAUAAGCUCCUACUACAUGGAGCAUAAAACCCCUACAUGUAACAUGUGUGUAGUAUGCAUUUGAAAAUUCUAUCAUGUUACAACUAGCAUGAAUAUGCAUCAAUUCAAGUCUUAAAGCAAAGUAGAAGACAUAGAGGGAGUUCACCCAUUUUUGGUGAGGUCAAACCCACCGGAUACCUCGUUUUCUCGAACGAAGUUGUCUGCGGGACUUCUAGCACCCUAAGAAAAAUUCUAAGAGGGUUAUAAGCUUCUAACAAGCUUCCCACGAAAUUUACCAAAAAUCACACAUAAAAUAGGUGGAAAGUAUAUUUAACCAAGAAGAAUUUGUUCAAAGCUCAAACCAAGGCUAGAAAGCUUCAAAUCCAACCUAAAAUAAAGUUCUACACAACAAUUUAACUCCAAAAGCUCUAAAUUAAGAAACUCUAAAUUAAACCCUAGUUUUCUCAAAACUAAAUUUUAUCUCACAAAUCUUGCAAAAUCCACACUUAAAAAUUGCAAGAAGAGUACAAAGCUCAAUAAAAACUCCAAACCAAGCUAAGCGAUGCUAGAGUUGGAGAUUAAUCCUCAAACAAGCUCCAGCUCCCUUCUUAACUCCCAAGCCUCAUUCAAGGUCCAAGUAGCAAACUUCCAUGGAGGGGAAGAAGAAAAAGAGAUCAAAACCUCAAUCUAAAAGGAAUUAGGGAGGAAAUUCAAGAGAGAGAGAGAGAAAAACUCACCCCUAACUCUCUCUACCUCCAGCAAAAAGAGAAGCAUGAGGGGAUUGUGUGGGGUUAUACACAUAAUGUAACAAACCCCAAAAGAACCCCCAACAACACACAAAUUGCAAACAGCAUGAAACUGUAUUCUGCAGCAUUGAGUAUACCGGUACUCGAAUUGGAGUACCAGUACCUUACAGUUCCGUUACUCGAAUUGGAGUACCGGUACCUCGCAGUUCCGGUACCAAGGGCUCAGUCCCGCAGAAUCCGUACGUUGGAAAUUUGGGUUUAUAACUGCAUUCUGCUAUCCCUCCGAUGCAGUACCGGUACUCAGCUCGGUACCGGUACUCACAACCCGAUUCCGUAAAAUCCUAGAGCUGCUCAUUUCGGCACUCUAUAGGGUUCUGGUACGUCAAAUCGGUAUCGGUACUCAAUUCUAAAAUCUGUAAUUUACAUAUUUUGAUGUUGGGAACUCGUUUCGCGCCUAAUAUUUUCCAGAAAUAGGCCGACACUCAACCAACAACCCAACUUGGGCGGACAGGGGAGGUUCUGUUCGUUCGGUGUCUGUGAACAUGCCUGAAUCGACCAAAUUGGCGGUCGCGGGGCGUGACAAUUAGAGCACUACAAACAACUGUAAUGUCAUGCCCCGCCACCGCCACUUUCGUUGAUUCGGGCGUGGAUACAGACUGUAACAUACCAAAUCUCCGAGUUACGAUGCUAACUUUGAUCUAAUUGAUCAAAGUGAGGCACGAGUAUGAUUUGCGACGUCCCCGAGCUACUUUGGAGGCGUGGGGAUGGUUAGUCGUGAGUUUCGGAGGGGUUUAGGUGUUUUCGGCGUAAACUGAAUGCGAAAACAGACUCCGAAGCAUUGCUCUUGUCAAAGUGCAGGUUUGACAUUGAGUACCGGUACCAGAGCAAUGCGGUACCGGUACCCAGAUAGUGUGUGUUGGCACAGCUCUCUGGAUUCAGACUGUGCGAGGCUGGGUACCGGUACUAGUGUUGUGUACCGGUACUAUGUGAAGAUCAAGGAUUUCGUAGCCCUCGAGUUUGGGGGGCUAGUACCGGUAUGGAGACUGUGUACUAGUACUAGAAGCGCCGGGUACCGGUACUAGAACCCGAGUAUUGGUACCCAAACUGAAAAGAACUAUUUUGUAAUAGUGCAAAAUGGGAAAUGUGAGGGGUUUAAACGCAAUUGUGGGGCUCCUAUAAAUACCCUAACCCUUACACCUAUUAUUCCCAUGCAUGAAAGAUAGCUUUGUUCUUAUCUCCUUCUCAUCUCCUUCUCCUUCUCUCUCUAGAUAUUCUUCAUCAAAGUGGUACUUGAGAGAAAUUGAAGGUAGAAAUUAGUGGAUUUGGUGGACAAGAAGCUCAAAGGCAAGGAGGAUUUCGUGGAGCAAGAAUCUAAGGUAGGUUUCUUGCAUUUCUUGGUUAGGGUUUGUUUUAAAUUCCCUAAUUUGUUGGGUUUUGAAGUUUCUUGGAUUUCUAGAGCUUGUUCUAUGCUAGGAAAUCCUAAGAAAAUUGUGUUUUGGGGUAUCAUGUAUGAACCCUAGAAUAAAAAUGGGGUUUUGUGAAAUGGGAGAUCUAACAUAGGUUUGAUCUCUUGUAACACUAAUUGAAGUGUAAACCGACGCGUUGGGAGACUCGGAUCGAAGUUUCAACGAGUCUUUGUCGAGCUAUUGAGGAAAAUCCUCAUUUCAGCUUCGUUUGUCGUGGGUCGAGAGUAGCGGACGUCCAUAAAUCGCGGGAGGUGGUUUCUCGCACUCUGGUAUCACUACAAGGUGGGUGGUGCUAGCCGAAGCCUUCGAAUGACCUAUUAUAUCUUGUCGCCUUUUGAGCAUGUAUGUAUAUGUGUAGGGAAUUCAUGCAUUAUAAGGUAAAUGUGAUAUGUGGCUAAGUGGUAGUGUAGCACACUGAACUUUAGCAAAUUGCAAGGUUCUAGUGUAAGAAUAAUAUUUUAAUCUAUUCUGGAUGUUUUGAGGGUUGCUUGUAUAGUACCUGCCUAUUUCUGGAGCUUAUUAGACGCGAGAACUGGCUUUCGGCAUCGAAAUCUGCAAACUGCAGAUUUUAGAGCUGGAGAUCGGUACUGCAUCGAGCGGGUACCGGUACACCGUAGUCUGAAUGCUUGGCUGAGGCUCGGGUUCAGCAGAUUUUGGUGCAGGGUACCGGUACUCUUCCCCGUGUAUCGGUACGCAGUGUGAAGAACUGCAGUUCGUGCAGUUUGUAAAUUUUGUGAGUUGAGGGGCUUGAGUGGAUAUUGUUACAUUGUGUUUAAAUACCCUAUCACCCCCUUUGUUCCUCAGUUGGCUGAGGAUUGAGAGAGAGAUUAGAGGUGGGUUUUACUCUUCUUCUCUCUUGAUUUUCUCCUUUGAACUCUUGGAUUUUUGGAGGAUUGAUCUCUUUUCCUUCUUCUCCACCAUGGUUGCUUGCAUAUUGGAGCUUGGAAUGGAAGAGAGGAGCUUGUUGAUGGAUCAAACUUCAACCCUAGCACAUUAAGGCUUGAGUUGAAGCUUGUUUUGAGGUUAGAAUCUUCCUUGUAAUCUCCAGUUGAAGAUUUGCAAGAGAUUUUUGUAGAAAACCUAGUUUUGUAGAAACUAGGAUUUUGUUUUGGGGCUUUUCAUUUAGAAGCUUUUGUGUUGGAAUUGAUUAGUGUAGAACACUUGCAGGUUGGAUUUGAAGCUUGGAAGCUUCGAUUUGGGCUUUGGUCAAGUUCUUCUUGACCUAAGGUAUUUUUUUCACUUUUUACAUGUGUAAUUUUCGAAGAUUUUCAAAGUAGCUUUUUGAAAGUUUUUAACCUUUUAGAAUUACUAGGUCCACGUUAAUUCGAGGUACUGCUAGACCCACGUGCUUGUGCCCGGCAACUAACCGGGUACUUUCUCAACAGUGAUUCUACUUUCACCGUUCGAUCUAUCGGAACAACAUCCGAAACACUCGGAAUACUUGGGUGUCUAUAUGCAUCAUGGCUCGACUCUCGCAAUCAACAAAUCACAUUGCUCUAAGAGUCGGUCCGCCACUUCCGUCUUUACCACGAGUCUUAUUUCUCAUCCGCAGACCACCACCGGCACUUUGCUAGUGCCAUCUAACUCUCUACCUGUUCCAGCAGGCACUACACUUUCACCACAUAAGCAUGCCCGGGUAUCUAAACCUACCCCGUCCACUUGGUCCCUACUAUACUAAUGCAUAAUAGUAGCAACGGACCACAUGACAAAUGCAUGCUAUGCAUCAACUUGAUAUCAUGCAGAAGCAUAUACUUGCUUCAACCAAAUCAUACUUGCCAUGACAUCGUCGGUAGCAGAAGGCUCCACAACCCGGGUCGUGUAUCCAUGGCCAUCUGGCACCCACUGCGAACCCUUUGGUUGCAUCGUCCUUAACGCCCGCUCUUCUGACCAUGCCGCAGGUGGCACACCUGCAGGCUGUCCUAGAGAGGAAAAGGCCAUCGCCAGUGUCAGGGCCCGGCUACCACCUUGCGGAUACUCAUCCUGCGCAUGGCCUGGUUGCCCACUCAUGUAGCACUUGCCUUCUCGCUGCUCACACUGUUGUGGGUAAUGAGGACCCCCACAAAUACCACAUCUUGCCGAGGACCGAAUGCGGUAGGCCCCGGGGCUUGGGAUCGCGAGCGCGAACACAUCGAAGUUUGUUGAGAACUUGAAUGACCAGCAGAUCCACUCGUUGGUUGUCCCUUUCCCUUUUCCUUGUAAUAAUACUCGCGCUCCUCUCGCACAAUUGCACUGCCUUGUUCUAUACACAAGGCCCACUCUUCAAAUCUCCUCCAAUCUCUACCAAGCCUUACUUGGGAAGAGCUCAUAGAGAGAGAGAGGGAGAAACAUGGAGUUGAAGGGGUACUCUCUGCUGUGAACAAGAAAGGAGGAGGUGUGGGGUUUAUAUAAGCCGCCACAAUUAUAUUUAAGCCCUCCAAUAUUUCUUAUUUGCAACAGUUCAAACUCUGCUGUUCGGAGCACAAGGUAUCGGUAUGCUGGCUCGGGUACCGGUACGCCCGGGUUGACAACCAAACCCGAGAGCAGCUAUCCUCGGUUUACUGCGGAGUACCGGUACCAACCUAAUUCCUUACCGGUACUUAACCCCACUGUGACCGAACCCGAGAGCAAGCCUCUCGGUUUGCCUGCUUGGUACCGGUACCACUCCUUCAGUACCGGUACGCAGUGCCCAGACUGCAGUUCUAGCAGUGCUUAGCUCUACUUCGCGUCGAACAAUGCUAAACUCAUCAAUCCCAUCUGGAACUCAACUUUAACCCUUCCAACAUUGUUGGAGUAGCGUAUGGACUAUGUCCAACCAUUCUUCUCGCCACGCUUCGGUUAUUUUGACCAAAAGUGGUUUAACACGACGAGAAUCCAUUAACUUCUUGAAGGUCAUGAGGGCCCGAAGCUCGCAAUGUUCCAAGUCUUCGCUCGCCUCAAAUUGCCUAGGGACAUCACUUGUCCAAUCCCGCGCCUGUCAUGCCCCGAGCUCCACCAAUUUGGUCGGAUUCGAGCACAUGACAGACGGCGAACGGACGGCACCUCCCCCGUCCGCCGAAGACUCCAACAUCAAGUAUAUUACAAGCAAAUCAAUAAAGAAAAUUGCGAGAUAUACAAGGUUUGCACGAAGGCAAACAACAACCACAAGUGAAAGCAUCGAAACUAUCUAAGCAUCCGAUAUACAAGUCAUUUGAUUUCAUUUGAAUCAAACACAAGUAGUCUAUUACAUUUACCCAUUCAUUUACAUCACGUUUUCCUUUAACCAAAAUACAUGAUUUACAUCAUCCUUACAUUACCCAAAAUAUAAUUUACAUUUCUUGCUUUACAUCAUUUACAGCUCAACACCUACAGUUGAGUACACCAAAAUGUAGGGUAUGCCUAUAUCUCGAGGGCCGCUAGCUACGGCGCAACACCCUUGCCUCGAUCCUCCGCUGCCCCACUCACGCACGGAUCUGCAAGGUUAAUGGUAAUGAGAACUAGAACGAAGUUCCCAGUGGGUUCGGCCGCCGACCACGCCGAUUCGCCCACUAGGUCUAAUUCAUGCAUAUGUAUUUCAAUAAAGAAGGAUAACAAACCAACUAAUGCACUUUUAAUACAAUACCUGCAAGAAAGCAAUCCACAGAUAGAUAUUCAUAUUCAAAUACAUGAUGAUUAUGCAUGCAUGUCCAUUUCUCAUUUUCUUUGGCCUUUACCCAAUCAACCCGGGGUGCUCCUAGUUUACCCCAACUCACAAUCCACAUAUCCCGUCUAACGGGGGAGGCACAAGGCUCAACCGCCCGAGGGAUCUUCGCCGGGCACUCUCACCCGUGGUGUCUACACUCCGGAGUACACCGCUUGUGGAGGAGCGACCUCCCACAAGCCGAAACCAAUACGUGUGAGUAUGAUGCGAUCCUCAAUUUGAGGAGGUAUAGCCAAACCUGUCUCAUGCCUCAAUAUCUCAAUGCUAAUGAUAGGUUCUACCAUAUCAUAUAUACCACCAAUAUGAGUCACAAUGGUCCUGAUGCCAUAAUACACAUAAUGUCACUCGGGUUAAACCUUGUUUAACUAUACUCAUUUCAAUGCCAAUCAAGUCACUAUAGUUAAUGUCACCGUUAUUUACUAUGGUCAUAGUCUUUUCUCACAUUCACAUGCAUAUAGGGUUAUUCGUUUUCUUUGUUCACAUGGUUCUAUAUCACUCACAAUAAUCUUAAGCAGAUAAUUGAUGCAAUCAACAUAUACCAUUCACUACCCUACAUGCAAGAAUGCUAUAAUACCAACAUGCUCAAAAGUAGUGACAUAGACAUAGAAAGAGACUCGGUGUUUUCGGAUAGCACCCCACACCUUUGUGUGAUACUAGGAUGCCAUGGUUCUGUUUUCACGAUUUUUAGACACUUUCGCCGCGAGCUGCGGCAAUCUGUACCAAUUCGGCUUCUUUUUCCAAUAUCUUCGCGCAUGCUCGUCGUAUCGCCGAACCGAGCGCACCGAUGCGUUCGUUGACCUAUCAAUUAGGUUAGAAUGAGAUCAAUCCCAAGCUUCGACCUUAUUUUCACAAAACCCCAAAUUUGGGUCCCUAUACAAC
RNAcentral lists this long non-coding RNA (157751 nucleotides) under Ananas comosus (pineapple). RNAcentral's name for it is "long non-coding RNA (ACOM_LNC008976)". The record is from RNAcentral. Lineage: Eukaryota; Viridiplantae; Streptophyta; Magnoliopsida; Poales; Bromeliaceae.